RNAcentral lists this long non-coding RNA (90325 nucleotides) under Citrus sinensis (sweet orange). RNAcentral describes it as "long non-coding RNA (CSIN_LNC003334)". Lineage: Eukaryota; Viridiplantae; Streptophyta; Magnoliopsida; Sapindales; Rutaceae. The record is from RNAcentral.
AAAAAAAAAAAAAAAACAAAUAGAAUCAAUAUAAGCUUUCUCACUACAUCCAACUUUGAAACUAUAAAUUUACAGAAGCAUUUAAUCCCUCACCUGUACAAGUUCUGGUACGGUAUUUGGUGCUACCAUACUCAACACAAACGUAGGGAUCUUGUUUUGAGAGCCAUUCUGUGUCUUUCAAUCCCUUGCAUGCGAUGACUACAUAUAAACAAGUAUACAUUUAAAAAUAAUCAAAUGGGUAAAUUUAUUUAUGCAUCACAAUUAUUAUAAAAGAGAAGAAACAUUGAUCCCUUUUUUUUUUUUCAGUAAUAUAUCAUACCAGUGACCUCAAGAGGCUGCCCUUGAACAUUAGCUGCCUCCAUUGGAGGAUGAAAUGGAUAACGAUAGUGAUGCAUUAAAGUUAUGAUUUAUAUAGGAAAAUAAAAUUUUAUAAUCUUAAAAUAGGAAAUGACAUGAGCCAUUAGAAUCGGAUGAUUCUAAUUUAAGAAUUGCGUGUUUGGUUCUUACAAGGUAGACAACAAUCUUCCUUAUAUUUAUAUUAGUCAAACUGUUUUCUCCGGAUUUUGAUCAUUUCAUAUAUGUGUAUGUACGCAUUUCUUCUGUUGCUCGUCGUUGUCUUUGAUAAGACAGAAAUCCUCUCUGAAAAAAAAAAAUAACGGUUAUUUCCACCCUCCCCUAAAUGUUUUGAUAAUUUUCAACGAGCACCCAAAUGUUUCGAUAAUCCACCAUUUUCGUUAAUUUGACAGUUAUUUUUAAUGGAGCUGUUUGACAUUUAGUUAAAUGUUAGAAAUGCCCCCUAUCUCGAAUUGAAAAAGAAUUAAAUGGCAUAAAAUACUAAUCCAAUAAUUGAUAUUUGCACAAUAAUCCCGUCAAUUAACUUAUCAAAUAAAUUUAAUUUAUCAUCAUCAAAUAAUUUUAGCGUAUGAACUUCUGAAUUUGUCAUUUGACUGUUGGAAUAAAUGAUCAAAUAAACGAAUUUAGGUGCAUGGUAUAACGAGUCAAAACAUUAAGGAGCACGGUGGAAAAUAUCCAAAUAUUUUAAGGUAGGACAGAAUUAACCUAAAAAAUAAAUAUAUUAUUAAGAUAUUUAUAUUUAGAUGCAUUCAAAUUUUAAAUAAAAAACAACGGAUAUGUACACAAGAAAAUCCCAUGUACACAAGAACUGCAUGCGCACAUAUGGCGCCUGUUACCUAGUUGUCAGUACACUGACGUGAUGUAUACCUCAAGCCCUCAAUGCACGAAAGAUUUUAUCGAGUUCGAUGACUUUCUGAUAUCACAUCAAGUGGUUAGCAAACCAAUAAUACGCUGUCGUAUAAUUUUACACAGCCCCUGAAUUGUUUGAAUAGCAACACUUAGAGGUGUAAAGAAACUAGUUUUUGGGUGGUUGUAUGUUACAGAUUCUGUAACAUAGAAAGGUCCAAGAUUAUAUAGUGGUUACAUUGCAAAGGUGUAGCUGAAACACAUAAUGUAAACAUGUAUGGAAGGUCUCGUUUCAUUACAAAUAACAGAACAAAUUUAUAAAUUCCAACCACAUUUGAGUAAAACAAUUAUUUCAAUUAUUUUUCGCCCUCCAGCCAACUUUUGAUUUACAGAAACAAUAAGCUAGAAACAAGACUUGAUGAUACAAAUUAACGAAUAGAUUGAGCUUCAUAAUCGUCCCACCGUGCUCUUAUACUUUGUAAGGCAAUUUAUGUACAGGUUCUCUAAAUCAAAGCAACCGACUGUUCUGCUUGAGGUCAGUCACUUUCGUAGUCAUCUUCAUCUCCGAACGAGAACACAGAUGCAUCAGCAGCCAUUGCCUUGAAUUCACUUUCCCUGUUGCUAGCGUCGAGGCCGGAGGUAGCUCCCACAACAGCACCCCCCUUUGUCUCACCAGCAGCAUGUGUAGUUUGGGAGACUGCGUUUCCCAAAGAAACAUCUUUGGUCGCACGCGCUAAAUUUGCAACUUGAUCCGACUCGGUCUUUGUUUCUGAUCUGGGAGCGGCGGAGACAGUUCCUCCAGCCGCAGAGGCUGCUGGAGCUUUCUUCCUUUUUGAUCCAGCUUCCUCGGACUCAUUGUCUGAGAACACAUCAUCUUUAUCGUUAUUUCCCGAGCCCUUACUUUCUUUUGAAGCAUCUAGACCCUGGCCAACUGAGGCUGGAGCAGAACCUGACGUUUCAUCUGGCUUCUUGGCAACAGUUUCAGAGUUGGCUGCAGCUCGAACAGGGCCAUUAUAAUCUGCCAAUACGACUUCCACCUGGAAUCCUGGUGAAGGCAGUUUCCUCUGCACACAAACCAUGUCACAUGGGUUAGAGGAAUAAGGAAGUUACAUGCAUGUGAAAAGAAUCGAGAUGGCACAACAAUCAGUUUUGAUAUUAUUGCAAGCCAUGACAUGUUUCACAUGUACCUUAUCAAAUCCAUCAAGAUCGCCAGUGUUUAGAACUUUUCUGUUCUCCAUCAUGGUUGUGUUUAACCAGCUGGAAAAGCAGAAGAAAACAAAAAAACUGACAUUUUAACUUUACUUCAUAAAAGUUUAACAAAUGAUUAGUUCAAUCAUGGGUGAGGGUACAGUACAAACCAGUAGAAAUCUCCUUGACGGUCAUGAAAAUGGAUUUUGAAGUCCCCAGCCAACUCUGCCAAACCUGGCUCUCCAGGCAGGGCAAAGACCAUAACUCCUUUCUUAGGCGCACUAAACCAAAAGUCUUCUGGCUGUGGCAUAUUAGCAAAAAUACUCAAAUAGCCAAUCAAAAUGUCUAACUAGUUUUCAUCAAAAGCUACGACAACCUACCGACAAAUCCUUGGUUCUAGGAUGCUUCUUUGAGGAGAAGAGUACACCUGCACAUUAAAAGAGCAUUAAAGAAAACCUUUCAGAUUUACCACUUCAGUCCAAUACCGGACAAUACCUGAUAAUAUGGCAAAUAUGUACAUAAAUCUGGCUUGAAAAUAGAAGUCCACCGAGAUCAUAAUCGGACACUAAAUAGUUACAGGCCAACACCAAUAAUAGAAUCCCCCUAGGUUUCCUCUUUUGCAAGUGUUAAAUUUCACUUGGAAUAGGACCAAUACUUCAACUAGUUGAGAUUGCAGAAAUAUAAAUAGGACCAUAUCUCAGAAGUUUAUUAGACUAUUAGCUAUGAAGAUUCAUGAAUGGCAUCCAACCCCUAAAGUGGUCUCAUCAUUGUCAGUUGACCACAAAAGUAGUAUGUUAAAGGAAAAUUGGUAAAACCAUGCAAAUGCUAUCAACUUUGGCGGAAAAAAAAAUUGACAGGAAUGAUUGACGAUUUUGUAGUUAUGACAAGCCUAACAAGAAGCUGUUUAGGGAAAUAACAGACUGGUAAUUACACGGACCGAUAAGGGAUAUCAAAGAUUAAGCAAUUGCAGGAAAAUUAAUUAGGCGCAGCAAGAAUGCAGUAACACACCAUUAUGAUCAGAGACUGUUAUGUGGGGCCUAAUCCAGUAAGGACACCUAUGAAGCCGGAAACCCCUUAGCAUGCACCUGCACACAACAGGUGUUGACAGUUGUCAGCACAAAGCUAUAGUUAAAUUUUUUUGUUGAAGCAAAAUCCAUAUGAGAAGUAUACCGACGCCCGGGCUGAUUCUCUCCAUUGAAGUAUGUUAAGAUCCUUUCAAAGUAUUUGACAUACCUCUGGAACACCAAUAAAAAGAUAAGCACAUGAAUAAGUAACUCUCUCAAAAAAUUCGCACCUGUUAAACAUAGACUCACAAUUUGACUUGGCAGGACAAGGCCUUUCCCAUCCACACAUCUUUUCUGGUUGUAGUAGUCAAUAGAUUCCUCAGCAGUGGGGAAGAACUGCAAAGAAACAGCAAAAUUUUCUAUAAAGUUUAAAAACAAAGCAGUGAUGGCAUAUGAAAACUUCAAGGAACUUGUUGAAGCAUCUUUCAGUUACAUGCUACAAGUGUCUAACCUUCAAGUACAGUAGAAGGCUAGAAAUCAUUAACCCUGUCCUUGCCAUUCCAGCCUUACAGUGCACAACAACAACAUUCUCAAUAUCUUCCUUCAACCACGAAUAUGCACUAUGACAAAAUGAUGUUAUUAGUUGAAUUGGGGGGCAGUUGUGAUCAUCAAAAGGGAAACUAGCCACCUGAAACAAGCAAUCAAUAAAUUAGGUAUCAAAAACUGCCAAUGAACUUCUCAACAAUGAAAUCCAAAAUAUGAACAGCCUGAACAAGUCUCAACUGCGUCAAUACCAAAUUGAAACAGGAUAAUCAUAAAAUUGAAAUUCUAAUAAUUUAAUAUGUUUUUUACUCUCUGAAGUAAUUUACUACAAAUCCCUCUUCAGCCGUCAUCAGGCAAUAAGUUGAAUAUUGACAGUCAUACUUCUUGAUUGUCAUUUAAAAUACAAAGUACUUAACAUAUAGGAGGACCUACUAGAAAAUAGAAAACACAACCAUUUUCCAAAGCUGAACAACACCCAGGCCACAUGUGAGGGCAGCCUACCACAGUUCAGAUUUUUGUUACUGAUGAUGCAAGAAACAGACCUAGUUUAUUCUAUUUAUUUUAUUCCAGUAACACACCUUUCCCUCAAAUAACGAUGCAUCAUAAAGCCUCUCUGAACAAAGAUUGUACACUUUGUACUUGUCCUGCACAUAAAAAGUAGUAGAAAAUAAGGCAUAGAAUCCCAUAUGUAGCAAUAAGAGAAAAAUAAAUACAGCAGGUCAAUAAAAAUGUAGAAUGCAAACAAGUAGUGGCAGAAUCUCCAUAUAUUUUAUUAAAACUCAAAGAAAUGUCCUAAAAAAAAAAAAUCACCUUGUGAUAGGUUUCAAAGAAUUUAAUCACUUCUUCCAUGUGGUUUCGGUAGAAUCCCUGCAUUACAUGUCUAAAUCCUAUCACUGAAAUUUAAGUGAAAAACUCAACUGCAAAUGAAGGUUAACUUUCUUACCUCAACAUAUCCGAAAAACCCUGAGCUCAUGUCACCAGCAGGGAAUCCCAUUGCAAUUAUAUUCUCAGUGAUAUAUGUCAUAUCCAAAUCAAAUCCUCCAUCCUGAAGAAAAUGCAUAUGGUAACAAAAAGAUCAUUUCAAAAUGAUUGGGAUAUCCGCAUAUGAAUGAAGAUGUAUCUUUAUAGUCAUGGUGGUUAUAUUUUAGGCACAAAGAAAAAUGGUGUUGUUCGCAGAAAUGCACCACUGUGUCUAAGUCACACAACAUUAAUUUUUUAUGGCCUAAAUCAUACACCACGGAAAGUGUAGGACAACAUAAAAGCUAAAAAUAUAUAUUUAAAUCACACCAAAAAAAAAAGGGACAGAAAGCAAAAGCAUUGUGCUUCAUGAUACUGUUAUUUGAAUGGAGUAAGAAAAAAAAUUGAAUAAAAUCACAACAUCAAGAACCACACCUGGUAUCUUCGUUUAUUUUGAGAGACAACAUGGCGAGCCUUGACCUGUACAGCCUUCACUGCACUCUUAGACGAGUCAACCAACCCCUUUGUAAUUGAUCCAAUAAAACCAGGUUGUGCAGCUGUUGAAGUCCCCUCAGAACUAUCAUCUGACUGAGGAGAUUUUGGAGAUGAGCGCAGUCCUAAGCCACUAGUAAGACGUGCAAAAGUUGAUUUUCCAGAAUUUCCAGUUGGUGAAUCCUCUUGUGAGCCAGAAAAUGGCUGAGGAAUUUUCAAAUUUUUGGCCCAUGAUGAUAUCCCAGUAGCAGAAAUCUUUGAUCGUGCAUCACUUGCAGAAUUAUCUGUAGCAGAUUCUGUAGUAGGAGAAGGUUUUACUUCAGAAGCCUUCGUAAGAGGCGAAGCUGAUGAAUCAGCAGAUCCAGAAUCCAUUCCGGCUCCUUAGAGGUCUCAAUGGUGAUUGAUGAUAAAAUUCACGAACACUGCACAUAAGAUGUACUGUAAUGUCUCACAAUAGUAACUGUAAGCAUAUAAAAACAAAAAAAUUAAAAAAAAAAAAAGGAAAGAUAAGAGCAAUCAUCUUACAUCUGAAGCACUACAAAUAAGGAAUUUGCUACCAUGAACACAAAUCCAUUGAUAAUAAAAAUAAAAUUUUAUAUGUGCCUAAUAGUUAGGAGCUGUUAUUGGAUGAGAAUAAAAUAUGCAACAGGCUGCAAAAGAACCAUGUGAUUGGUUCAUUUCCCAUUUCUACUUUAGUAAUCUUUUUUCCUUCCUUAUUUCUUCUAAUCUAUACAAUAUAAAAUAAGAAAUAAGGGAGACAGCAAAAAUAACGCAUGUCCAACGCAAAGAGGAAAAAUGAAAAGGAAGCUAAAGAUUGCAAAUUUUGUAUUUCUGAAACAUUCAAGCUUUGAAUCACCCAAACACCAGCAAUGCAGUAACUGACUUAAUGAAGUUUCUACCAUCUCAAAUCAAGCGAUACUGACCUCAAACCCAACAACAACUAUCACUAUUACCUUAGAAUUAAAAUUGACUUCAAAAGCGAAACUUAAUCAAAUUUUAUAAUUAUUUCACCGUACAUUAUAACAACAGCUAAUGCAAAAAGCAAGUUUUAAUUCAAGCAAACUCAUUGUAUAAACCUAACCACAUAACAAUUCUGCAAAUAAUGGGUCAUCAAAAGUCACUACAAUUCAUUUACGCCACCCAUGAUUCACGAAGCUUGAAAAUCAUACCUUUAGCUGAAACAACGACACAAUGCACUCUAAAUUAACAAAAUUCGCAUCUUAAAUAGAAAAAACAACCAUCACCAUCACCGUUACCUUAGUUUCGCUUUGGACACCCAUUUAAUAUUCAAUAACAAUUCAAAUUUAAAGAUUCUUGCUUUCACAGUGAUUGUUGCAAAAGAAAUAAUAAUAAUAAUAAUAAAAUAAAAUGAAAACCAUAUACAAAACUAUCAGCUAAAAUGUUCAGUUACCAUCACAAUUUAUCAAAAAAAUUAACAAAAUUAUAGCUUUCACACCAACGAUACCUCUUUACAAAUUUAGAAAUGGAAAAAAAAAAAUGAAACUAAAAGCUGCUAAGUGAACGAUUCCAGAUCUACGGUGAGGAUCUUGUCUUACCGGGAUUGGAAUUGGAGUCCAGUUGAGAUAGUUGCAGAGGAUUACACAAAAGAUUAUGGUGAAGCCAAGCUAGGGUUUGUUUUAGGGAGAGAGAGAGAGAUGACGAUGAUGAGAGUUUCAAUUUUGUGAUUUGUGAAGGUUGCGGGGUCACGUGGUCAACGCGUGGGGUGCGUUGAUUUUGCAGAAACUCUGUAGUGUGAUCAGAGAUGAUGGGUGAUUAUCAUCAGACGGUGAGUGACGGUUUUUAAUUAAAUGUUAACGGACCAGAUCUCGUAAACAGAAUAAAACAGUUCUUAGUAAUUAUUUUAGGUUUUACUGUCAUUUCACCUAUUAUGAGUUCAUUUCAUUUUCGAAUUUUUAUUUAUUUUUAAACACAAAUAAUUAUCAAAUUUUUCCUUAAAUUUUCUUUAUUUUAAUUAAAUAACUUGGAAAAUUUGUUCAAAGAAAGUUUAGAAUACCAAUAAAUGCGAAUGCAUGGUUGUGGUUACAUCAGUCAUACUGAAAGGUAUGGGUUACCACGGUUGAACCUUGAAUGAAUAAUACAUAUUGGACUUUAUUUUUAAAUUAGCAAUUUCAUUAGAGUCGCAACAUGCUCAAAUAGACAUAGAACACAUAAAAUUAAGCCUCAAUUAAGAGUUAGAACAACGCAAAGCAGUGUAAACAUUAACCCAUCACGAAAUCCUUAAAAUUUAAAGGAACAAAAGCUCUAUACUCUGAAGAUCUAAUAAGAAAUUAGAAGAAUUUUUCAAAUUUACUCUAAUACCCACCUAAAGAAUUGUGAGCAGAUACAUCCUAAUAAAAUAAAAUAAAAAUACUGCUAUGAUUGUUAAUACAACACACAAGUUUCACUAGUUCUGAAUAGAACAAAUCUAUUCAAUAAAUAAAAGAAAAAACCACCGCUACCACAAAAGUGGAAUUAAAUAUUUCAUAAAUGUACCCACAUCAGCACCCUAUCCAAUAAAUAAAGGGGUGGGGAUUUAAUUGUAAGCCCCUCAACAAUAUAUUCCAUAAUUUGAUGUUUGGAUUUGCUUUAGCACGAUCAAAGUUGUACUUCUUUUACCAAUAGGCCUUUGGUUCAAUGAGAGAAAUCUUACACUUACAAUGUUGAGUGUAAAGGUUCGAACCUCCAUAAAAGUAUUAUGGAGGUUAGUUUCAGUUAUUCCUCAAUUAUCAACUAAUUGAGUGGAGACAGUCUCUCCCUUACGAAAUGUGAGUGGAGUAUGCACCCCUCGAAUAUUAGAGAGGGUUUAAAGUAUUUGGGCAAGUGCUUCAGUGGGUUAAUGUAUGACGGUGAUCACAGUUGUUUAGUAUGAUUGUAAAUAUUGUAAUUAUAAUGUCUUAUAUAAUAUCAGUAACAAUUUGUGUAUAACAGAAUUCAAAAAAAAAAAAAGUUGUACUUCUUUGUGGAUUUGACAAUCCCAUUAGUUUACCUUUAAUAUAUGCAUCAAUCGAUAAUAUUUGUAGUUAUCAAGAUUGAUCACAGUUGAUGUACUAGGGCAUACCAUGUAUGCUUUAAAUUCCAAGAUUUUAUAAUAUGGAUUUUUUAAAAGAAAUUGUAUAAUUUUAAGAACAUCUCCAAAAGACUUUAUUAAUUUUAAUUUUUAAAUAUCUAUUUUCUUACUUAUAUGUUAAAAAGAAGAGUGAGAAAAUAUAUUAUUUUUCAAAAGGCUCUUCAAAUACAAAUAAGUUAAUAUUAUUUUAAUCAAAUAAAUAUUUUAUCAAAGAAAAAAUAAAUGAUAAUUAAAGUACUUCUCUCUCUUUCUCUAAUAAAAAUAAUAAAAUAUAAAUUGAAGUAUAUGCUACUGUAGCAAAAAAAGAAAUAGUUAAUACCAUUAAAUGAGUUUAAACACUCAAUUAGACCUUCAGUAUAUCUUUGUGUUUAACUUAAGAUUUUCCUUCUUGGAUUCUGUUUAUUUCAUUUUUAAUUUCAUUAGGUCGUUAAUUUCGUUCGUUUGGAGGUUUAAAUGUUGAUGUAACUCUUUAAAUAAUUAAUAAAAUUUUAUUUGAAAUUUUUUUUAGAAAUAUUCCAAGUAACCAAUCUUUGAUUGUACCCCAUAAAAACGAGUUGUGUAAAGGGCACUUAUUAAUUUUUUAAAACAAACCCAUAACCAAGGGAUUAUGAGAAAAAUUAAUAUAAAAUGAAAUGGUGACCAUAUUAAAUGAGAACAAUUCUUGACAUGUAUAUAUACAUGAUUGAAACGAGGAAUUUGUUGCUAGAAUUGCAGUUUCUAUUGGAGAAUUUAGAAAACUUAUGUACAAUCACUAUCAAUUAACUUUAUCAACUAAAUUGUUUUUCAAAAGGGGUCAUGCAUCAGCUGAUGACAGUUCAAGAGUAAGAGAUCCUGCUUCAAUGGAAACCACGCUUAACUUGUUCUUCUUCCAUUCCAUGACCCAAUAUGACUUCUUAGCCUUCUUCUCAGUUGCUAGUAAUCCCCUUAUUGCCAAGAAUGUGAUGAGCCCUAACACUUCUAGCAGGAAUUUGCUUCAAUGAUUUUACUGCCAAUGGGUUAUUGGCACUCUGCAUAUUCAAAUAAAAAGAAUCGUCAGGAAAAAAAAAAAAACAAUUAAACAAGUUGCAGAGCAUUAGAACUAAUUAAUGUUGUGAAUUUAAUUAAAUUACCAUUUGGCAAGUUCCAGUUUCAAGGUCACAUAUGGGGAAGUCAUGAGGGCAGCAGCUGUAAUGGUCUUCACAGCAAGUAGCAGAUUCAAUAGGGCAGCAACCCCAUCCAAAGCAGAAGUCACCAUACUCAUACAUGCAGCAGCAAGUGCUCCCCGAGGGGCAAGUGUAGUAGUCGUCGCAAACGGUGGGGGAGCUCGGAGGAGGGUUCACCGGAGAGGGAGGCGAGGGCCCGGGAUUAGGCGGGUUCUGGCCUUUCUUGAUCGGAUAUGACGGCUCAAUGGCAAUGCCACACUUGCCGGUCUUAGUGUUCACAUUACGUUCCAUUCUGAUGUAUCCGCUUUCACCCCAGUCGGGUCCCCAUGAGUUUCUCACAAUCCAGUAGUCCAAGUGACCAUCGGUACCAUAUCCAACAGCAAUAACGCCAUGGUCUAGUUCUGUUCCGCAGAUUCCAGUGAAUACGCCCUAAUGAAUCAACCCAAAAAAAUAUACACCAAGUUUUAAGUCACUGUUCAUGUAAUGUAAUGUGACAAAAAGAAAAUUGUUGCUUCUUAGGAGUUGAGUUGUUAUACCGAAUUGUAGAGCUGGAAGGCCAUGCCGCCGGCUUCAAUGGCAACGCUAACUGGUUGGCUUGCGACAGCCUUUUGCAACGAUUUCUCAUCGUUUUGCGGAACAUCUUCGUACCCAUCAAUGGUUACAACAUGUGCAUUUUUCUGCAUAGGCGAAAAAAGUGAUAGAAAAUUAAUUAGGAGAAAUUUUGAAAGCGGAUUAAUCAAACAUUUGAUGCAUUUAUGUAUAUGUAAGCGUGUCUAUAUGUACCCUGUUGGGAUCACAACUUCCAUCAGUAGCCUUGUAAGGGUAAUCCUCUUCGGUGUCAAUGCCGCCAUUUUUGAUGAUGAAUUUGAAUGCAUAGUCCAUGAGACCUCCAUUGCAUCCCUGGUUAUAUUGCUUGUCACAAUCAACCAGCUCCUGCUCCGACAAGGAGAUUAGAUCCCCUGUUACAAUCUGGUUUAUUCCCUCCACUGCACCAACUGUAGAGAAUGCCCAGCAACUUCCUGUAUUCACCAAAUUUGUCCAAAUUUUAAGGGUUUUUAUAUGUUAUUUCAAUCCCAACGAUUUGAAGAAAGUUUUUAAUUCAAUUCAACCUUAACAAAUAUUAAUUUUUUUAUUUGGAUAAAUAUGUAUUGGAAAAUAGUUUUAAAAAUAUUAUAAGAUUGUAACAUCUAGUCACGUCCAACAACUAUUUCUUAAUCAAUAAGCCCAUCGCAAACUUUUUUAAUCGAAGUCACAUGCAAGAGAUUCCACAAAAUCAAGCUAUUUCAAACACAAGCAAUUAGGCAAACUAGUUUUAAAAAUAUUAUAAGAUUGUAACAUCUAGUCACCUCCAAGAACUAUUUCUUAAUCAAUAAGCCCAUCACAAACUUUUUUAAUCAAUGUCACAUGCAAGAGAUUCCACAAAAUCAAGCUAUUUCAAACACAAGCAAUUAGGCAAACAGAUAUAAUUGAUCCCCACAUGAAAAGUCAAUCAAGGUGCAUAAUACGAAUCAAAUUGCAAAUGACCUUAAAAUAUAUCCAAAAACAAAAAUCCUGACUUACCACAUUGGCCUUGAUCCUUGACAGGUCCAACGGCACCCUUAGCUCUCCAAUCAACGGACUCCGGCAACGCGUCGCCGUGCUUAUACACAUACCUGUCGCUGCUCUUGGCGUUGCCAUUACCGGCCCUAAGAGCCUUCUUCCUCUCCAUCUUGGCACCCAAAUACAUGUUCCUGAACUCAUCGUUAGUCAAAUCCGCAAACUUGUUUAAACCCACUUUGUAGGUCCUGGCAACCGCGUUAUGUUCGUUAACAAACUUCAAGUUAUCCUUGAAAAUCUCGAACCGCCUCUCUUGUUCACCCAACGCAUUGUAGUUCUUGCCGUGCUUCACCAACCAAUGUUCGUACAUCAUCCUCAUGUGGGAUUCCGACAUGUUGCCCCCGCCGUUGCCAUGCAUGCGGUUGUAGUCGAUGAUUGACAUGUCUAGGGCAAAAGUUGACGUAAACAAAAAGAAACACAAACACAAGAACGUAGUCACCAUGGUUAAAGAAGAAGAAGAAGCCGUUGUGAAAGGGGGAGAGUUUAUUGAAUAUGGUGAGAUUUGAAGAUAUUAUAUAGAUGGGAUUUUGAUUAAAGGAGAAGGAAGUUGCGUUGAAAUAGGAGUGUUGUGUAACACGCUAGGUCAUGGGGGCGCGGUGAAUGUUUUUGCCUAUAUUUGGUUAAUUUAACUGCAUGUGUGAUUGUGAUUAAUGGUGGUGAUAAGAUUUUGACCAAAACUAUCGUUUUUAGGGAGAUUUUGUAAUUAAUGAAUGUUGGGUAAUUAUGAGUUCAAAGUUUUGAGUCAUCAUCCUCCUGGCUAAUAAGAGCAGGGCAUGUAUUGUGUUUAUUUAUUUUAUUUCAUGAAAGAAUUGGUUUAUUAUUGAAUUAGCCCUUGUGGUUUCGGAAAGUAACAUUUGAGUCCAUAUGUUUGUUACUUAUGUCUUAUUAAAAAGUUCUUGGUGUUUGUCCACGAGUUUAUUAUUCAUUUUUGUUAGCAAAAAGUAAGUAAUCAAAAUUACGGCGAAAUUUUGAGUGCUCUCAUUAUUUAUACUCUUGUUAAUAUUUAUUUGUAUAUUGUGUUCAUAUUUAAUUAGUUGAGAGAUACAUUUAAUAAGAAUCUAAUGAGAAAUAAUAUAUAAACUAAAAUUAUCUAAAACUUUCUCAUAAAUUAAAAAAAAAAUCUUUAAUUGUUUCUAUCUUCUUCUUUUUUUUUUUCUUGUUUAACUUUGAUACCAAUUUUGUAACACUUUAAUUAAAUAUACAAGGAUAAAAAUCCGCGCGUGAAUUUUUGCGACGAAGUGUCCAAGAUGGAUGGUAUUUGAUGGGGACUAAUAUGAUACAGAUGAUAAGAAUAUGGAACUCAAUGUUACCUUGUUAAAUUAUAGGGACUGACUUGAUAAUUACUUUCUUUUUUUUAUUUUGGCUAAAAAGUUUCUUUAUUGGUUUGGAUUUAAUUAACGGAUUUCGUGCCCAUCAAAACUUGUAAUUAUAUGCUAAAAGUUCUAGGGUGACUUGUUUGAAUAGAAUUGGUUAGCUAAACUAACCUCGUAUUGUUUUAUUUUUUUAUUUGUUUACUAUGAUUAUUGAAUAGUUUUAUUCGAAAGUGGACAUGUGAAAUUGAAUCUGCGUAAACAUAAAAAUAAUGUACGCAUAUCUUUUGUAUUUAGUAAUUUAAUAAUGCUACACAUUCUAAAUUUUUUAUCCCAAAAAAUUAUCCCAAAUGAUGUGGUAUUUAUCAAUUGAUUGAUAAUUCUUUACAAGAUCCAAGUGAAUUAAUUGUAUUAUCUCACCAACUAAUUAAUAAAUGCCACAUCAUUUGGGAUAAAAAAUUUGAGAUGUGUAGCAUUAUUGUUAGUAAUUUAAUAUUUUUAAUCUUUAAAUUGUUGGGUUCACUAUUGUCUAAAUAUAUUUUAGAGAUAAGGGUUAUGACACGAUUUGUCUUCUUCAUCAAACUAUUUGCUGUCCCAUGUGAUCUUGAUCUACUUCAGAGUGGGUGGGAGAUGGGUAGGAGAUUUCCCUGGAUUUUCUUGACUAGAUAAUGUAAGAAUGCAUUGUAUUACUUUUUUAUUCUUCAAAUUUGACAUCCCAAGAGUUAGGAUUAUGAAGUGUGAUAAUAGUUGACAAAUAUUAUUAAAGUCUCACUUCAAUUAUAAGUAACAUUGAAAUGUAUCCAACUUGUGAUAGAAAAAUAUAUGGAAGUUUUUUUUUUUUUUAAUUUUUUUUUUUUUUUUUUUUUUUUAGCCUAAUCAUAUGGUUCGGAUUAGAUAGCACCCACUUGUAUAUAGGAGUACAGAAAAAAUUAAUAAAAAAUAAUAUAACUAAUAAUUGUCUUUAAUCUCAAUUUUUAUUUCUUUGAAACUAAUAACACAACAAACUUUUGAAUACAAUCACACAAAGAAAGCUUGCAAAUCAAUGUACAGCUACGACAUUUUUUAUCGUUAAAAAUAAAUAAACAUAGAAAUUUGUGUCGAAAUUUAAGUCACAUUUUUUUCGAGUCACUAAAUAAAUCUUCCAAUAUAAAAGGGUUGUUGAUUUCUUGGGAGGAGAAAAAAAAAAAAAAAAGAGAUGUGAAGUAAAGCACAAGACUUUCAAUUGUUUACACUUCAGAGGAUUGCUAAGUUUUUGGUAAUAUCAACACGAAACUCUCUAUUCCAUAAACAAUUGGAUUAAUAUAAUUAACAAUUUUUAAGUCAAAAUUUUUCGAGUCGCGAAAUAAAUCAUCCAAUAUACAACGGUUAUUGAUUUCUUGGGGGCCAAAAAAAAAAAAAAACACAAAACCACAAGACUUUCAAUUGUUUAAACUUAAGAAGAUUGCUAAGAUUUUGGUAAUAUCAACAAAUAACUCUGUCUCUAUCCAUAAAUAAUUGGAUUAAGAUAAUUUUUUUUUUUUUUGAAAAUUUUAAAUUGCUUAGAGAGUUACAAUAUUUCACAACCUACGCAUAAUAUUUUAUAUGAUGAACAAAGAAGAGAAAUCUUUUAUUGGUAUGUUUUGAGAGAAAUUUACAUGAGAUAAACUUAUCACACCUCGGCAUGACAAUUUACCACAUAACUCGAACAAUUACCCAUCAUAAAUUCCACUGGUUCUUUAAAUAUAAAAUUUUGUUAUCACACAAUAAGAUCUAUCAAUAAUGUCACUUCAAGAUUUAUUACUUUAUAAUAAAGUAGACUUCGGUGACAAACCUAUCGGUGACAAACCUAUCGGUGACAAACCUAUCGGUGACAAACCUAUCGGUGACAAACCUAUCGGUGACAAACCUAUCGGUGACAAACCUAUCGGUGACAAACCUAUCGGUGACAAACCUAUCGGUGACAAACCUAUCGGUGACAAACCUAUCGGUGACAAACCUAUCGGUGACAAACCUAUCGGUGACAAACCUAUCGGUGACAAACCUAUCGGUGACAAACCUAUCGGUGACAAACCUAUCGGUGACAAACCUAUCGGUGACAAACCUAUCGGUGACAAACCUAUCGGUGACAAACCUAUCGGUGACAAACCUAUCGGUGACAAACCUAUCGGUGACAAACCUAUCGGUGACAAACCUAUCGGUGACAAACCNNNNNNNNNNNNNNNNNNNNNNNNNNNNNNNNNNNNNNNNNNNNNNNNNNNNNNNNNNNNNNNNNNNNNNNNNNNNNNNNNNNNNNNNNNNNNNNNNNNNNNNNNNNNNNNNNNNNNNNNNNNNNNNNNNNNNNNNNNNNNNNNNNNNNNNNNNNNNNNNNNNNNNNNNNNNNNNNNNNNNNNNNNNNNNNNNNNNNNNNNNNNNNNNNNNNNNNNNNNNNNNNNNNNNNNNNNNNNNNNNNNNNNNNNNNNNNNNNNNNNNNNNNNNNNNNNNNNNNNNNNNNNNNNNNNNNNNNNNNNNNNNNNNNNNNNNNNNNNNNNNNNNNNNNNUUUUUUUUUUUUUUUUUUUUUUUUUAGCCUAAUCAUAUGGUUCGGAUUAGAUAGCACCCACUUGUAUAUAGGAGUACAGAAAAAAUUAAUAAAAAAUAAUAUAACUAAUAAUUGUCUUUAAUCUCAAUUUUUAUUUCUUUGAAACUAAUAACACAACAAACUUUUGAAUACAAUCACACAAAGAAAGCUUGCAAAUCAAUGUACAGCUACGACAUUUUUUAUCGUUAAAAAUAAAUAAACAUAGAAAUUUGUGUCGAAAUUUAAGUCACAUUUUUUUCGAGUCACUAAAUAAAUCUUCCAAUAUAAAAGGGUUGUUGAUUUCUUGGGAGGAGAAAAAAAAAAAAAAAAGAGAUGUGAAGUAAAGCACAAGACUUUCAAUUGUUUACACUUCAGAGGAUUGCUAAGUUUUUGGUAAUAUCAACACGAAACUCUCUAUUCCAUAAACAAUUGGAUUAAUAUAAUUAACAAUUUUUAAGUCAAAAUUUUUCGAGUCGCGAAAUAAAUCAUCCAAUAUACAACGGUUAUUGAUUUCUUGGGGGCCAAAAAAAAAAAAAAACACAAAACCACAAGACUUUCAAUUGUUUAAACUUAAGAAGAUUGCUAAGAUUUUGGUAAUAUCAACAAAUAACUCUGUCUCUAUCCAUAAAUAAUUGGAUUAAGAUAAUUUUUUUUUUUUUUGAAAAUUUUAAAUUGCUUAGAGAGUUACAAUAUUUCACAACCUACGCAUAAUAUUUUAUAUGAUGAACAAAGAAGAGAAAUCUUUUAUUGGUAUGUUUUGAGAGAAAUUUACAUGAGAUAAACUUAUCACACCUCGGCAUGACAAUUUACCACAUAACUCGAACAAUUACCCAUCAUAAAUUCCACUGGUUCUUUAAAUAUAAAAUUUUGUUAUCACACAAUAAGAUCUAUCAAUAAUGUCACUUCAAGAUUUAUUACUUUAUAAUAAAGUAGACUUCGGUGACAAACCUAUCGGUGACAAACCUAUCGGUGACAAACCUAUCGGUGACAAACCAAUCUGAUGCAAGUUUUUCUCGUAUCUUUGCUAAUCUACUUAGCAAUGGCAAUCAUUGCACAUUGGCUGCAGCUCUUCGACUAGCGUUGAGCCCAAGAACCUGGCCCAUAAAUAAGCCUAGUUAUGUAGCCCUUGGUUCAUUGCAUUUUUUAAUGGAUUGAUGUAUGACCCAAUUCAGCAUCGUUCAUUGAUAGAUAUUUUGAAAAAAAAAAUAUGUUACAAAUAAUUAUUGAUUUAUUUCCAAAAAAUAAAAUAAAAUCUACCGAAAUCUAACUAAUCAAUUUUAUGAUGAGGUAGCUUGGAUAUCUUUUUUUUAAUAGACCAUAUCUAUCUUUAAAUAUUUAUAAAUAUAAAAAAAUCAAUCUCCACAAAUAUAUACAUGAACAACUUAAAACACUUUUUGAUAGAAGUCAUUUAUCAUUGGGGUUUGGAUGAUUCCCAUUCAUAUGAAUAGAGAUUAGUGGCAACCUUACACUAAAAGAAGAAGAUAAUAAUCAAUAUUUUUAUACUUACGAAAUUGAAUUACAAAACUUGUGUAGCAAACACCAUAUAAUAUGACAUGACGUCAUUAUAAAUUGUCAUCUCUUAUAUGGUUACUUACUUUAUCAUUUUACUUUCAUGUGAUGAUAUAUAAUAAAAGGGUUAUGACGUAGGAUGGUUAUGUACAUUUCAAAGGCAUAAUUUGAACUACAAGCGUCUGUUUUUGGCAUAAAAUAUACUAUUUUGAAGUUUUUGAUAAGACAAAUCGAAAAUUUCACUUCUUUCCUAAUUGUUUUUCAGUUUUAAGAUAUUUUCUUAUUUUUCUUAUUUCUUCUAGGAUUUUUAUCUUUUUUUUUUUAGAAUUCAGAUUUGAACAUUGUUUGUUUUCCUUUUCUUAUUUUGAUUAGGAACAUUUUAUUAUAAAAUAAUAUUUUUGGUUUUCCUAUUUUGAUAAAUUCACAAUAUUUAGGGUUAUUAUAUAAAGGACUUAAAAUCCUAACUUUGUCAAUUUUAUAACUAUUCAAUAAACUUUAUUAUUCAGAAUCUUUGUUUCAACUAUUUUUGGCCUUUUACAUUUAUGUUUCAUCGGGUUAUGUGAUGUCACAUCAAUUGAUAUCCAAAUUUCAUAUCCUUACUUUAUAAGAAUAUUCAAUAAAAUCGGCAGCUGUCUUGUAUUGUUGUUGAGAUGGAUUGUUUUCAGGUUUUUAAAGCUCUCACAGAGAAUUAUUCUUGUCCCAAUGGCUAUGGCAUUAUUCUUGAUGAUUGUAGAGCUUUAGCUCAUUAUAUAGGAGAUGUUAGGUUCUCUUUUGUUCGAAGGUCUGCAAAUACUGCUGCCCAUGUAGCUACAAGGGUGGGGGGUUCUUUGUCAGGCUUUGGAGAGUAGAGUCAUGUUCCACCUCUUUGGUUAAAUCCUUAUCUGUCUGUUAUUUCUAGUUAAUGUAAUUUCCAUAUUACUAAAAAAAAAGAAAGAAUAUUCAAUAAAAAUUUAAUUCUGGCGAAAAUCAAGCUGCUGACCACAAGCUUUCUUAAUUGAUUCUAAUCAAUGAACAAUCUAAUUAAUAUUAGCUUUUAUGCCUUUGCCCUGUUACCUGAUUUUGGUUUCUCAUUUUUCAUGGAUUGCUUCUAUAUAUCAACUAACCAAAUAGUUUUACUUCCCCAGAUACCUGGUGAGACUUAAUAAGUACAGGGGGCCAUUUUUUCACAAGAAAAGGAAAAGAAAAUCCCUAUCCAAGUGCAUGUGUCAUUGCGUUGUGUUGGAUUUUUCAUGUGGUCUUGUCUAUUUUUCUUGAUUGCCAAAUGCCAAAGAAGGGAAUGGAAAAUUCUCAAAUACAUUCAUGACCCAAGAACAUGUGAAAGACAAUGUUUAAAAUAGAUGCUAAAAAUAUUAUUGUUCAAAAACUUGAAAAUUGUUGUUAAUAAGAACAAGCAGAGGUAUAAAGUUAUGGAUAAAACCUUGGCAAUUGAGACUGCAACAACUUGAUGAUGAAUUUUUCAGUAAUGCUAUUUACCCCGGGUCAAACCCCGAAAGUAAUUGAAGCGACGUUGUUUCCUCUUUUUUUUUUUUUUUUUGUUCUCUCUAAAACGACGCCGUUUGGUUUAGUUAGCAUCAACCCCAAUUGCUCUCUCUUCCUCUUCGUUUUAGAACUGAUCCCAAACACUGCAAACCCUUUAAGCUAAACCCACAUAGAUAGACCAACGUACUCCUAAAAAGAACGAAACACCCAUUCAUCUUGAGAUUCUUCACUACUUUGACUCUUCUUGAAUAAUUCCAAAAGGGAAAAAAGAAAAAAAGAAUUAGGUUUAUGUUGCAUUAGAGAGCAAAUUUGUACUAUACAUUCUUCAAGCCGAGCUGAGGAAACUGAAGUUCAAAGUUAUCAGGAUAGAUUUAGAUCCAUAUACAUUUAUACACAUACAUGAAUUACCAGCAACGUGUCAUUGGAUUUUCACAUACACACAUGCAUGUUAUUUUUUGCAAAAUGAAAAGUACUUCAUUUCUCUAAGCAAAAGCACUUCUUAGUUCGUUCUCAUAUGCUUAGAUUACAAGCUUAAUUACCCUUUGAAUUAUACCAAAAAAAAAAGAAAAGAAAGGAGAACUUGUUUCUAAAUUUUACAUUAAGUCUUGUUUCUGCUAUGUGUGAUGGUUGUCGGUGGUGCUGGUGACGAUGGCUGGGUAUGCGUGAUGGUGGCUGCCAGGCUGAUGGCUGUCGGUGGUGGUGGUGGUGACGAUGGUUGGGUGGUAGCUGCCAAGCGUGAUGGCUGUCGGUGUUGGUGGUGUCGAUGGUUGGGUUUGUGUGAUGGAACCUUACGUGAUGGUGGCUGCCAGGCUGAUGGCUGUCGGUGGUGGUGGGUGCCGAUGGUUGGGUAUGCGUGGUGGUGGGUGCCGAUGGUUGUGGAUCGCGAAUGGCUGUGAAAUGAAGAGCAAUGGUUUUACAGAGAAAGCAAUUUGGAGUUGUCGUGGUUUUGCCUUAACCAAGCUAAAAUGACGUCGUUUAAGGGAAAAUGAAUGGAAAAAAAAAGGGAACUGAAACGAUGUCGUUUAUUAGUUUCAAGGUUUGACGUGGGGUUUGACUUGGGGUAAAUAGCAUUUGCCUGAAUUUUUUUAUCUUACUUCCAAUUUUGACACUAGUUUGACAUCUUCAUAAGCAACCAAUAGAACACUAAUGACAUUGAGUUCAGUUCAGAAGUUCAUUUCGGGAACAAAUUGAUAUCAGAUCUUCUAAUAGAGCAUUCAAAUCAGAAAAAGAUGAUCCACCUUCUUCAACAGCUUUCCUUGCCGUCUUUCCUGGCCCCUUAGUUUUGUUUCUCAUGUUAUUUGCACUUUUGCUAACCAUUAACUCAGCUAGUGCCUUUGUAAUAUCAUCUUUCUCUUACGAUAAAUCUUUUCUCAUCCAUCCAUCUAGCCCAUAUUCCAGAGCACCAACUCCAACUCCUAAUCUUAGCGCAUCAGUGACCAGCUUUUUCUUAAGAAACUGCUCUUCAUACAACGGCCAUGUCGCCAUUGGUACCCCGGCAGCAACACUCUCCAAAAUUGAGCUCCAUUCAUAGUUAGUCAUAAUUUUCACCAUUAAUAUAAAUCCAAAAGAAGUCUUGUAUGUAGGCUUCAAGGCCCUCAGAAAUCUGAAGUAGUUGAAUAGCUGAAAACCGUUACACACUUGCAAAACAUACAUAAGAUCAGAGUUGGGUUUCUUUGAGUAUAGCUAUCUUAGGCACUCUUUACUCGCGGCUGUGUUUGUUUUUUGUGUUUUGUCCUUGGCAUACCUGUUGGAGAGUGAAACUGGACCAAAAUGCCAUACCUUUCCGCCCAUGACCUUUCUGUAAUGUUCAGAAUAAGUUGACUCUAGCCCAUGGAAACUAUUUACAAUGACUCCAUAGCUUUUCAGCUCCACUUGAAGAGCCCGAUCCAGAAUGUUUGCAAUUUCAUUUCCUUGUCUUUGGUAGUUGCAGUUUUGUCAUCGUUAUCUAGUCCGGAAGGCGACGCAUGAUGAAUUGAAUGGCUCUAAAUCUGAUCAUGCAACAUUUCUAUGAUGUACAGGCAUCUUAAGCUAUCAAAUGCACAAAAGCGAAAAGAAACUGCUUUCAUAAAACAUCUAGCCAUGGAAUUCCAAGCUUGCUUGCAAUAUCUGUAGACCAAGGAAACACUGUCUUGAUACACAAGAAACUUCUUGAUAAUGAUGUAAUGAAUCAUCUAGUAGAUCUUGAAAUUUUUGAACAAACUGCCAUUUAGCAGUUCAACUAAAUUUGUCCACCUCAAAAUUGGUUAUGUUAGAGAAGAUAGAUAAAUAUACUAUAUAUAGAAAUGAUUUAUUUAGUAACUUUGUCUAUCGUAUAGUGAGCAUUUAAUUUUGUGAACAAAGUUAUAGUUGUGGAUUAACCAAAUAAUUUUAUUUCUCAGUAUCUUUUAUAAUAUCAUUACUCGGUAGCACUUAGCAAGCCGACAAUCAAUCGUAUAUUAAUUAAGCAGAUAAUUAAUUAAGAGAAUCAAUCGUGUAUUGUUUAAAGGGAAAAGGACACAGAGACCCCCAACGUUUGAAUAAGGGAUACAAAAUCCCCUAAAGUUUCAAAAAAGACACUCAGACCCCCAUUUGUUAACAAAAAUUAUAAUUUUAAAAUGCAAUUACCAUUAUGCCCUUAUAGCAUAUUAAAAAAUAAUUGUUCAUUGUCCAAUUUAUUCCUAUAUUAUUAAUAAAAUUACGAAUAUAACUUCAUUACAUAAUUUUUCCAUUUAAUUUUUGUCAAAUUUUCUCUUCAAACUAAAUAAAUUUAAUCCAUUGCUCAAGAAUAAAAAUAAGGGAAAAUAUCCACCGUCCACCCGUUUUUUCUAACUUUUUCAAAAAUACACAAUUCUUUUUUUUUUUUUGCUGGAAUCCACCUGAAGUUGCGUUUUGUUUCACUUUUCCACUUCCGUUUGGAAUCCGUUAUAACAUUACUAAUGUUGUAGGGGUAAAUCGGUCAUUUCAGCAGAGCAGCCCCAAACGACGUCGUUUACAACACAUUGAUCUUCGAACAAUUCAAUCCAGGCUUGACAGAGAAUUUUACUCCAAUUGUUUCCAAAAAUUCUUUAGAGAUCUCCUUUUGUUAUUCAACAACUUCGUAAUUUUCUUCAGAAAAAGCUCUCAGGGCAAAAGAGCUUACUCUUUUAAUUUUCUUCAGUUGUAGCGCUAGUUGCUACUCAAAAUGGCUGAAAGGAUCCACCCCGAAACGACACAGCGCAACGAACAAGAGCCCUCACAUCUGCCGGCGCCCGCGGCCGCAGGAACCUAUGUCAUCCAAAUCCCGAAGGAUCAAAUCUACCGAGUUUCGCCCCCCGAGAACGCCGACCGCAUCAAGGGCCUCUCCCGCCGCCGCAAAUCCCGCAGCACUACCUGCUGCUGCUUCCGUUUCUGCUGCUGCUCGCUGCUUCUCCUCGUCCUCCUCUUGGCCAUCGCCGCCGGCGACUUCUACCUCGUCUUCCGUCCCGAAGCCCCCAACUACUCCGUCGACGACAAGAUCGGCAUCUACUACGAGAGAGGCAGCUCGGUGGAGGUCUACUACAAGGACGUCGGCUUAUGCGACGGCGUCUGGCCUCAGUUUUACCAGCCGACCAACAAUGUCACGGUUUUCUGCAAGCACUCUUGGCUAUUUCAACUCUGCACAAGCUAUAACGGACUAUGCAGAAAUUCUCUUGUAUAUAAAGGAAACCAUAAUGAAGUCAUGGGCAGAGAUAGAAAAGGCAAGACGAUGCCUUGAAAAGAAUGAAGCAGAAUUCACCUUGUGAAGUGAUGGAAGAUGAUGACGGUGAAGAAGAAGAUGACAACGAUAAUGAUAACGAUGAAGACGACUCGGGCGACGAUAGCAAGGAUAGUAAAGUAGAGGAGGAGGAGAUGAUUUCUUUUGAUUAGUUUAGUGUUUUAUUAAGUUUGGGGGGUAAAAUAGUCAUUUGACUAAGUUUCCGUUAGUUUUCCUAACGGAUUCCAAACGGAAGUGGAAAAGUGAAACAAAACGCAACUUCAGGUGGAUUCCAGCAAAAAAAAAAAAGAAUUUUUAUUCUUGAGCAAUGGAUUAAAUUUAUUUAGUUUGAAGAGAAAAUUUGACAAAAAUUAAAUGGAAAAAUUGGGUAAUGAAGUUAUAUUCGUAAUUUUAUUAAUAAUAUAGGAAUAAAUUGGACAAUGAACAAUUAUUUUUUAAUAUGCUAUAAGGGCAUAAUGGUAAUUACACUUUAAAAUUAUAAUUUCUGUUAACAAAUGGGGGUCUGAGUGUCUUUUUUGAAACUUUAGGAGGUUUUGUGUCCUUUAUUCAAACGUUGGGGGUCUCUGUGUCCUUUUCCCUUGUUUAAAAAGACAAUUAAUCAUGUAUAUGUUGAAUUUUAUUUAUUUCCAUAUUUGUUUUGACUUUUUAAAAAGGGACAAAAUGGCCAUCGGGGCUUAGGGGCCAGGUUGUGGUGGUCUUUGUCUGGACAUGGCUGUGGCAGUGGUGAAGCUGGCGGAGGAGCGCACGUGUUGAUGUUGAGCAUGUGGAGGUUCACAGUCACCUCCAACUCCACCUCCAUCGAUCUAUGAAUAUUUCAGUUUCUUGCCUUCUUGUUUCAGCCACAAGGUCACCAGCUGCUACUUCAUAAUGCAAGCAUGAGUGCAAAAUGAAAGUGAACAUUAAAAAUGAAGCACAGAGGAUAUUAACAUUGGUACCCAUUUUGGCUUUCUUCUUCAUCCACAAGAUAAUAAAAGAAUUUCAUUUAUAGAAAGAGAGGAGAUUAGUGAGUCAAGGACUCAUCAGUAAACACAUAUUAAAAAAUACAAAUAAAAUUGUUCUUUUUUUUUAAAUUUUUUUUUUUUUUUUUUUUUUUUUCUUUUCUUUUGGUAGUUGCCCUAUCAUUUGGCAUCAUUUUGUUUUAAAAAACAAAAGGUGCGUCUCACAUGAAGGGACCGAAUGACCAAAUUAUUCAACUUAGCAGCCAUGAAAGGAUACAAAAGCAAGUUCCAAUUUUCACAAGAAUAAUAAUAAUCUGUGAUGAAAGUGGGGUGAAAAUAUGGGCAAGAUUCGUUAAUUCAAUUUGAUUUCAUAUGAAUUAUAUAGGUUUGAGUUUGAAAAAUUAAUUCAUUUAAUAAAUGAGUAAAUUCGAUCUAAUUCGCUAAAUAAACUAAUAGAAUCCAUAUUUAAGUACAUUAAUUUUUUUUUAUUUAAUAAAUAAGUCAAAAAUAAAUCGAAUGCGAAUUAUUUGUUUAAAAAUUCAUUAAUUAUCAUUUAAUUGAAUUAUCUUUUUAUCCUUGCCGAUGCCUUACCAGCGUUAUUAAAUCAUAGCAUUCAAUCAUAAGUGAUGCUUCUUCUCUUUUGCCCUAUGUUCUGUGAUUUUAACUUUUUAAUCCUUACUGUUGUGAAAGUCAUCUUUCGAUCUGUUUAAUUUUUACUGUGUUGAAAGUUAAGAAACUUCUUGAUGGUUGAUAAUGAUGUAAUGAAUCUUGUACGCGUGCAUGCUUGAGGGAUUCAUUAGUUGUGGUGGUCUUUGUCUGGACAUGGCUGUGGCAGUGGUGAAGCUGGCGGAGGAGCGCACGUGUUGAUGUUGAGCAUGUGGAGGUUCACAGUCACCUCCAACUCCACCUCCAUCGAUCUAUGAAUAUUUCAGUUUCUUGCCUUCUUGUUUCAGCCACAAGGUCACCAGCUGCUACUUCAUAAUGCAAGCAUGAGUGCAAAAUGAAAGUGAACAUUAAAAAUGAAGCACAGAGGAUAUUAACAUUGGUACCCAUUUUGGCUUUCUUCUUCAUCCACAAGAUAAUAAAAGAAUUUCAUUUAUAGAAAGAGAGGAGAUUAGUGAGUCAAGGACUCAUCAGUAAACACAUAUUAAAAAAUACAAAUAAAAUUGUUCUUUUUUUUUUUUUUUUUCUUUUCUUUUGGUAGUUGCCCUAUCAUUUGGCAUCAUUUUGUUUUAAAAAACAAAAGGUGCGUCUCACAUGAAGGGACCGAAUGACCAAAUUAUUCAACUUAGCAGCCAUGAAAGGAUACAAAAGCAAGUUCCAAUUUUCACAAGAAUAAUAAUAAUCUGUGAUGAAAGUGGGGUGAAAAUAUGGGCAAGAUUCGUUAAUUCAAUUUGAUUUCAUAUGAAUUAUAUAGGUUUGAGUUUGAAAAAUUAAUUCAUUUAAUAAAUGAGUAAAUUCGAUCUAAUUCGCUAAAUAAACUAAUAGAAUCCAUAUUUAAGUACAUUAAUUUUUUUUUAUUUAAUAAAUAAGUCAAAAAUAAAUCGAAUGCGAAUUAUUUGUUUAAAAAUUCAUUAAUUAUCAUUUAAUUGAAUUAUCUUUUUAUCCUUGCCGAUGCCUUACCAGCGUUAUUAAAUCAUAGCAUUCAAUCAUAAGUGAUGCUUCUUCUCUUUUGCCCUAUGUUCUGUGAUUUUAACUUUUUAAUCCUUACUGUUGUGAAAGUCAUCUUUCGAUCUGUUUAAUUUUUACUGUGUUGAAAGUUAAGAAACUUCUUGAUGGUUGAUAAUGAUGUAAUGAAUCUUGUACGCGUGCAUGCUUGAGGGAUUCAUUAGUUUUAAAUCCUCCAUGUAAAUUGAUGAAUUUUUUUUUUUUGUCUGAACCACUGAGUGGGUCUCAACUAUGGGAGACACAUUUAAGUCCGUACCAUAACCCAGAUUAAUCCCCGUUCACACCGGGUCGGCCCAUAAGAAAUAAAGUGCUGGCCAAAGUGAAUUGCUUAAUUUCUUUUAGCGAAUUGAGGAUUCAUUAGUUUCCGCAAAGUUAGGAGGUCCCAUGUAAAUAUCCAAAAAAUGAACGUUAAGAAUUUCAAACAUCAUAUGGCAAGCGAUUGAACACGUAGUGUGAUUCAUUGAAUUAUUGUAAAUAGUGUUAAUAUUGUGACAACAUUAAAUUGUAACAUAAAUAAUAUCGCCCACUAAUGAAUAAAUACAUAGUUUUCAAUUCUCUAUCUCCUCUUAAAUAUGAUUUAAAUAUGAUUGUAAACAUAAUACCAAUUAAGACAAAAUUUUACAUUAAAAUGAUUUUGAUGUUCUAACUUCUGCCCUCUCAAUAAUCGACCUAGAGUCAAGCAAAAAGUCUUGCUUUUUGUUUUUAUGCAAUCAAGUUGCUUCAACUACGGGUUCAAUCAACUAGCAAAUAGGCUGACAGCUCGCAACGCGGUUCGAAGGUUUGUAUUCGUUAUCUGUUCCCAAAAUUCAAAAUUUCAACUAAAAUUUUCUCCGUACGAUUGAUUCUCUUUCAAUUGCCCACCACCUCACGUGGAUUGUAGACCACGGUUAACAAACAAACCCUUAAUUCCAUUUAAAGUGAUGGGGAACAUCGUAUUGGAAACUUUAAUGAUGGGAAAGUCAGUCCUCUUUGGCUUUGUUUUGUACAAUUUUUUAAGUAAAAUUUUUUUAAGUAGAAUUUUUACUUAAAAGAAUUAGUUGUUUAGUUGUCAAUAAGAGUUUUUAUUAAAAAUUUAUAAAAUUAUUUUAAUAAACAAACGUUUAAAAGUUAUGUUAUUAAAAGAAUAAAAUAAGAUUGUUAAAUAAAUAAAGAAUAUUUUAAAUAUUUUAACAUUUAAAAAUAUCUUUUCAACCUCUAUUUUCAAAAGCUCAAAAUUUGAACUUUUGCUAAUAGAGGCAAAAUAGCGUAUUUAAGCUUCAAAAGCUCUAUUAGAAAAAUAAUCAAACAAUAACAAAAAUUAUGAUUAUAGCUUAUGAGAUUAAAUAAGUACUUAUAACCAUUAAAUAAGUCAUAUCAAACAAGCACUUCAAUGAGAUAAUAUAAUUAAGCCCACACAAUGUGACCUUCAAUUAGAGUGAUAUUUGGUGACCAAAGACUGAAUUAAGAUUAACCAAAUAUCAAAUUAAUAGUGUGUAAGAUCUAACAUGCAUUGACCAGUUAACAUAAACCAUAUAUUCAAUGCUCCUUGUAGUUAUAGCAAAUGGAGUAGAUUAAUUUCUCCCAAUAUUAAGAGUAAACAUAGCAAAUUUAUGCUACAAACUAAUUCGCAUGCCUAGCGGAAAAAAAAAAAAACAAAAUUGAGACAUCGAACACUAAACUAAAAAUAUUAGUUAUAAUUCCUUUUUUUCUUUUUUCAAUCAGAAUUUAACUAUUCUUCACAUAAUCUUGAGCUAUAAAAUUUCAUGAUCUUCUAUCAAGAAUCGAUGUGUAUGCAUGAUUGUGGAAUUGAUUGAAAUGGUUGUGGAAAGUAGAAUUGAAUUGUGUUUGAAAUAAUUGAGGAAUUACCGAAUUAGUUGAAAUGGUAGUGGGUGGGACAUGAGAAUUAAAUUGUGGGUGGGAAAUGGUUUCGGUAGGCCUGACCCGAUGUUGGCCCGAUUCGGGUCGGGCCCGACCCGACCCUAACUAUAAAAAUGUAGGGUUUUUUUUAAGGUUGGACUUUAAUUCUUUAUUGAUCGGGUCGGGUCGGAUUUGGCCAAGCCCGAGCCCGACCCGACGUUUUGCCAUCCCUAAUCUUAUAUCAAGAAUCGAUGUGUAUGCAUGCUUCAUUGCUUCUUGUGAUAUAUAAACCUCUGCACUUAGUUUUCAAGUCUUUAAUUGACAGUGACUUGACCCGCUACUACUUUUAAACCUACUUUGAUUAUUAGCCACCACAUGCGGGAAAUAUCACAAAAUUUUAUGUACCAAAUAUUGCAACACAUUUUACGUAACAUUGAGGAGAAAUUUACUCCUACUAUAUAUAUUAAUUAUGAAAAUGCGAACAAGAAAAAUCCUGUGAAAACUCGAACUAAUAGCUCAACGUAGCCAAUGAUACAUACACCAUACCUUUUACAAUUCAAAAGUUGCAUUAUUGUUGUGAGUUGUGACACAUGGCAUUAUGCAUGUGAGGUGAACUGUAAAAGGUAUGGUGUAUGUAUCUGAGCGCUCUUUGGGUUCUUAUCUACUUUUAAAUAUUAAUAAUGGUUUUGUUUGUGUCACUGCUGGUCCAUUUAACAAUUUUGGCACCGACAGUUUAAAGCAUCAAGUUCUUGCCAAAGAAGUACGUAUUUCAUCGAAUUGUUUCCUGGGAAAAAUUGAAACUUGAAUUUGUCCUUCCAUGGCUACUAGACUGAAUAAUUGGUAAGUUGGACCCUUCAUGUGAGGCGCGCCCAUAUUUUUAAAUCAAGAAGACCUCCAGGUUUCAAUCGUUGUCCUGUCUUCAUGCAGAAAGUGCUUCUGUUGUUUUUUGGCUUCAGCAAUAAAGUUGCAGCUAGCUAGCUAGGAUUAAUUUUGUAAGUGCUUCCCUUUGAACCUUAAAAUUUUUAAUUCCGUUUUUAAUAUGUAUAUAAUAGUACAUAAACGCUUCAUGUUCUUCUUUCUUUCUUUCUUUCUUUCUUUUUUUAGAUGCUUAGUCUAAAAAUGAAGUUGAAUAUUUUUGCCUUCAGAUAUUUGAAAGAAAUAUUUAUAAAUCACAUAUGAGGGGACUUAAAUCUAUAUUCUUACUUGAAAAGAUGAGUGAUUAUCAUCUAAGUAAUGGAUGGUUCCAACUCAAACUCCAAAAACUUAAGUUUUUUAUCAAAUUUUUGAUAUAGAAUCAGGAGGUUACGUAAAGUAAGUGGAGCCGAAGUCAUGAAGCCAAACCAUUAAUUUUUGGACCUACCAAAAAGUUUGAGCAAGCAAACAUACAAUCACUCAAGGGAUUCCAGUGACAAACAGUACUAGCCAAUAAAUAUGCGUUUCUCUUGCUGAAAAUGAUAGGCAAACUACCCCGUAAUACACGUAAUAACAGUGCACAUCAGUAUCUCUCUGUAUGCAUGUGAGUCCUUGACUGAUGACAAGUCUCCGUUUUAGCCUCCGCUCUUUCUCCCUCCGCCUCCUCCGCCGCCUCCGCCUCCUCCAAGACCGCCAAAACCCCCUAGCCCAUUUGGUCCCUUUGCCAGCGAGCGAAUCCAACUUGCAUUCAAAGUAAUUCAAAGAUUCAAAAAGAGAAUCACUUAUGAUCCACAAGGAAUAGCAAAUACAUGGAUGGGUCCUGAUGUUUGCAACAAAUACAAGGGCUUUGUUUGUGACGUACGUCCUGACAUAAAGAAGAAAGCGGUCGCCGGAGUAGACUUCAAUGGCUACCGCUUCAACGGACCAGACUUUAGCCUCUCAGAUUUCCUGGAAAAGCUUGAAGACUUGGCCAUUUUCCAUGCCAAUUCCAACAACUUCACCAAAUCAAUCCCAAAGAUGACAUCAAAGCUGAAGUUCUUAUACGAGCUUGAUGUGAGUAACAACAAGCUAUUCGGCGGUUUUCCAAUGGAAGUAGUUAAUAUCAAGAAUUUAACUUUCUUGGACCUCAGGUUCAACUCAUUCUCAGGGCCAGUCCCUGCCGAAAUUUUCUACCUGGACCUGGAUGUUCUCUUCCUCAACAACAACAAAUUCUCUCAAAAUCUUCCGGAAAAUAUCGGCUCCACAGGAGCCCUUUAUGUCACUUUUGCCAACAACGAGUUCACAGGUCCCAUUCCAAGCAGCAUUGGCAGAGCUAAAUACCUGCUAGAAGUGCUUUUCCUGAACAACUUCUUUACAGGUUGCUUGCCAUAUGAGAUAGGCUUUCUGAGCAACUCUACAGUUUUUGAUGUGGGCAACAACCGCUUGACUGGCCCGAUACCGCACUCAUUCGGAUGCUUGUCCGGCAUGCAAUUCCUGAACUUGGCUAUGAACCAAUUUUACGGGCCAGUGCCGGAGAUUGUGUGCCAGCUGCCGAAGCUUGUCAACCUGUCUCUGUCUUACAAUUAUUUUACUCAGGUUGGUCCUGAAUGCAGGAAAUUGAUAAAGAGAAAGGUUCUUGAUGUGAGAAUGAACUGCAUUUUGGAUCUUCCGAAUCAGAGAUCGCGGGAGGAGUGCGGGAAAUUCUUCUCCGAGUCAAAGAAGUGUCCGAACGAGAGGUCGUUGACUUUGGUUCCUUGUGCGAGGAAUCGUUAUACAUUGAAUUUAACCGAGACGUUUGAUAAAAAAUUAACGGCUCCAGCUCCAUCACCUAGGACUUAUGAUGCCCUCAAAAAGCAUUUCUGAUGAUACCUAUCAUCAUAUGUAGUGCAACCAAAUCUGCAUUCAUCCAAGAUGAUUGAUUGUUGCUAUUUGUACGUAAUUCUCCUACGUUUCUAAGUGAUUUAUAUGUUCUCCGUAGAAGCCAUGUAAACUAGUUAUUUCCAAUCCAAUAAAUCAAUUUUUAUUUAAUUAGUCCUCCUUAAUUUGAACAAUGUUGAAAGUACGUACUUUGAUAGAAUUAAAAACACCAGAGAAUAACUAUCGUACAAUAUUUUAUUGCCUAAUUUUAAUUUAUGAGUUUUUCGUAGUUGAUUCCUUAGAAUUUUUGCUCUUAUCACAGAACUUGGCAUGUUAUUAACAAAAAAAAAAAAAAAAACUUUAAGGUGUAACGAAAAUAGGCCGUCCUCAACGAAGAGGCCUCAACGUUGCAGCAAAUAGCACUGCAUCUACAUUUCAAUUUAAUUGGUGUUGAAUUAUUCAUACAAACCCAAAAAUCAAGUACUUUUCCCUUUUACAGAGGAGAUUGAACGAAUUAAUGCAUGAGGCCGUAAAUAACGGUGUCCUGUUUCUUCGAUGGUAGAUUGAAGUAGGGAUGGCAAAACCCCGGGCCGGGUACCCGAAUUUAUAUUUUUUAAUAUUAUAUGUGUAUAUAUAUAUUUUUUAUUUUUUGGUAAUUUUAUAAGUUUUAAAUUUAUUUUAAUAAAAUUUGACAUGAAAAUAUAAACUUUAAGUGUUUAAAACUUUAUAUAUGUAUAAUAAAUGAGUCAAAUAAAUAUAAAUAUUUAAAAUAAUAUAUAUUUUAUAAUAUUUUUUUAAUAAAAUUCGGAUUCCAAGUUUAUCAAGUGAUGCCCAAAACCGACUCAUCUUCAUACCCAGAUCAGGUAAUACCCGACCCACAACGUUUGGGUACGAUCCAAAUCCGGACCGGACGAAUAUUUUUGCCACCUCUAGAUUGAAGGGACCAAAGACUGACUCGGGUCAAUUAAGGGACCAUUAUUUUGCUGCUUUUCAAAAGUAGAAAGAGAAGUUAAGGAAAUUAGGACCCUGCAUGGGUAUGCUGACAGGAGCUAUAAGUAUCUUUAUUUUUCUAUGCCUGAUAUGGACAAGAAAUCAUUAGCUGUAAGGGGUCAUGUACUCAUGUUUCUUGUAGCUGGAGCUGUGGAGCGAGUGGCCAAAACCCACCUAGUUCAGUCAAUGAAUAAGAAGAGUGGGGACCAAUAUUUUCCUGCUUUAACAAAAGCAUAAAGAAAAGCGAAAGAAAUUGUGACGCUGCAGGGCUAUAAGUGCCUUUGUUUUUAUUUCUAUGCCUCGACAUGGACAAGAAAUAGUUAGCUGGCAUAGAGAAGCCUCCGAAAUGUUAAUACUAUUCCUAAUUCCUUGUUCACCAUGCAAAGCACAGAAGAAGUAAAGGUAAUAUUUCCUCAAUUGGGCUUGAGCCCACGAAGGCACAUUUUCAUGGGCUAAUAGAGUUACAUGGGCCUUCAUGGACCUUACUUGGAGGCCCAAAAGUGGACAUCAUUGACUUUCUCAUGAUUACGCAAGUGUUUCCCUCCACAGUUCCAAUUUUCCCACAACUUUAUUAUUCGUGCCUUAGUGAGCGCACUGAGAAAGUGAAAAUCCUUUUAACAUUUGAUCACUGCUUUUGGAAAUAGCUUCUCAACUAUGAUCUAAGACAAUAAUUCAAUAUUGGACUUCAUAUAAUCGAAUGAUUCAAUGUAUGAAAUUGAAUUUCACCAACUCAUCGAUUUUCUCUUUCAAAAAUUUGAGGGAACGAAUGAGUAUAAAUCUCAUAGGACUCCACAAGUGACCAUUAUUUGUUGUGGCUGGUAAUACAUAUAAGAAGUCUAUCAUAUAUCUAGAAGAUUAGCCUAUUAAGAUACCCACCCACCCACCAACCACUACAGGUGCAAAAUUAGCACAUUUUCUAAAUUGAUUAUGACAUCCAUGAUGAACUAACCAAUCCACAAACAUUACAUUGAAAAAUCAUAUAAUUAAUGAUUCCAGUUACUUUACAAAUGAGACCAUCAACAAUACCUAUACUUCUCAUAUAUAAAAUUCAUAUCAAAGUCAUUUAAUACCCAUCUUAAUUCUUUCCGCUUGUCUCCGAUCUAUAUAAUCUCAUACAUCCAAUAUGGAAAACAUUGCCACUUCCAAAAUCAAGCACUUGAAUCUCUACGCUUGCAUCUACUUCCUCCCAUGCUAUCUCCUCUGCGUAAUGUGCCAUGAUUGUUCUCCAAGCCCCUCACCAUCACCUCCAUUAGUACCAGAAGCCUUAACCUUCUUGGACCAAAGGCUUGCGGCCAUUUACCCAAUAAUUCAAACCUUCAAGAACACAAUCACAUCAGAUCCCUUCAACAUCACAAGCACAUGGAUUGGUUCAGAUAUAUGCAAAUACAAAGGCUUCUACUGCGGUCACCCUCCUGACAAUCUCACAGCCAUCGCCCUCGCCUCAAUAGAUUUCAACGGAUUUGAGCUUGCUGCCCCGACCCUUGACGGCUUCAUCGAUCAACUCCCUGAUCUUUCCCUCUUUCAUGCAAACUCCAACAAAUUUUCUGGCACCAUCUCUCCAAAGCUUGCGCAACUUCCAUAUCUUUACGAGCUAGACAUAAGUAACAACAAAUUUUCGGGUACUUUCCCCGUGGCGAUUCUUGGAAAAAAUGACCUAUCGUUUCUAGACAUCCGAUUUAAUUUCUUUACAGGAUCAGUCCCUCCUCAAGUUUUCAUGCAAACCCUAGACGUACUCUUUCUUAACAACAACAAUUUCAUGCAGAAACUCCCUCAAAAUCUCGGUUCCACACCAGCGCUAUAUCUCACUUUCGCCAACAAUAAAUUCACCGGUUCAAUCCCGAGAAGCAUUGGCAAACUUUCCUUCACAUUAAUCGAAGUCUUGUUCUUGAAUAAUUUGCUCACAGGCUGUCUACCUUAUGAGCUGGGGUUUCUGCGAGAAGCCAGGGUUUUUGAUGCAAGUAACAACCGGUUGACAGGCCCACUGCCGUGCUCGUUAGGGUGCUUGGAAAAGAUCGAACGGCUGAACCUCUCUGGAAACUUACUGUACGGACAGGUACCGGAAGUGUUAUGCGCGUUGGAUAAUUUGGUGAAUUUAUCAUUGUCGAAUAAUUAUUUCACUGGAGUAGGGCCUUUGUGUAGGAAGCUGAUCAAGAAUGGGGUUCUUGAUGUCAAUAGAAAUUGCAUCCAUUAUCUUCCUGACCAGAGAUCGACGCAUGAGUGCGCUCUAUUCUUCUUGCAGCCUCGGUUUUGCUUCUAUCCUUCAUGGUAUAAUUUUAUUCCUUGCAGUAAGGUCUCUCCAUGGAGCCAUCCUCAUUCUCCAUCAAGGACAAAUUCUUCAUCAGUUGCUUACAAUGCUCUUGUGAGAAAUCGAUCGUUGUGAGGAAUAUUCUUGUUGGAUUGUUAGAUAAAAGAAACUGAUCGAAAAAUUACUUGUGAAUGAUAUCAUUAUAUUAUACGGUUGACUCUUUUCCUCGCCUGAACACUCAUGUAACUGUGAGUUAAAUUAUCAAUGAUUGAUGGAAGGAUUUUCUAACGACUGAUUCCAUUUUUAACAUCAUAUACUUUUAUUCUUUUAAGGUAAAACUGUUAAUUUCACCUAAAUUGUUUAGAUGAAUUUAUUGACUUAAUUUAUGCAGGUUAUAAGCGACAAGUUUAUAUUUUUCCUUAGCUUUGAAAGAUCACGUGUAUAUUAAUUGUUAUUCUACAAAUAAUCAAAUCUUUUUUAUUAUCUUUUAUUUUAUUAAUAAAUUCCUAGGUCAAGAGAGAACUUAGUUCGUAAGAAGCUUGAUAAAUUUAUUUCGAUAUGGAGCUUCUUUCUUCUUUUUAUAUCGUCAACCUAAUAAGCGAUAUAUUAGUUGAUGAUCGAGUGGCAAGUGAAGAUUGGAAAUAAUACUCGAAAAAUAAGCCAUCUUGAAUUUGUUUCUCCUUUUGCUUAAUGCAUGGAACUGGUGGUUGAUCAUGAACCAGAAUCAAGCUUUCUUUGAAGGUUGAUUUUGAUUGCCUCGCCACUUAAAACGACCUGGAGGAAAACUGGCGAGUAGGAAUAGGCGAGCAGGCGGUUGAAAUUGGGGACAAACUCGAUCAUAACAACUUUUCCACCUAUCCGAAAAUCUAGGGAUUUAUUUUUAUCCACAAAACCUAUAACCACAUGAUCCCAGGGAGUAAGGGAAGUGGAAUCCUAUAAAAAAAAGCCAUAAUCCUAGAAUUUAGUGUUGGGAAAUUGAUGGGUGAAACAGACGUACAACUAAAGUGAAAUUGAGAAAUAAUGAGACAACAUAAUCACAAUGGAACACUAAAUUUUACGUGAUUCGGCUUUUAACCUACAUUCAUGAGGAAAGACAGAAGAAAAAUAUUUCACUAGUUAUAUAAAGAUUACAAGAAUUAUAAUAUUUUGGCUCGCUACCCAGAACCGCAAUACACCCAAUCUCUAAUUCACUAAUUCACUCUCAAAAUGGAUCUGAAGAAGAAGAAAAGAAUAGGAUACUGAGGAGGGAAAUGAAGCCCUCUAUUUAUAGCUUAAUUUCCUCUCCCUUUUUCAAUUAAAAUAAAAAUAAAAACAAAAAUAAAAAUACAAAUAUUAUUUUAUUAUUUUUUCUUUUCCCUUUUUGGUGCGGCACUACUCUUUUUCUUCUUUUUUUUUUUUUCCUUUGUUCCAGUCAAAGAAGGAAGCAGCACCUCCUUCUUCAAAAUGGGUGGGCUCGCCUUCUAGCAGGGUGGUGCCCGCAUGCCAUUUUUAUCAUUCUCCCACUUGGAAAUUAGAUUGUGAACCAAUUAAUCUCCACAUCAUCCUUUCUGCUUCGUCAUUGUCAUGUUGCUUGCAUUUCUACAAGGCCACAAGAGGAUUUACUCCAUACAAACUUAUCAACAUUGAUCAGCUUAGUCAAAACAUCUGUUAGAUUCUCCUUGGUAUAAAUUUUCUGCAAAUCCACACUUCCAUCUUCCAUUACUUCACGAACGAAGUGAUGUUGUACCCCUAUGUGCUUUGCCCUAGAAUGAAAUACUGGAUUCCUUGCAAUAUGCAAUGCACUCUGACUGUCACAAAACACUGUAACCUUUGUAUCCAAAUAGAUUCCUUGCAAACUUGUGUAUCUGCCAUGUAUUCUGCUUCUAUUGUAAAUAGAGCCACAACGGUCUGCAAUUUUGAAACCCAGUUUACAGCUCCUCCUGCAAGUGUAAACAUAUAGCCAGUAAUGGAUUUCAUUUUAGCAAGGUCUCCUGUAAAAUUUGAAUCCACAUAACCACUGACAGUAAAUUCUAUUCCUCUAUAACAUAACGCAAUAUUUGAGGUUCCUUUGAUGUAUCUCAUAAUCCUCUUCACAAUUUUUCAAUGUUCUCCAUCAGGAUUCGCCAUGUAUCGACUGACUUCUCACAUUGCUUGUGUAAUGUCUGGUCUAGUACAUAUCAUAACGAACAUUAAACUUCCCAUUGCUAAUGCAAAUGGUACUCGAGACAUCUUAUUCCUCUCUGUUUCACUGUUAGUACACAUAUUUGAGGAUAACUUGAAAUUAACAGGAAGUGGUGUAGAAAUUGGUUUACAAUCUUGCAUAUUGUAGUAACGCAAGAUUUUCUUCAAGUAGUUUUUCUGAGAAAACCAAAUCUUCAUGUUAUCUUUGCCUCUGUAAAUUUACAUUCCUAGAAUCUUGUUUCCUAGUCCCAAGUACUUCAUUUCAAACUCCUUAGCCAAUUGUGUCUUCAGUUCUUGGACUCACUCUUUGUUGAGGUCUGUUACCAACAUGUCAUCCACGUACAACAAAAAAAUGAUGAAAUCAUUAUCUUUAAACUUCUUGUAAUAUGCAUAAUGGUCUGAACUGAGUCUGCUGUAUCCAAGGCUCAUGAUUAAGGAAUCAAAUCUCUUAUACCAACACCUUGGUGUCUGUUUGAGACUGUAUAGAGAUUUGUUCAACCUGCAAACCAAGUUCUCUUUACCCUUUUUAGCAAAACCUUCUGGUUGGAGCAUAUACAUUUCUUAUUCAAGUUCUCUAUGAAGAAACACAGUUUUCAUAUCUAACUGCUCUAGAUGUAGGUCAAAUGUAGCAUACAUUGCCAAGACUGCUCUGACUGUUGAAGUCGAACCACCAGAGAAAAAUAUCUCAUUGAAGUCAAUGCAUUUUUUAAGAGCAUAUCUUUUCACCACCAAUUUUGCACGAUACCGCUAUACUUGGUAAUUACCAUCACGCUUGAUCUCGUAGACCAAUUUAUUUCCAAUGACUUUUCUUCCACAUGGUAAUUAUAUAAGUUCCUAUAUCUUAUUCUUGUGUAGAGCUUAAAUUUCUUCCUUAAUUGCUGUCAUCCACAAAGCAACAUCUAGACUGUUUAAAGCUUCAUAGAAAGUUGAUGGCUCUCAAUCAUUUAUUAGAAGACAGUAUGCAACAUUGAUCUCUGUGACAUGAUCCGAGUGUCACACUGGUGGUCGUCUCUCACAAGUUGACCGUCGAACUUCUGGGGCCUCAGACUCGACUGGUUCUUAUUCCUCGCGUUUUGGUACUGUUUUAGAAGAAUUUAAAUCUUCUAAAUUAUUUUCCACAUAUACCGGUACAGUCUCUAAAUUUUCAUUCAGAGUGAUCACCUUCAUCUUUUCUUUGUAAUUGAUAUUCUACAAAGAUAACAUCUCUUCUGAUGACGAUCUUAUGGACAGUGGGGUCCCACAAAUGAUACCCUUUUACUCAAUCAGCAUACCCCAAGAAGAUACACAUUCUAAAUUUUGGAUCUAGCUUUGAUCUUUCCUAGGUAUUGUACAUCACAUAAACUGGACAUCCAAAUGCAUAUAGAUGAGAGUAAUCAACUGGUUUUCCAAUCCACAUCUCUAUCAGAGUCUUCAACCCAAUUUUUGUGGAUGGUGACCGAUUUACUAUAUUACAGGCAGUUUUGGCUGCUUUCGCCCAAAAUGAAUUGGGUAGACCCGCAGUUCUCAACAUAGCUCUUAUUCUUUCUAUAAGAGUCAUGUUCAUCCGCUCUGCCACUCUAUUUUGUUGAGGAGUGUAUGUCACCGUGAACUGCCUCUGAAUAACUUCUUGCAUACAAAAAGCAAGAAACUCGCCUUUUGUAUACUCUCCACUGUUAUUUGUCCUUAAGCACUUUAUCCUCUUUCUGAAUUCAAGUUCUACUCGCGCUUUGUAUUGUUUGAAUAUUAGAAACAAAUUUGACUUUUUCUUGAUUGGAUACACCCAACACCUCUUAAAAUAGUUAUCAAUAAAAGUCACAAAGUAUUUUUCACCUCCCAUGGACAUAUCCGACAUUUCCCAAACAUCAGAAUGAACCAAGUCUAGAAUGCAUUUACUUUUGGCAUCAGAUCUGCUGAAGUUCAAUCUAUGCUGCUUACUUGUAACAAAAAUGCUCACAAAAUGGUAAGUUCACCGAUUUGAGCCCCGAAAGCAAUUUUCGCUCAGAAAGAAUCUUCAAACCUUGUUCUGACAUGUGGCCAAGUUUGAGGUGCCACAUCAUCGUUGAUUCUUCUCUAUUUAACGCGACACACAUAUCAGCUUCCUAUAGUGUUUCCCCUUUAAGCGUGAACAAAUUAGUAGUAAUUUUUUCUACUUUCAUUAAGACAAGCGCACCUUUAGCAAUCUUUAUAAUCUCAUUUUCAAUAUGAUUUUUGCACCCAUGACUAUUUAUUUGUCCCGAGGACAAUAGAUUUUUCUUCAAGGUUUUGACAUGUCCCACCUAGGCUUGGCAAAACCCCGGGUCCGGUCCGGGUUUGGUGCAACCCAGGACCGGACCGGACUCUAAAAAUUGAAACCCGGACCCGGACAAAACCCGGCUUUUGCAUGUCCGGUCCGGGCUUGAGCCCGGCGUGUCCCGGGUCCGGGUUUUGUCUCCCGGGCUUCUAAUCCCGCAAACAAUUAUUUCAGGUAAGGCUAAGAAUUUGAACUUAUCUUUUGCAAAUCAAAUGCCGCAAUCAUGUAAUCAGAAUUGAGCUUACAAAAACCGAAGUGGACAGUUCCAUUGAGAUUGGUCGCCCGAGAACAAUGAUGAAAAAACUUAAAAUCAGUUUCAAAGGUGUUCCAAAGUAUUUCUUUGAGGACUUUUAUCAAACAGUUGAGAUUACGGGCAUGUAUGAAGCCUCUUCAGAAUUUUGCUUCUAAGUUUAAGAUUUCAGAUUUUGGAUUUUUGAUGUCAUCACCACCUGUUAAUAAAAAACUAGAGCACAACACCUUAAUUCCGUAAAAGAAACGAGAAGAGAUGAUUCUGACUGUCGAGUGCCGAGGGGCGACGGUGACGGACUGACAAUGGGUGCUAGCCGACGGUGACGGUGGCAGCGUCGCUGCUUAUGCCUUUGGGUUUGGGUGUUUUGCGAUUUGGGGAAUUAGGGAUUUUCGGAUUUGGGUGUUUUGCGAUUUGGGUUUGGGUAACUGGUUUUUUUUUUUUUUUUUUUAAGUUUAUUCAGAAAACGGGUCCGGGUCCGGGUUCUGGGUUUUUGUUGCUGAACCCGGACCGUGCCCGGAAGUGUCCGGGUUUUAAAUUCUGAAACCCGGAUCCGCUUUUUCAGUAUAUGCGGUCCGGGUUUUGCCCGGACCGGAUUGGCCGGGUCCGGGCCGGAUCCGGUCCGGGCGGGUUUUUUUGACACCCCUAGUCCCACCUCCUCAAUUGUGCGAAUUGUACCAUUAAAUAUUUUUAUUUUAAUAAUACCCAUACCAGCGAUCUCCAAGGCAUGAUCAUCUCUCAUGUAUACAGAUCUUCCUAAGAUAUGUUCAUAUGUUUUGAACCAUUCUCUCUAAGAGGUCAUGUGUCAGGUAGCUCCCGAGUCUAUAAGCCAAACGUCAAAUAACCGUUUUCUGCCUUCUGAAACAAUUGCUUCCUCGUUAUAGAGAAUUUCGCCAUCAUCCGAGGUACUUGUUACACACCCCUGAGCAUUUGAUGACUCAGGAUCUUUACCCUAUUUUCUCUUCUGGUUAUUCCAACACUCUUUUUUGACGUGCCAUUUCUUACCACAAUUGUAGCAUUUGACAUUUUUCUUAUUUCUUGACUUUGAUCUACCAUGGUUGUGACUUUCACUGGGGCCACGCUCCGUUGAUCUCUCUCUCGUCACCGAUAGUGCUUCUGAUUGCUGCGAACUUACUUGUAUGUCUUCUUUAUUUUUAUGUCUGCUUUUCUCAUUUAAUAUGGAGGCCGCAACAUCGUUGAAGACUAGUCUGUCCACUUGAUUGUUGUUCAUCAGAUUGAUGAUAAGAUAAUCAUACGAAUCAGGUAGACUCUAAAGUAGAAGCUAUGCAUGUUCAUUUUCCUCUAUUUGAUGACCCAACGUUGUGAGUUGCGAAAAUAGAGUCUUCAAAGUGUUGAUAUGGUCAGUCACCAAUGUAGAUUCCGCCAUUCGAAGAGUAUAGAGUCUCAUUUUCAAGAAGAUCUUGUUGUGUAGUGACUUGGCCUCAUACAACCUUGUGUGAGUAUCCUAUAUUUCCUUUACUGUUUUUUUCUACCACACUGGAUAAUACCCCAUCUGUAAAUGCCAAGUGUAGAUCAACAAUGGCAUUGCCGUCCAUCUCAUUCCACUUGUCAUCAUCAGUUAUCUCCAUGGGCCUUUCUUCAAUUACUGCCAAGCAAUUAUUGUUCCUCAAGAUAACAUUCAUCUUCAUUUUCCACAACGAGAAAUUAUUCCUGUUGAACUUCUCAAUUUCAUACUUUGCCAUCAUUUUGUUGAUAAAUACCGCACGCAAACUAGUGUACCACCUUGAAUAGUUGCGAGUAUGUGUGAAAAUGCAUGCCAGGAAUGUUUUCAGGAAAGACUAGAGGGAUCACAAUGGUCCCACUUAAAACCCAGACUCCUUAGGCUCUUAUCGCAUUUGUGACAGAACUUUUCUAGACAUUUACAAAACCACGUUGUUAUUCCACUCACACUACUAUUCCCUGCUUUGCACUGUAAAAUUCUUGGAUCGCACCCACUGUUUCUUCUUAACAGUACUGUAUACGUCAAUAGUACCGCAUACGUGAACAAUAUCGUUUAUGUGAACAGUACCUGACUAAAAAACAAUACAACUAAUUUCUCGGAUACCACUGUUAUGAAAUUGAUUGGUGAAGUAAGCAUGCAACUAAAGUGAAAUUGAGAAAUAAUGAGACAAUAGAAUCACACAGGGACACCAAAUUUUACGUGGUUCGGGUUUUAUCCUACAUUUACGGGUGAAGACAGAAGAAAAAUAUUUCACUAGUAAUAUAAGGAUUACAAGUAUUGUAAUAUUUUAGCUCAUUACCCAGAACCCCAAUACACUCAAUCUCUCACUCACUAAUUCUCCUCUCAAAAUGGAUCUGAAGAAGAAUAGAAGAAUUGGAUACUGAGGAGGGAAAUGAAGCCUUUUAUUUAUAACUUCAUUUCCUCUUUGUUUUUCAAUUAAAAUAAUAAUAAUAUUUUAUUAUUUUUUCUUUUCCCUUUUCGAUGCGGCACCACUCUUUAUCUUUUUUUCUUCUUUGUUCCAGUCAAAGAAGAAAGCAGUGCCUCCUUCUUCAAAAUGGGCGGGCCUGCUUUCUAGAAGGGUGGUGCCAGAUUUGUCAUUUAGGGGGAUGAAGAGGAGACUCUAUCCAAAAAUCCCACUAUACCAUAAUCUAUAGGGAGAGAUCUGGUCCCUAUAAAAAUCAUAAGAAUGCCAACAAUUGGGGAUUUUUUUUUUAAAAAAAAGUUCUAUCUUAUAUCAUUCUCUAUGUAUCUUAAUGGAUUUACUUUUUGAACUGAUUCUUCAUCCUCACUCAUCUUUAUCCUUCAUUAUCUUGUCUUUACUUCUUCCUCUUAUUUUAAGGGAGAACUUCUUCUUAUGUUUUUCUUUUUGGUUUAUUUUUAUUCAUUCUUACACAAAAUUUAUACACUUGCGUUAUUCCACGAAAAUCCUUGAUACUGACUUGAGUGUCGGAGGAUUAACGUCGGAAAAACUUCCUACACCCCUGACUAUUUUUCUGGUUGCAGUGCUUGCCAGGAUAGAAUUGUACUCGCCAUUUCCGGCUUCCUGGGGUUGGAUUCCUGGUCGUCAACUUCUACUCAGGUUGUUAAAUCAAAGCUAGAAAUCGUCUCUCUACACAAACAAAUUGAAAUGCUGGCAUUGAAAUUUGGUAGGUAGCCCACACAUCAACACGAUCAGAUUUUGGCGUCAACAGGAACCACAUGGAUAAAACUUUUACUAGCUAGCUUUUGAAAAGCAUUAAUAUUUAAAACGCCAAAAAGACACCAUCAACAUAAAAAUAAGAUUACUGUUCAUACUACAAUACCAUUGAGCACACAAAAAAAAUGCACUAUUCAUGCCAGUGUUGUCGAAUCAUCUUAUUGACUCAACAUCAUUUUUCUUUCUUCAACAAUCUCAAUAUAUAGAAACAAGGCUUUGUGCCAUCUGCCGAGUUUCCACGUGGGCUUUUGAUUUGUCUCAACCUCUAGAAAAAAUUUAGAGUACAUUAGAGGUAGUACACCCAAUUAAUGCAUAUAUGCUAUGUAUAGUUCAUUUAAAUAUAACUACUAAUUGUAUAAUGAUUUUUAUAAAACAAAUAUAUCUAUGACAUAUAUGCAUUAGUUGAGUGUGGCACCUUUUAUGUACUCUAUAAUAUCUCUAGUCUCUGAUGUACAUAUAAUCCUAAUGGUAAUAGUGGCUAUGUAGUAUGAUAAAAAUGAAAGUAUAUUUGGUCAAAUAUAUUCAACGUUAAAUUUGAAUGUUAUACGUUUGGACAUCCUUAUAAUAAAAAUAUAUUGUCUACCCCAUUCAUUCCAAAUUUCUCCUGUUUAAAUUAAUCAAAUUUAUGUAACCGUAACCGACGUCUUGUUCUUAAGCUGAAGUGUUUCCAUUACAAUAUAUCAUGAUAUUUCAACUUCGGUACAAUUUGUUAAAUAAAAUUGAUUUUCUUUUAGCACUCUUUUGAAUCUGUUCUCAACCCACAAGUUACCAGUCAUGAAAAAGAUUGAAUAGAUCCGUAUAAUUGUAAGUAUUCAAAUUUAAUAAUAUUUUGGCGCAUAUGUAUAUAAACAACGAUACUCCCAAAAAAGAAUUUUAAAAAAAGUCAACUGUAAUAUGCCACAUAACGGAAAAAAAAUAGUUGAAAUUAAUCAAUCAAUAUUUGAUUUAGGGGUUGAGAGCUAUUGACUCGAUCCUAUAGGUUAAAAUUCAGAGUAUUUUCAUGUGUAAUUUGAGAGUAGAAUUUUCUUUAUUUGACAAUAGACUUUUCUUUUUUAAGAACAUAUUUUUUAGCUAGAUCUCAAAUGAGCUACGUCAAAAUAAGUCCUGAUAGAGAUUAUGUACUUGAAAAAAAAAGUUAUUAUAAUAAUGUGUAGAGAAAAGAGCAAGAAGUAUUUUUAAGAAAAUAAAUAAUUUAUAACACUUCAAAACCGGCACUUUUUUUUUUUUAAUGCCUCAAUCGGAUGUUUUAAAAUCUAUUUCGUUAAUAUAAGUAAAGAUUGGAUACACGUACGCCAUGAAUGUGUCUUCACGACGUUCAUUUUUUUAUAAAAAAAGAAAAAGAAAAAGUGACAAUAGAUUGAGUACUCUAGUUAGGCAAGCAUGCAUGUGACUUUAAAUCUUUAUGCUGACAUUUUUCACGCAUAGAUAGAUUGAGUCCAUAACCGUUGACCGAUCUUAAACGAAUUACAAAACUUUUUAGUGUGGAAUUUUUUUUUUUAUAUAAGUUGUAGCGUGGAUUUAUUUUACUCAAAAUGUAAAAUAUCCCAAUCUUAAUUUAUAUAUGCGAGCAUGACUUAUGAGUGAUGGAUGAUUAAUUGCAUGUUGAUGUCGAUGUUGCACCAAAAGGUAAGCAGCUAUACAUAAAUUUCUAUGUAUUAGUAGUUUUUUUUUAUCCGAAAUCUUAAACUUAAAAAAAAUCGAAAAAAAAACUUUAAAACUAUGAGUUUAAUAGUAUUAUAAAAUUAAGGGAAAUUUUUAACCUACUCCCAACUUAAUUGAUAUUUUGCACUACACAUAAAAAAAAAAAAUGACGUGUGCACUGCGUCCCCAAUUCCGUUAAUUUUUCAGUUAAGUUUAACGGUGGAGGGGUAAAAUUGGAAAUUUAUUCCUUAAAUUAAUUUUAAUGGGAAUUCUCUUUAUUACAAUUGAAAUAAAAAUCUUUAAAAAAUUAAAGGAAAAAUAAUAGUGGUGACAAUGUAAAAAAAAUGACUUUUUUUAUUGCAAUUAAAUUCCGUUAAUUUUUCAGUUAAGUUUAACGGUGGAGGGGUAAAAUUGGAAAUUUAUUCCUUAAAUUAAUUUUAAUGGGAAUUCUCUUUAUUACAAUUGAAAUAAAAAUCUUAAAAAAAUUAAAGGAAAAAUAAUAGUGGUGACAAUGUAAAUGUAACAAGAAAUUUUUUUUAUUGCAAUUAAAAAAACCUUAAAAAAUUAAAUGAGCUAAAAUUUUUGUUUUUUUUUCAUAUAGAGGGGCAUUUUUGUCAUUCAAUCAAAAGUUAGACGGAACCGUUAGAAAUAACUGAAAAAUUAACGGAAUCGGGGGCGCGGUGCAACACGUCAUUAUUUUUUGGUACACGGUACAAAAUGUCAAUUAAUUUGGAGGUAGGUUAAAAAUUUUCCUAAAAUUAAUCUUUAAAACUGUAAAUUUAAAACUGCACAGUUUUAAAUCUUUCUUUAAUUUUCUCGUACUUAAAAAUACUGAAUUAAAAAAAAUUAUAUAUAUAUAUAAAACAAUUUAGAGAAACAUUGAUUCAAAGACAGAAGUUCAUUCCAAUUAACAAAGUCCUAUAUGAGGACAAUAAUUAAAUAACGUGUUACAAUAUUGUUUCGCUGGGGAUUUUGUCCGAUCUCAAUCCAGUCCGAACCUCCAAAAAAGAUCAUUAUUUUGUGACAAAAAUAUACAUUGAUUACCAUUCUUUUCUCCCUACAAAAUGGAAGAAAGCCAUUCCAUUCAGGCUGUGUUUACUUUAUGGAGUGGGAGUGAGGAGUGUGGAUUCCUCUCACUCUAGUGUUUACUUCAACAAAUUGGCUUCGGAUUGGGAAUCCCACUCCGUGAGCCCCAUCCAUUUUUGGAGUGGGGAGUGGGAGUGGGACUCCCAUGGGGAGAGGUGGGAGUGGGAAUCCCCUCUCACCUCUCCCUUUUCUACCUUUUUUAAUUUAAUUUAAUUUAAUAUUUUAUAUUUAAUAAAAUAAAUAAAUAAUAUUAUAUUUAUUUGAAUAAUAUUAUUAUAUUUAUUUUAAAAAUAAUAGUACUAUAUUUAUUUAAUAUUAAUAAUUAAUAAUAAUAAAUAGUUUAUUCUAAGAAAAUAUUAAUUUUGUACUAAAUAAUAUUAUAUUAUUAUUUUAUAUAAUAAUAAAUUUAAUAUAAUUAUAUUUAAUAAUUAAUACUAAUAAAUAGUUUAUUCUAAGAAAAUAUUAAUUUCAUACUAUGUUAAUAGUAAAAAUAUUUCAUUUAUAUUGCCCUUAUCAAUAAUUUUUAAUUUAUAUAAUUAAAAUUAAAAUUAAUAAAAAUUGUGAUGUUCAUAAUUAAGAAUAUUAAUAAUUAUUAUAAAUUUACAAAUAUAAUAAAAUAAAUGUUUAUUCAUUAAAUAUAUUUUUAUUAACUUUGUAAUUAAAAACUAUAAUUCUUUAAAUAAGGAUAAAAUUAUAAUUUAAAACUAUUUACUCCCAAUCUAAGAAAAAGUAAACACAUAAAUUGAAUUUUGAUCUCCAUUUCAUACUUCCAUUUCAGUGUAAGUAAACAACCUACUCACACUCCCACUCCACACUACUAAUCAUAGGAUUCUCACUUUUCAAAAUUCUCACUGCAAUUCAAAAAGUAAACGCCACCUCAAAAUAAUUGCCCAAUCACAAUCUCAUAUCUAGAAAAAACACCAUGGACAUGGGCGUGUCUUGUUUCCAUAAAUUACAAGAACCCCAGUCACAGAAGUCCAGCCUGUUUCAUUAAAACCCGAGGACCAGGAAACUCAUCAACAUCCCAUGCAAACAAACACAAAACUAACUAAACUGCAAAUUUUAUUGCACCGACAGAAAAGACCCAUUGCCCCUGUCACGCUCUCGAUUCCUGCCCGUAACAUCCGCUUUACCCACGUGAUUCACGUGAUCAAAUAUUUAAGGCUGGAGGUAAAAUGUAUAAAUUAAAGAUUUGAAAUAAUAACAUCCGGAUCCCUAUCUAUUUAGACUUUCCAAAGAAUAAUGUACGUUUCUAACAUUUGUAUCAAAUAGUACCCUAAUCUUUUGAAUUAAAUACCCUUUCGUUUUAAGUUUGUGUACCCUUACCUGUGUUAAAAGUUAAAAUAAAAUAAAAUAAAAUAUAGAACGCUUAAAUCUAUAAGAUUUAUUACACAUAAUCUUUUUAAGUUUGAACUACCAUGCUUUCAUUAAAUUUAUUUUCAUUAUCACAUAGAUUUCAAAAAAUAACAUUUAGCAACGUAUUUAAUUUCUUGAAAUAAGUUCUAAUUAACAAAAGAAGAUUUAUAUUUUAUUCUAUAAUAUUGGAGAUUUAUCUAUAUACUGUUAGGCCAAAGGUUGGGGGUUAGACUUCUCGUUUUGUUAGUUAAAAAGAUUUAUAUUUUUCAACGAACUUGUUGAUUUUUGAAACGAAUGAACAAAUUAUGUAUGUAUUAGGGGAAAAAAAAAAAUAAACAUAUAGGGACAAGAAUGUUAUUACUUAAUUUUAUGUCGCCAAUCCCAUGAACCGGAAGUUCUGCGGAUCAUUCUUUAUCCGCAAAGACGCGUGAAGCAUCGUUAGACAUGGAGGCGCGUGCAGAAGAACACAACAGGCCAGAAACAGUUCCCAAGAUUCGAAAUCUGAAGAGUGAAGACAUUUUUGAAUAAAUACUGCUGGAAUUACUACUGCUCGUUCCACUUUUGGCUUCGCCAAAAGGUAACAACUAUCACCACCGACACCUCGCCGUCAAUUCCUUUUAUCUUGUUUGUUUCCAGAGAAAAUGGAACGAUAAUUGAUCCUCUUUGUUUACGGUUGUUGAGUUCAUUUAAAAUAAAAAAUAAAAAUUGACCAGAACUCUUAGGUGUCAAAUUUUGAUUUUUCUUUCCCACCUUCUUUUCAGAAAAAAGCAAAGGAAGCAUACGGAAACCUUAUCUAAUUUCUAAUUUCAAAACUUUUCCACAUUUUAAACCUGUAAAGUUACACUUCUUAAUAUUGUAAAAAAAAAAAAAGAAGGAAAAACUAAAGUAUGGUACAAUUGUAAUCACAGACGGUAGGGUACCCCGUCUCUCAAUCACGCAUCAUCAUCAUCAUCAUCAUGAUGCCCAUCUUCAAUCAAAGAAUGAUCAUCAGAAGAUGAAGGAGAUGACAAUGAUGAAGAUGGUGAUGAACUUUUGCAAAACUUAAAGCUCUGCUCCUCGUUCCCCUCAAUUGGCGCCAUUGGCUCCACCACAAAAUGGGCUAACUUGUCCACAACCUCAACCAAAUUCUCUUCGCACAAGAACUCCUCACUACAAACCCUUUCAACUUCCCUAUUAAAAUCAUGCACAAACACGUGCGUCUUCUUCCGUCCAGUUUUCUUGCUCCUCGCCAACACGCUCGCCGUAAAAAUCGGCGCCAUCCUCCCCGGAGCCCCCGGGAAGUAGCCGCUCGGGCCGUCGACCAAGAUGACAUCCCAGUCCAUGUCGUAAACGUGAUUGGGCAUGUCGUUGAUGGCGAGCUUGCAAUCCGAGAACAGGAGGUUCUGCACGGGCCUGCAAUCGUCUUUGAACUGCUUCCUUACAGCAUGCAGCGUCGGGUUCAUUUCCUCGACUUUGGUCGUGUACUGGACGUCGUAAAUCUCGAAGCCCGGGUGGUUUUUCUCGAAGGACUGGACCAGGAACUCGCUCUCGUCGACAAAGAUGGUGUGGCCCUGGAAGUUCAAGGAUUUCCAGAGGAGGGUCUCGUGGGUGAGGCCGAAGACGAGGAAGUUACAGGAAGGGGAGCAGCGGGAGAGGGCGUCGGCGACUGCGGUGAGCUCAGCUGAGGUCAUGGUGGAGUUGGAAGUGAGAGUGUAGUGGAGCAAGGCGGCAGUUAUGAUGGAGGAGGAGGAGGAGGAGGAAGAAGAGGAAGGGAGAGAUUUGGCGGUAGAGGCGACGGAGGAGGCGGGAUUGAUUGCGGUAGUGAAGAAAGUGAGGGUGAAAGCUAAGGUGAAGAAAGUGAGGAAGAAGAGGAGAUAAAAGCGAUGCGUUGUUAUGGUGGUGGUGGUGGUGGUGGGCUUGUGGAUAGUUGAAGGGCGGAGAAGAAUUAGCUUUGUGUUUAUGUUGUUCUUCAUUUUCUAUUGAGUAUGGUUAUGGUGAGAGACACAGAAAAGAAAAAGUGAUGAGUUUUGCAAGUUUGUUUGGGAUCUUGAAUUCUCUCUAUUUUAUGGUAAUUUUAUUUUUUGGGUUGUGAAGAAAGAGAGGAAUCACGGAGGGAAUUGAGAGAGAGAAAAUCAUACGGAGAUCGAGAAAGUGACUGGAGGUGGUGUGGUGUUAAAAAAAUGGACAGGUGGGGGGCCCUCGGGAUUUUUGCAUUUAUGUUUUGAAGAGAUUAUGUGUCUCUUUUAUGAAAAGAAAAAUAUAUCCCCCCUCCCUAAAUUGAAUGGCAAAAUUUUGAAUUUGGUUGUUGACUUGUUGCCAUGAUUGUGUUUUUCUCUUUUUUCCUUCCCUCAGAUUAAUAUUUUUAAAUUGAAUGUAUAUAUGUUUGUCAAAAUUUUAUUAGAUAAAUGCGUGAAUGGUGCGGUAUGCUCAUAGAAUGAUAGAAUGGAUAUCUUAUUGAUUUUUUUUUUUUAAAUAAUUGGUUAUCAUCAACAUAGAAAUUAAACUUAAUUUCUUUCUUUCUUUUCUUUAAAUAUUAUCUUUAAUCCCUUGACGUUUAUACGAAAUUUGUGAAGAUUACUUUAAUUUGUCCAACAGUGAUGGAAUGAGAUUAGCUCAAAAGUUUACUCAAACUAGAAAGAAUAUAAAACUCGGGAGUAACAACUCGAGGAAGUAAGGAUGUUGAUUUUUCUCCCUAAGAUUUCGUAUCUUUCCUUCAAAUCUUUGCAUUUACUAUAGUUUAAAUAUCGGUAUAUUAUAACCAGCUGCUGCCCUCCAACUUGGAGGGCAGCAGUUCGAACCCCCACAAAAGUAUUGUGGGGGUAUUUCCUUCCUCAAUUAAUUUGAGUGAAAGUAGUCUUCUCCCUUACCCAUGAGUGAGGAGUAGACAUCCCUCGAAUAUUUGUGAGGGUUAAAAUCUGGGCAGAGCUCCAUUAACAUUGAUGUCAAUUGGUUCCAGUAAUAGUCUGAUUUGUAAAUAUCAGUAAUAGUCUCAUGUAUAUGAGUUGUAAUCUGAGCAAUAGUCUCAUGUAAUAAAAAAAAAAAAUAUCGGUAUAUUAUUUUAUUUAUAUAAAUAUAAAGAAUAUAAUUAUAUUUGAAUUUAAAGUAUACUUUUACAAUCACCAAAUGGUUGUGGCUCAGUUGGCAGCGCAGACUGAGUUUGUGAGAAGAGCUAUCGGGCUCGAUCCCCACUAAAUACGCCAUUUAGAAGGGAUAAAGAGCCUUAACUUGUGACUAUACCGCGAAUUCAGAUUAAUCGGGACUCAAUGUGAUCGUCGGAUACCGAAUAUCUUACACAAAAAAAAAAAAUAUACCUUUACAUUGCUAUGAUACAAUCCAAAAAUUAUCAAAUUCACCAAAUAUACAGUCAAUACAAUUUUUUUCCUUUUUUUGAAUUUCUUUUAUAGACAAAAACUUAAUAUAUAUAAUUAUUACAUUAGAUUCGGAUGCUAAUAUGUUGUUAUAGAAGUAAAAUGUCAAAAGUUCAAUGCCAUCAUCUCAUCUUAUAAAUGAGAUGUCGAGAAUUCAAUUUUAAGGAUAUGAUAACUGACACACAAAUUAAUGAGAGGGAAUCUGCUUAAUAAAUAUUUAUUAUAAGUUCUAAAAAGAAAAAAAAAAUGCAAAUAACCUGAAGCGCUAUUGCAAUUUUGAAUUGUUUUGAACCCAAAGUUGUCCACCCAUUACCAUUAGCAGCAGCAACAAACUUUUUCAAAUGUUAGUGUUUACCAACCAGUGACCCCAAAAUUAUUUCUCUUAAUUUUAAGACAACUUUUCCCAAACACUAUGUGCUUUAUUCUUAAUCCAGUUUUAACAAAUGAUUAAAAUUUUGAAUCAAACGGACCAAUUCCAUGAUUUCAUGUUAAUGAUUAUUUCCACAUGCUCUCUAUCUUUUUAAAAUAAAAGAAAAAAUAUUUUACUGUUAAGUGUUGUUCUAGGACAGUACAUAUUUUGUUUUGUUUAUCUGUAUAAAGAUAUGGUAAUAUAUUCCAAACUGAAGGUUUCAAAAUUUGGUUAAGAAGAAGCAGUCAUUAAACUUAUAUUUUGACUUAAUAAGCUAUUAGUGAAAAAUAAUUAUCUACCUAUUUUUUUAAGUUGUUGUUAAAAUUAAAAAAAAAAUUGAAAUAAACAAUUUUUACAAAAUUUACUAAGUACUGUUUUUGUCUCAAACUAUGAUAAAUUUUUUUUUUUUUUGAUUACAUGAGACUAUUGCUCAGAUUAAAACUCAUAUUACAUGAGACUAUAACUGAUAUUUACAAAUCAAACUAUUACUGGGACUAACUUACAUCAAUGCUAAUGGAGCUCUGCCCAGAUUUUUUUAACCCUCACAAAGAUUCGAGGGAUGUCUACUCUUCACUCAUGGGUAAGAGAGAAGACUACCUUCACUCAAUUAAUUGAAAAAAAAAUACCCCCAUAAUACUUUUGUGGGAGUUCAAACUGCUAACCUCCACUCGGCCGAGUGGUUCAAACUAUGAUAAAUUGAUUAUUUUGUGUUAAACUUAAUUCGAGGCCUAAAAUUAUAGCAAUUGAAUGCGUGUCUGAACAGCAUAGAUUAACUAAGUUAAAAAUCUUCUUAUAAUAAUAUUCCUUUUGCUGUCUUUUUCAAGAAGUCAUAGUCUCUAUUUAUGGUUAAAAGGCCACCUGCCAUUUGAAUUCAAUUGGUGCAUAUGCUUUGUGAUGAUAUUCUAUUUUCUUCUGUACUUUCCUCAGUUCUGCUCUUCUAUUUUGCUCUGGUCUUCUCUUAUUAUAGAUAUAUUUUUACCACUACAUGAACAAUUUAAUGAAAAGAUUGUUUGAUGUCCUUGCUGAUAUCUUUGGAUGCAGAGUUACAAGCCUUUUUAAUUCUGGAAAUUGAAGGUGGAGAACCGCUUUGAUUUUCCUCUGUUACAAAAACAAAGAAUGCAAUGGCGAUUAAGAACUAAAUUUUGCUAAGGAUCAAUCAAAUUGAGAUAACGGGUCCCGUAUUAUAGAUUAUGUACCAGUUGAAGAGCUGUCUGGUGAAGCAAGAGAUUCAAGAACCCUCAGAAACAGAAUGGAUCCCUUGUCAUUUGGAGGAGAAAAGUGAUUCUCUGCUUUUUCUUCUUCUUCUUGCUGUUGUUCCUUGAUUCUGACUCUUGGCCGUGGGUACACUUCAAAGCCCAAAAAUAACACAUACCCAAGUAAGAAAAUUGCAUGAAUUUGAACAAAGAUAAGAAAGAAAGAUUUUUUUUCGCAUGAUGUAUAAAUGCUAAUAUUAUAUGGGAUAUGCGUAAUAUGCAGUAAACAUACUCUUUUUUUUUUUUUCUUGGGUUCUGUCUUGUGCUUCUCUAAUCUCCAGAAUAAUCAAAUUGUAGGAUGAGAGCUAAGAUCAAAUAAACAAAUCCCAGAAGAGAAAAAUGAAAGAAACAAAAAAAGCAUAAGAUCUGUAGACUCAGUAUAGGACUUAAGCUAAUUCAAAUGGCUUUGGCUCUUCCUCUAGUGAAGAAUACGGAAUCAGGCACCUUCAUAACGUAUUAAAAGCAAAAGGCAACGGUCUCCGAUGACUCUGAAAAAGAUGGUACUCUGCGUUUCAUUUCUUGACUUGGAAACCAAGAAGCAAACUCAUACUGCUUAGCUAACACGUGGCAGCAAUGGAUCCCCAUAACAUUACCUGAGAGGCGGGGGCUGACAGACGUGUCUGUGAAAUCUGAAUCGUGGUCGCUUUGCUGGGAGAAAAGUGGAAACAUGAUAGCACUCGCGCUCGCAAUAACUCAAUCAAUUAUAAUUUCCCAUUGCGCCACAAUAUUUAUCUUUUCUUCAAAGCUAUUGACACCCAAGUAUCAAUCAAAGUUGUUACAAAUUAUAACAACUUAAUAAUAAGACCGGACAUAAUGCAUUAUAAGUUAUAGUAAUCAAAUAAUUCACACAAUUUAUUGAAACCCUUAAAAGGACAAGGACGAUUGGUAUUGUUUUUGGUAAAACAAAAAUCCGUUUAAAUGAGCUUUAAACAACAAGAAUAAAAUAAAAAUUAAAAGAAUGGAGUUUAUUAAAGUUAUUUUUGUUAAUAAUAGAGAUGCUUAAAUAAUCUACAUUGUAUUUAAAUUAUUUUAAUUGAGUAAAUAAAGAUAAGGAUUUCAAAAGAUUUUUUUUUUUUUGGGAGUAUCAAGAGCCAAACUCCAAAUAUUAUUUUGGGCAAAACAUAGAGUUUCAAAAAGUAACUUAAAAACAAAACUAAAACAUUUUCCGCUGCCGGGAUUCGAACCCGGAUUUCUGAUGUCAAAUUUGCCAUUGUGCUACAGCGGAAUUUGUUUGAAUGGUGCCUAGAAAAUUUUUUUAUCGAUUAUAAUUACAGAUUAACAUAUCACUUUAAUUUUGGGCUUUUGCCAUUUUGACGACUUUACUUUGGGCUUUUUAGGUUUCUGAUGGCCCAACUUCGGUUUUAAAAGAUAAAAGUUUUUUGAAUGAGUUGGACUAUUGGCACCCCUCUCAUCUCCUCAUAAAAUCCCAUUUUUACUUAUAUUCAUUUUAUUUCCGAAAAUACCCAUUCUUUUAGAUAUACUUUUUUAAGUUCUCAUUUUUCAUUUGAUUUAUUUUAUUGUUAAAACUCAAAGUAUUAUUAUGCUAAUUUUUAAUUAUUUUCAAUUUUAUUAUUAAUCUACACACAAAUUAAAAAGUUAUAUGGGUGAUAAGUUUUUUAGUGUUAAUCAUUGGCUAAAAUAACACAAUUUUCAAAUUAUAAUUUCAAAGCAAUUUUAAGUACAAAAAUAUUUAACCAAUAAGAAAUCAAAAGAGAACAAUAGAUUAUUCUAAAUUUGUAUAAUUUAUUUUAGUUAAAUAAGAAGUAACAUAUAGAUUUUUUAUUUUUUUUUGCAAAAGGAUUGAUUAUGAAUUAAGUAAUUUGCUGGAAAAAAUUUAUGUGUUUAAUUUUCAAUUGUUCUUAAUUAUAAUUUUAUUUAAAGUGGAGUUUUUUAAGAAUAAUGUAGGGGUGCCAAUAGCUCCACUCUUUCUGAAUUUGAUUUUGGAAUUAAAAUAAUUAAAAUUUAACGAUUGGCAACAACAUAUUUAGCGUCUAUUUUGAUAACAAUUUUAUUUUCGAAUAAUAAUUAUUGAAUAAUAAUUUGGGACUAUUUGCAUCCAUCAAAUUUCCCUCUACACCUAUUUAAAAAAAUAAAUUCAUUAUUAAAACUUAAAAAUUUAAAAUUUUAAAAAUUUUAAAAUUAUCUUUCAUUAAUCACUUUCUCUCUCUAAGUUCCAAUUGCAUACUCUUAAUUUGUUUUCACAUUUUCCAAACUAAACACUUUAUUUCACUCUUUCUUGGGUUCAUUUUUUUGGGACAUGCGUAAUAUAUAAACAUUUUUUUUUUCUUGAGUCUGUCUUGUGCUUCUAAUCUCCAGAAUAAUACUUCCCUCUCCGAAACCACUUUCAAUUGUACGCAGAAAGAAAAAAAAAGAAAAAGAGAAAGAAGAAAAAUCUCUCAACUUACAGUGGCGCUGAAACCCUCAAAGCAUUCCAUUUUCAUGGCUGUUAGAAUAAAAGCAACAGCUUAUAGAUGUAAUUUUGUGGUGUUCAUUCCGUCACCCUCCAAAGCCCACAACUCCAAAUUCCAAAAAUGACCUCUCAUCUCCAACGACGAAAUUCCCUCAUCAUUUCAGGGAUGGAAGCUCUCUUUCAAAAAUUCCUAAAAGAUAGUUACAGAUCAGGUGAUGUCACUCCAAAUGAAACUCUCUAUUUCUUUGAUUGCACGAUCAAAAUGAAGUCCUUUCCUCUUAUGCCUCCUUCACUCUGUUGUUAAGCGUGCUCACUAAGAAUAAGCGAUGGCUUGAUGCUUAAUAAUGACCUCAAUAGUUGAUACGAACCAAGCUCGAAUGUUGAUUUGAACUUCAAAUUUCCAACCUAAAAUGGAUCAGGGCUCACCAAUGAAACAAUUUCGUGUUUUGAGAAAUGGCAAGCGUAAACUUAGCAUUGAAACUUAGAAUUGCCUCAGUGAUGCAUUAUGUAAAAUGGGCAAACUUGAUAAUGCCUGGCAACUUUUUCAUUCAUCGCUGCAUGCAGGCCCGACACCAAGUGCUGUAACAUAUGCCAUCAUGAUCCAUGGAUUGUGUAAAGAAGGGCAAAUGGGGAAAGCAACUGAUCUAUUGAUUGAUAUGGAAGUAAAAAGGUUCGGAGCCCAAUAUAUUUGCAUUUAAAACGCUUAUGCAUGGCUUCAUCCAAAAUAAUGAGACAUCAAAAAGUGAUUGAACGCCUUCGCAAAAUGGAAAAGAAAAAUGUAACGCCAGAUGCAUCUAUAGUUUCUAUAGCAAUAGACUUAGUUGCAAAGGGUAAAUUCAGUUUCGACUCGCUUCCUUCAUUCCCUGCGUGAAAGUGCAUGAAAUGAAAGCUAAUGCGUUGAAUUUUUGAGUAGUGGCAUGUGUUUUUACUAUACAAACCAGAUGCGGAGAACUCCAUUCAAUAUUAAAGGAUGCGUUGAAUUUCUAGGUGUGUUGCCAAAUCAUUGCACUAUUCGCUGGUGUUAUUCGUGGAGUCUUUCUCAUUGAAUCCACUCAAACUAUAGGAAUAGUCUCUUUUAAUACAAAAACUUUAGCCUGCCAACUUACUUUGUAAACUCAUAAUGACAGCUUAAGUUUCUUGUGUGAAUGGUUUAUUUGAAAGUUUCGGUUUGGAUUUAUUUUCUUUGAUAUGUUGUACUUCCAUUUGAUAAUUUAGGCAAACCAUGAGUAAUAUGAUGACAUGAAAUAGUGGCAUCAAUUAAAACGAAUUUAAUAACACGAAUAUCAUUUAAUGAAAAAGUUUUGCUCCAGAACUUCUAUAUGCUUUCUCUGUCCUUUUAAGUUUGGUUCCAAAUGAUCAUUCUUUAGACUCUUUUUAGUGUAUGACCUGUUUCCUUUCUCUUAUUUAAUUAUAUUCGCAGUUUGGGUUUCUUUCUUGCUAGAAAGGUUUAUUUUUAAACCGUCUAUUGGAUUUACUAAUAUGUGAUACUUCUAUUUGAUGAAAUUGAGCAUCAAUUGAUAUUUUUCUUAUUGCUGACUUUGAAUUUUUAAAAUUUCUGGAUUCCUCAGCCAAAUUGUUCAAGGAACCGGCAAUUCCACAAAAAGUUAUUAUAUAGAUCUUCCUAGAGCAGAUUUUAAUUUAUGUAGCAUUUUCUAAAAGCUGAACAAGGAUUUUUAUUUUUAUUUUUUUCUGAAGGUUGAUAUUUUACAACAAUGAAAAAGUAACAAGAACAAACUUCCACAAACGUACGUGACAUAUGAUUUCUGGCGUCUUGUAGAAGUUCUUAUAAUAAAUGGCUACGCAAGCUCAAUUCUUCGAUCAAAGAGUUCAAAUUUGAGAAAGACGAACCUCCAUUUUCAACAGCUCUCUGUGCCAUCUCCCCAAAAGCUUUGGCUCUGCUCCUCAUCUGUUCUGCCUUAUCACCCACCAUUAUUUCUUUCACUGCCUUUUCAAUCCUUUCCCUCCUCACAAAUCCUCUCUCAGUUGUAGACGAUUUCCCAACUCCAACAGCAACACCAAUCUUAAGAACCUGAGUCACUAACUUUUCAUUGUAAAACUGAUCCGCGAAGUGCGGCCAUGUCACCAGAGGCGCCACAGCAACCACUCCUUCGAGAGUUGAAUUCCAUCCACAAUGUGUUACAAAACCUCCGACAGCUUCGUGAUCAAGUAUCAAAACUUGGGGUGCCCAUCCUCUUAUGAUUAGUCCUUUGCCUUCCAUUCUCUUCUCAAAUCCUAGAGGCAACCAGUCUUCCUUUUCUUCUUCACCACCACUAUUCUUGUUUUUCCUCACAAUCCAAAUGAAAUUUUGCUCCGAAGCUUGAAGCCCCAUUGCAAUCUCCGUUAGCUGAGCAGAAGUGAAGUUGGCUAGGCUUCCAAAGCAUAGGUAAACAACAGAAUUGGGUUGCUUUGAUUUCAGCUAGUUUAAGCACUCCUGUGUAUAAUCAGUUGAAUCUUGCUUUGCCCUCGAAGCUUUAUCAUUAUCUGUCCUGUUGCAUAGUGAAACAGGACCAAUAUGCCAUGCCCUCCUUCCCAAAACCUUCCUGUAAUGAACAGCAUAGGCGGGUUCAAGCUCGUAAAAGCUGUUGACAACAACACCGUAGCUCUUUAACUCAGAUUCUACAGCUGCUUUGAACAACCUGGAGAAGUCAGUUUCAUCAUCCUGUUUCAUAGUAUCUGGCAACUGGUUUCUUGUGAGCCUGAUAUCACCCGGAAGAUUAGGGAUCACAAAUGGUUCUGAAACUGAUGAAACUUUCUUGUGCGGUUCAUAUAGCAUUAGGCAAGCUGUUGCACACAAAGACAAGAAACUGGUGCCGUGAAACACCAGCCUGGGAAUCCCAAACUUGGCAGCAGCAUCAGUGGCCCAAGGAAAAAGCAUGUCAGCCACCAAGCAAUUCGGUUUAUGUUCUUGCAAGCUCAAGAGGUUCUUGGAGCAUGGUGACGCCCUUCAAAAACUUCACUGGCAUGUCUGGCUGACUAGUCAUUUCGUUCAGAUUUUCAGAGCCCUCCGGCAAACCAACUUCUACGGAAGGAAAUUUGAUGGUCUUGAUGUCAAUUUCGAUACCCAAUUCAUUGGCUCUUGGGAUAGCUUUUGAAAAAAGAGUCGCAUUGGCCGGAGUUGUGAUUACGGUGGUUUUCACCCCUCGACUUCCAAACAGCUUGGCCAUGUCCACCAGUGGGAUCAUGUGGCCAUGAGCCAUCAAUGGGAAGAAGAUAAUGUGAAGCUUACGAAUCUCACCGGCCAUGCCUACUUCUGUUAGCAAGCGCAGAAACCAAGACCAAGGGAAUUAUUAAUUAAAAUAGAAAACAAAUCUCACGUUGUGAAUCCUAGACCACUCAUUAUACGUUGAAAAUCAGUGACGAAUAAACUCUCACUGACGUUUGAAAAUGAAACGACAUCAGAAAAUGCUCAAAGCGGUCGUGCUAAUUCAUAUUUCCUUUUCAAAAAUGCCAUUUAGCGUUUGCCUUUAGUACUGGAAAAGAACCCGUGAGAGGUGCCUCAAUCUGUGAACCCCAAAAGCAGCACCACCAAUCUUAAGAAGCCGAGUCACCCACGUUUCGUUGAAAAAUUGCUCAGCAAAGACUGAGAAGGGGCAUUCGACCAUAGACAAGCCAGUUGUUAGUCCUUCCUUCCACAAUGUGUCACAAAUCCUUCAGUAGCUUCAUGAUCAGAUCAAGUAUCAAAACUUGUGGUGCCCACCGGGCCAUCCUCUUGUAAUUUAGUUAGUCAUUUGCCUUGAUGCAUGCUCUAGUCAAAUCCAUGAGGAAACCAAUGAAUCUUCGUUUUUUUUUUUUUUUGGCAGUAGCGUACGUAGAAGCUGACCCAGAAACUAGCUGCUGCCGCCGUACGCCAUCGAAGAUGAAAUAUACAAGGUUUUAGGAAUAGGGCUCGAGCAGAACUGUCUGUUUCGGUUCGGUUUCCACUUUCUAAAUAUAUAUAUAUAUGUAUUCCAUCUGACAUUUACAAUGUCGUAAAAGAUGCAGGUCGGGCGCAGCGCAUGGACGGCUAGUCGUCUAUUUUACUACGACAUGACAUAUGAUACUAAAACUUUGAUACGACAAGACGUUUAUUUUUUUAAUAAACAAACGACAAAGAGAUCGCUAAAUUUGAAAGCCUGAACCACUACUGCAGUUGGCGUCAAAACUAACAAACUCUAAAUCCUUCUUCAAUUACAAAAUUCCACACCACCCACAGAUAUGAGCAAAGAUUAUUUAAUAAAGUUGGCAAUGCUUCCAAAGCAAAGCAUAUGUAGAUAACAGAACUGGGUUGCUUGGGAUUCAGCCGCUUCAAGCACUCCUGUCCAUCUAUGGCAAUUUUGCCUUCCGGCUUUCCCCUUAAAGUAAGGGUGUUCAUAAUCCAAUCCGAUCCGCUCAAGCCGUCUGAUUUGUAAAAAUUUGAUCUGUAAAAAUCUGAUAUGUGGAUUAGUGGAUUGGAUUUGAUUGAAAAUUUAAAAAUUCGCAGUCAAUGGAUUGGAUAUGGAUUUACUUCUGUAAAUCCACAAAAAUCCGCGAAUUCGCAAAAAAAUAAAAAAUAUUUAUUUAUUUAAUUAAAAAAAUAAAACUUGUAAAUGUGGCAUUACUACUUACUAAUAAAUAAAUAAGUUAAAAUAUAAUUACAUUAACAUUAUACAUAUCUUAUCCGAUAAUAAUAUAUAAUAAACAUGAUUAAAUAAUUGAAUAACUGAAUAAACAAAUAUAGCUUUCCAAAUAGUUAAUUUUUAUAAUUUUAAUUAAUUUUCAUGUAUUGAUUUAAACAAAUGAGAUUUUUUUUUCAUUAUUUUAUAUUUUGAGACUUUGAAUGUAUUAUUCUAUCUUUAUUUAAAAACUUAAUAUAUGAAUGUAUUAUUCUAUUUUUAUUUAAACACUUAAUUUAUUUAAAUCUUAUUCAAUUUUGAAUUUCAUCGGUAAUAAAAAAGUUUUCACAUAAGAUUUUUUUAAUUUAAUUAGUUCAUAGAAUGAACAUAAUUAAAAAAUUUUAAUCCGCAAAAUCGUGGAUUAAAUAUGGAUUAGGUCAAAUCUGCAUCCGAUCUGUAGACAUAUGAAUUGGAUUUGGAUUGAAUUCGUCAAUCCGUAGAUUAGAUUGGAUUAAAAAUUUAUAAUCCGCAAAAUCAUGGAUCGGAUAUGGAUUAAUGUUCAAUCCGCAAAAUCCGAUCCGCGAACACUAUUACCUCAAAGCUUUAUCUUCAAAGUUCCUAUUCCUUAGAAUAUUUUUACAGUUACGUCAAUCGGCUUAAAUUGUAAAAAAUUCUUACCUAUUAUUAAUUUGAACAAAUCAUUCUUGUCACAUAGAAUUGACAACUAAUGCACUUUAUUAUUCCUAGUUAUAAUUGAUACUUUCUCCAUUGACAAUUAUGAUCACGAUGCCGCUACAUACUUUUGUGAUUUUGUGCUGAAUUAUAUAACGAGCACUAAAAUACUUGAUAAUUAACAUUAUGAUUUAUCACGAGCAAAUAAGUUGAAUUAAAUAAAAAUGACGAUUCAUACAUAUAUGUCGAUUAAUUUCUUCACCUGUGAUUGGUCAUCGAUGGGUCGUUGUCUUUGUUUAUGUCCUUGUGAUUGGCUGCACUUGAUGUUUUACUCACCUACUCAUUGGUUGUUGUCUUUUUAAGUUGCUGAGAUUAUGACUGUAAUAAUUGAGAUUGAUUUUGCUCAUUAGAUUUAGUAAACUAAUGUUUAGAUGGAAUGUGAUUCUUUGGAUAUCUUGUUGGUUUUAACAAUCAUAAUUUUCAUCCUUCCUGGCGACAUCAUUGCAAGUCAUAAUCAAUGGUGCGCGCGAACUAUUUUCUUCAAUGGAGAGUAAGAGGUGUAGAUAUGAUGUUGAUAGCUGUAAUAUUUGAUAAACGGCCACUGUAAGGAUCCAAAAAUGGAGAAUGCUGGCCAAACGUCAUUACAAAUGGCACCUUGUUUGUUAUUAUAUAGAUCUUCCGGAGCAGAUUUUAAUUUAUGUAGCAUUUUCUAAAACCGUAACAAUGUAGCUGUAAUCAGAUUACAUGUUUUGCCAUGAACAUAAUCCUUGAAACUUGGUAGAAGGAAAACAAGAGAUUGAAAAGAACAGAGAACCUGACCCUGAGUGCCUGUUUCUUGUUACAAAACGGGCAUGUAUAUUGUUCAUUGUACAUUUCUAAUAGCUGAUCUACAUGUAUUCUUUAAUUUUAAUAGCCGCCAGCAGAUAUUAAAACUCAACAAUGAUUUCAUUUUCUUUAUGAAGGUUGAUAUUUUAACACUCUUCUGUCAGAAGUUACAUUAACAACAACGAAAAUAAGAACAAACAAAAACGAACACGCUAUAUAUAUGAUUUUUGGCUUCUUGUUGAAUCUCUUGGAAUCAAUGGCGACGCAAACUCAAAUCUUCGAUUAAAGAGUUCAAAUUUGAGGAAGAUGAACCUCCAUUUUCAACAGCCCUCUUGGCCAUCUCCCCAAAAGCCUUGGCUCUGCUCCUCAUUUCUUCUGCCCUGUCACCCAUCAUUAUCUCGUUCACUGCCUUUACUAUUGCCUCUCUCUUCACAAAAUCCCCCACGAUUCUACACCAUUUCUGGAUUCCUACACCAAUACCAAUCUUAAGAACUUCAUUCACUAUCUUUUCAUUGUAAAAUUGCUCAGCAUAGACAGGCCAUGUCACCAGAGGUACCCCAGCGGUCACCCCUUCAAGAAUUGAAUUCCAUCCACAAUGCGUCACAAAUCCUCCAACAGCUUCAUGAUCAAGUAUCAAAACCUGUGGUGCCCAUCCUCUUAUGAUUAACCCUUUGCCUUCCAUUCUCUUCUCAAAUCCUUCGGGCAACCAAUCUUCCUUUUCUUCUUCACCGCCAUUAUUCUUGUUUUUCCUCACAACCCAAAUGAAAUUUUGCCCUGAAGCUUCAAGCCCCAUUGCAAUUUCCAUUAGCUGAGCAGAGGUAAAGUUGGCAACACUGCCAAAGCAUAUGUAAACGACAGAGUUGGGUUGCUUUGAAUUCAGCCACUUCAAGCACUCCUGUUCAUCAACUGAGGCUUGCUUUCCCCUCAAAGCUUUAUCUUCAAAAUUCCUAUUGCAUAAGGAAACAGGGCCGAUAUGCCAUGCCCUCCUUCCCAAAGCCUUCCUGUAAUGAUCAGCAUAAGCAUGCUCAAGCUCAUAAAAGCUGUUCACAACAACACCGUAGCUCCUUAAGUCUGAGUCAUCAGAUGCUUUCAUGAACCUGCUGAAGUCAUUAUCUCCCAUAUCCUGUUUUGCAGGAUCUGGCAAUUGGUUUCUCGUCAGCUUGAUCUCACCAGGAAGAUUAGGCAUCACAAAUGGCUCUGAAUCUGAUGAUACCUUCUUGUGUGGCUCAUAUAGCGCCAGGCAUUUUAUUGCACACAACGAAAAGAAACUAGUACCAUGAAACACCAACCUGGGAAUCCCAAACUUGGCAGCAGCAUCAGUGGCCCAAGGAAAGAACAUAUCAGCCACCAAACAAUCUGGUUUAUGUUCUUGCAAGAGCUGCUCAAGUGGUUUUUGGAGCUUCGUUGUGGCCAUGUAAAACUUGACAAUCAAUUCCCUGUUCACUUCAUUAGUGAUUGCGUCAAGAUUUUCCCAUCCCUCUGGCAAACCGGCCUCCGCAGAAGGGAACUUGAUGAUCUUCACAUCCAAUUCGAUGCCCAAUUCACUGGCUUUUUGAAUUGAUCUUGAUAAGUGAGGCGCAUUAGCUGGAGUUGUGAUGACACUUGCUUUCACCCCACGAGUUGUAAACAACUUUGCCAUGUCCACAGUUGGAAUCAUAUGGCCAUGAGCCAGGAAUGGAAAGAAGAAAAUGUGAAGCUGACAGAUCCCACUGGCCAUGCCCGCUUGCUAUAGCCCGCUUGCAGAGACCAAGACAAUGGUUAUUAUUGAUUAAAGUUGAAAAGAUAUCUCAGUUUAUGCCUGUCUGUUCAUUAUAUGUACAAAAUCAGUGAAAAAUAAACACUCGCUUACGUACAGGGAACUAAGUUCAAAGCAUGAAACUUUAUUGACAAACCAAAACGCUGAAAGUAACACAACAAAUUCACAAUAAUGUGAAAAAGAAUAUUCACCGAAUUUACCAUUCCCGCACAUUCCACGCUAGUCUCGAAUCCGAGUGACUGUAUUGCUAUAUUAUAUAUUAUGGGACCGCUAAAGUUUGACGAUUUCAAUUAACGACAAUCAAGAAUGGCUAAAAGUCGUCCUGUUAUUAGUGCUAUUUUCUUUAAAAAGGUUAUCCCAGUGUUUACCUUUAGCAUUGAAAAAGACCUUGGAGUUAGAGGUGCCUCAAUCUCUCAACUCCAAAAGCACACCAAUCUUAAAACGCUGAGUCACCAACUUGUCGUUUUAAAAUUGCUCAGCAGAGACUGAGACAGGCCCUGUCACCACAGACAAGCCAGCUCUCAAACGACAAGAAAAACUUUGUGAAAUUGGAACGGCCUGAACCACAGUUGGCGCCGGAGCCCAAAACAAACGUCUUAAUCCUUCUUCUUCAGUUGCAAUUUCACACAAAAAGAUACGACCAGACUCUCCAGAAUUGCACCAACGUGAGCAAUUCCUAUACGGUAUGAGACAAAAUUUAUAACUACCACGUUCGCAUUCACAUAUCAAUGAGACAAAUUCAUAAUUGCCCAAAACAAAACUUAUCGCAUCAGAAUUACCCUUGGUAUUCCUGGAGACCCGACCUCUUUAUAUUCAUUAAAGACAAACUUGAAUAUUUUCUCUUCAAAAUUCCUGUUCCAUAGAAAUAAGUCAAUUGAAUUAACUGUAAAAAUAUUCUUAUCAAUUAUUACUUAGUGAAUAUGAACAAAUCAUUCUUCUCAUUUAGAAUUAACUACCAAUGCAUUUUAUAAUUCUUAAUUAUAAUUGAUAUAUACUUUCUCCAACACUAAAAUUCUUGUUAAUUAACAGAAAGAUUUAUCAUGAGCAAAUAAGUUAAAUCUUAUUUUAUAUAUAUUUUUUAAACUGUAAUUGGAUUGAUUGGUCAUCAAUCGCCUAUUGUUGAAACAAGGUAGAACGAGGGGAAAACCCAAAUUGAUUUUUCUACCGCUCUCAAAAUUUUAAGUGGGAAGCCAAAUAAAUUUAAUUGAAAUUAAAUAAAAAUGGUUGAAAAUUAUUUCCGCCAAUUCCUGAUUUUCUCCUUUUGUUGCAAACGUCGCCAACAAACCAAAUGCUAGCUGCUGUUCAAGGCUCAAUCCAACCAGCCAAUUGGGAAUCACCCCAAUACGACAGAAUCAAGAACAAAGACAAACAAACAUGCUAUUACGAUACAUCUAGCUUUGUGUGAGUUUAGCUGCUUUGAUGGCGACUUAAACCCAACUCCUCAAUAAGAGCACUCAAAUCACAGUACGAUGAACCUCCAUUUUCAACAGCCCUUUUUGCCAUCUUCCCCAAAGUCUUGGCUCUGCUCCUCAUUUCUUCUGCCCUAUCACCCACCAUUAUCUCAUUCACUGCCUUUUCUAUUUUCUCUCUCUUCACAAAAUCCCCCACAAUUCUACACCAUUUCUGGAUUCCAACACCAACGCCAAUCUUCAGAACUUCAUUCACCAUCUUUUCAUUGUAAAAUUGCUCCGCAGAGACGGGCCAUGUCACCAGAGGUACCCCAGCAGUCACCGCUUCAAUAGUUGAAUUCCAUCCGCAAUGGGUUACAAAUCCUCCAACAGCUUCAUGAUCAAGUAUCAAAACCUGUGGCGCCCAUCCUCUAAUGAUUAGCCCUUUUCCCUUCAUUCUCUUCUCAAAUCCUUCGGGCAACCAAGCUUCCUUUUCUUCUUCACCGCCAUCAUUCUUGUUUCUCCUCACAACCCAAAUGAAAUUUCUCCUCGAAGCUUCAAGGCCCGUUGCAAUCUCCAUUAGCUGAGCGGAAGUAAAGUUGGCAAUGCUUCCGAAGCAUAUGUAAACAACAGAAUUGGGUUGCUUUGAAUUCAGCCACCGCAAGCACUCUUGUUCAUCAAUAGAGGCUUGCUUUCCCCACAAAGCUUUAUCUUCAAAAUUCCUAUUGCAUAACGAAACAGGGCCAAUAUGCCAUGCCCUCCUUCCCAAAGCCUUCCUGUAAUGAUCAGCAUAAGCAGGCUCCAGCUCAUAAAAGCUGUUCACUGCAACACCAUAGCUCCUUAAGUCUGAGUCAUCGAUUGCUUUCAACAACCUGCUGAAGUCAUUAUCUCCCAUAUCCUGUUUUACAAAAUCUGGCAAUUGGUUUCUCGUCAGCUUGAUCUCACCAGGAAAAUGAGGCAUCACAAAUGGCUCUGAAUCCGAUGAAACGUUCUUGUGUGGCUCAUAUAGCGCCAGGCAAUUUGAUGCACACAAAGAAAAGAAACUAGUGCCGUGAAACACCAGCCUGGGAAUACCAAACUUGGCAGCAGCGUCAGUGGCCCAAGGGAAGAAUAUAUCGGCUACCAAACAAUCUGGUUUAUGAUCUCGCAAGAGCUGCUCAAGAGGUUCUUGGAGCUUCGUUGUGGCCCCGACAAACUUGACAAUCAAUUCCUUGUUCACUUCAUUAGUGAUUGCGUCCAGAUUUUCACAUCCCUCUGGCAAACCGGCCUCCACAGAAGGGAACUUGAUGGUCUUCACAUCCAAUUCGAUGCCCAUUUCAUUGGCUCUUUCUACUGAUUUGGAGACGUAAGGCCCAUUGGCUGGAGUUGUAAUGACACUUGCUUUCACCCCACGAGAUGCAAACAACUUCGCCAUGUCCACAAUUGGAAUCAUGUGGCCGUGAGCCAUGAAUGGAAAGAAAAAAACGUGAAGCUGAGGGACUUUACUGCCCAUAUUCAACUUCCGAAUCAAAUACAACGAUAGACUAGAAUUAUUAAUGAAUGCAACUUUGUUAUUUUUCUGUGUUUCGAUAACCAACUAUGUGUGUGUGGACUCAAGAAAGCCGUAAAAUAUAUAGAACACAAGAAUUGGAGAUCAAGAAAUGAUGAAGACUUGGGAAUAUUCUAAGAAGAGGAUUAAUGGUCUUCGAUUCACACGCGUCUUUCUUGCCGUCACCACCUUGCUUUGUGCGUCAGCUUCUUUCACAGUAAUUAAAAGAAAGAAACUUAACCCCUCUGUCAAAUUUUUUGUUUCUUCCCUUGGCCGCAACAGUCUUGGUUCUCAUAUUAGUCAAAGUUUUAUGUAUUGACAAUAAAGAAUGGAUGUUUUAAAAGAAUUUAGAUAAUGAUCUGUGCUGUGAAUAAAAAAACACACUACCAUAUUGUUAUUUUUAUUUAAUUUAUUGAUAAAGCACAGAAAGAAAGCUUAAAAGUUUUCCUUGAAGUUUCCAUCGUGCCAAGUUGAAAAGGACAAAUGAAAAUUAAAAAAAAAAAAAAACUGGCUUCGUCGAUGUCUCUUCGUAGUUCAUAGAGACAAGAACAUGAUUACGUUGUUACGUAAGCUCAUACGUUGUUUUUUGUCAGGGUCACGAAUCAGAAUCCACAUGUCACAAUUGGCAUGGUUUGAGUAUCUAGUGCAAUCCUUGAGCAGUUGCGAUUGGCUAGGAGGAUGAUUCUACAGCUUCAAAGAUUAGCUUAUCCCUAAGUGUCUUACUAAUUUUUGAAGCUGGAUAUUUGUCUAUUCUCUUCUUCUUCCGGGCAACAUUGUCUCUAGGAGCCAUAACUAAAAAAGGAGGGAAAAGAAAAGAAAAGACACUCACCAAGGAAAUUGAAAGCCAAAGCCCUGAGCUCCACGAGGUGGGCGAAUGGUGCAAAGGGUGGUUUAUAUAGAAAUGAAUAGAGAGAAAAACAAAUUGAGCUUUUAUGCUUUUGGUUCUGGUGGAACGAGAAACUAAGAGAUAGGGAGUAGCUGUUGUAGAACAUAUAAAAAAUCAAUAAAAAUGUGCGGAGAAAUUGAAAAAAAAAAUGCUCUCUAAGGAGCAAAAACCCCCAGAGUGGGGAGCAGAAGCCACAUCCCCAAGAGUGGGGAGCAACAGGGAGCAGGAGUCAUGCUCCCCAAGGAGCAGAAACCAUGCUUCCCAGGAGGCAAGAGUAGGAACCAUACUCCUUAGGGAGUAGGAGCAGGAACCAUGCCCCUAGGGAUAACAAUAACAAAAUAAGUCGUGACCCAUGGGACCAUUAACCUGAUUUUGGAUUAUGGACCACACAGAAAAGCCAAGUCUAAAUAAAGAAACUAUUGUUGGAUUAAGUUUAGCAAAUAAAAGUUAACAAUGGAAAGAUAUUACUUGGUCCAGAAGUAAAUUAAAUAAAGUUUGACACAGAUAUGACCAAUAAAAAGAUAAAAAAAAAUAUUUUGUAAUUCAAACCCUAGAGAAUAGAGGAUAAUUAGGAAGAGUUAAAAUAAGAAAUGUACUUUAUCUAUAAAAUGCUAUAAAAUCAAAGGCCUCUCUUGGGGGAUGAGCACUGAAAAAGUAGUAAAGAGAGAGAGAGUUGAAUUGUAAUUGCAAUCUUAAUAAAAGAUUUAUUUUUUUUACCCGUGGAUGUAGUCUGAAUGCCGAACCACUUUAAUUUUAUAUAUCUUUUUUAUUAUAACGCCCCGACCUAGAUUAAUUCCAAUGACAGUGUGUCACAAAUCCUCCAAUAGCUUCAUGACUAGUUCAAGUUCAACUAGCAAAUGUGUCGCCAUAUGUAAUAGUAUAGGGUCAUGUUGAUGAUAAGGUUUUGCAAAAGCAUUGAAGCUGAACUAGAAACUAAUUCUUGCUGCCAUAUACUAUCAACAAUGAAAUAUACAAGGCUUUAGGAAUUUGGUUCCAACAAGUGAUGUAGGUUGGUUGGCGUAGGAUGAGCACGGUAUCUUUUAGAUGGCAUAAUUUGGACUACAAAUGUCCUAUGCAUAUAAUAUAUUAUCUCAAAGCUUGCGAUGAGGUAAAUCAAGCCAAGAACUGCUUAUGCCAUUUAGCUCCAUGGCCGAGCCAAAAAUUUUGUUUCGUUUUUGCUCGCUUUCCUAUUUUUAGUUAUUUUCUUAUUUUUCCUAUAACUUUUAAGAUUUUUUUUAAUUUUUUAAAUAUUAGAUUUAGGUGCCAUUUAUUAUAUUUUCUUCAUUAAAUUAGAAGAAUUAUAUUGUAAAAUAAUAUUUCAAAUUUACCUAUUUAAAAUUUUAAAAUUAGUAUAAAAAAAUUUUAAAAAUCUAAUUUUGUUGAUUCAGACUAUCAAAUAAUAUUUCAUUGUUCAAAAACUUAAUUUUUCUUAAUUAUGAACCUUUUUACACUUCCACAUCGCGACCGAGCAGUGUCUAUUUUAGCUUGGCUUCGAGAUUGAAUGAUGAAUCAAUCCAUGCAAUGGGCGUUCAUUCUUGCACUGCGGGCUACUUGGAUGCGUCUCUGCUCUGCGGUGAACAACAGGCCAUCCUCUUUCUAAAUACGUAUCCGAUCUGACGUUUACAGGCUUUAAUAAGUAAACGACUUUCAUGAAAGACGCGUCGGCCCAAUUCUUGGACGAUAUGUCGUCUACUUUAUAAUGACAUGACAUCUGGUUCUAGAACCUACAUACGAUAAGAUGUUUAAGUUUUUACUAAACAAACGACAAGAAAAACUUUGUGAAAUUUGAAAGGCCCGAACCACAGUAGGCGCCAGAGCCCAAAACAAACAACGUCUUAAUCCUUCUUCUUCAUUUGCAAUUUCACACAAACGGAUAUGAGCAGACUCUCCAGAAUUGCACCAACGUGAGCCACUCCGAUACGAUAUGAGACACAAUUAAUAACUACCAUGUUCGCGUUCAGGUAUCAAUGAGACAAAUUCAUAAUUGCUUAGAACGAAACUUAUCACAUCAGAAUUAUCCAUGGUAUUCCUGUUAAUUGACAGAAAGAUUUAUCAUGAGCAAAUAAGUUAAAUAUUAUUUCAUAUGUUGAUUUUUUUUUUUUCAAAAAACCUGUAAUUGGAUCGGUUGGCCAUCAAUCGCCUAUUGUUGAAAAAAGUUAAAGAGGUAGGGAAAAACCAAACUGAUUUUUCCACCACUCUCAAAAUUUUAAGCAGGAAGCCAAAUAAAUUUACUUGAAACUAAAUAAAAAUGGUUGAAAAUUAUUUCACCAAACUUGCGGGAAGAGUAUUUGACAUCAAAAUUCAUCCAUAACUGGACGUAUGAAAAUAUAUUCAUAUACAUACAUAUAUCCAGUCGAAAGAUUCAUACUUUGUAGUCACCAACCAGAUGACUUCGCCAAGUCGUGAUUUUCUCCUUCUGUUGCAAAAGUCGCCAACAAAUCAAAUGCUAACAAGCUGUUCAAGGCUCAAUCCAACCAACCAAUUGGGAAUCACCCCAAUACGACAGGAUCAAGAACAAAGACAAUCAAACAUGCUAUUAUGAUAUAUCUAGCUUUGUGUAAGUUUAGCUGCUUUGAUGGCGACUUAAACGCAACUCCUCAAUAAGAGCACUCAAAUCAGAGUACGAUGAACCGCCAUUUUCAACAGCUCUUUUUGCCAUCUUCCCCAAAGCCUUGGCUCUGCUUCUCAUUUCUUCUGCCCUAUCGCCCACCAUUAUCUCAUUCACGGCCUUUUCUAUUGUCUCUCUCUUCACAAAAUCCCCCACAAUUCUGCACCAUUUCUGGAUUCCAACACCAACGCCAAUCUUGAGAAUUUCAUUCACCAUCUUUUCAUUGUAAAAUUGCUCCGCGGCGACGGGCCAUGUCACCAGAGGUACCCCAGCAGCCACCGCUUCAAGAGUUGAAUUCCAUCCGCAAUGGGUCACAAAUCCUCCAACAGCUUCGUGAUCAAGUAUCAAAACCUGUGGCGCCCAUCCUCUAAUGAUUAGCCCUUUUCCCUCCAUUCUCUUCUCAAAUCCUUCAGGCAACCAAUCUUCAUUUCCUCCUUCACCGCCAUCAUUCUUGUUUUUGCUCACAACCCAAAUGAAAUUUCUCCCUGAAGCUUCCAGGCCCGUUGCAAUCUCCAUUAGCUGAGCAGAAGUAAAGUUGGCCAGGCUUCCAAAGCAAACGUAAACAACAGAAUAGGGUUGCUUUGAAUUCAACCACUUCAAGCACUCCAGUUCAUCAAUAGAGGCUUGCUUUCCCCUCAAAGCUUUAUCUUCAAAAUUCCUAUUGCAUAACGAAACAGGGCCAAUAUGCCAUGCCCUCCUUCCCAAAGCCUUCCUGUAAUGAUCAGCAUAAGCAGGCUCCAGCUCAUAAAAGCUGUUCACGGCAACACCAUAGCUCCUUAAGUCUGAGUCAUCGAUUGCUUUCAACAACCUGCUGAAGUCAUUAUCUCCCAUAUCCUGUUUUACAAAAUCUGGCAAUUGGUUUCUCGUCAGCUUGAUCUCACCAGGAAAAUGAGGCAUCACAAAUGGCUCUGAAUCCGAUGAAACUUUCUUGUGUGGCUCAUAUAGCGCCAGGCAAUUUGAUGCACACAAAGAAAAGAAACUAGUACCAUGAAACACCAACCUGGGAAUCCCAAACUUGGCAGCAGCAUCAGUAGCCCAAGGAAAGAACGUAUCAGCCACCAAACAAUCUGGUUUAUGUUCUUGCAAGAGCUGCUCAAGAGGUUCUUGGAGCUUCAUUGUGGCCCCGAAAAACUUGACAAUCAAUCCCUUGUUCACUUCAUUAGUGAUUGCGUCAAGAUUUUCACAUCCCUCUGGCAAACCGGCCUCCACAGAAGGGAACUUGAUGGUCUUCACAUCCAUUUCGAUGCCCAAUUCAUUGGCUCUUUCUACUGAUUUGGAGACGUAAGGAGCAUUGGCUGGAGUUGUGAUGACACUUGCUUUCACCCCACGAGUUGCAAACAACUUCGCCAUGUCCACAAUUGGAAUCAUGUGGCCGUGAGCCAUGAAUGGAAAGAAAAAAACGUGAAGCUGAGGGAUUUCACUGCCCAUAUUCAACUUCCGAAUCAAAUACGAUGAUAGACUAGAAUUAUUAGUGAAUGCAACUUUGUUAUUUUUUUGUGUUUCGAUGACCAUCUAUGUAUGUGUGGACUCACGAAAGCCGUAAAAUAUAUAAACCACAAUAAUUGAAGACCAAGAACUGACGAAGACUUGGGAAUAUUCUAAGAAGAAGAAGACGAUCAAUGGUCUUCAAUUCACACGCGUCUUUCUAGCUGUGGCCCACCUUUGAUUGUGCGUCAGCUUCUUUCACAGUAAUUAAAAGAAAGAAACUUAACCCCCUUUGUCAAUAUUUUUGUUUCCUUCCUUGGGUGCAACAAUCUUGGCUGUAAUAUUAGUCCAGAUUUUAUGUAUUGACAAUAACGAAAUGAAAUAGUUUUGGAUGAAAAUCUGAAAUGGACGUUUUAAAAGAACUUAGAUGAUGAUCUGUACCGUGCAGGAAAAACACACUACCCUGUUAUUAUUUUUAUUUAAUUUAUUGAUAAAGCACAGAAAGAAAGCUCAGAAGUUUUCCUCGAAAUUUCCAUCGUGGCAAGUUGAAAAGGACAAAUGAAAAUUAAAAAGAAACUGGCUUUGUCGAUGUCUCUUCAUAGUUCAUAGAUUGUUAGGGUCACGAAUCAGAAUACACAUGAGCACCCUAGGCCGACAAUUGUCACAAUUACAGAAGGGAAAAUUGAGCUGUUUCUUCUGGAACUCUUGAGAGAAACUGAUUGCAAAUUUAGUACAUUCUCUUUUAAUUUGAUUUUUCUAAAAUGUUGAUAAGGUAGAUUUUUUAGGUGAGUUUGUCACUAAUUCAAACAUUAAAGGACAUUCAUUAUGUUUGUUACUACAACCCAUGUUUUUCAACAGCUCUCUUAGCCUCCUCACAAAGCUCUCUGGCUCUCCUGCUUGUCCUCCUCAUCACCAAUCAUCAGCCUCAACCUCGGCAGCAAGUAGGUUCAGUGCUCCAGAGAGACCCAAAUUCACAUUUCCCACUUUCACACCAAUCUUCAAACACCUCAGUUAUCAACUUCUCAUCCGAAAACUGCGCGGCUGUUAUACAUCAGGCAGUUAAAGCAUAUUCUAAUAUCUUAACAAUAACCAACACAUUCUAAUAUCUUAACAUUAACCACAUCAACUUACUUUUGGCCCUAAAACAGGAGAUGACGGAACUGGUUCAAACAUUCACGAUACUUUUUAUCUUUUGAAAGUAAGUCUACCACUUUGGAAGAUAGAGAUACAUCUGAUACUACAAGUUUCUCUGCUGCCAUUUUGUGAAGUAGUACAACUACUUUUGAUUUCUUAUUAUUUUGGACGAAACCACGAAGAAGUGUACAAAACGUUACUUCACUGGGCACACAAUUCUUUGCCUCCAUAUCUAACAAUAAAUCAUUUGCCUUAUCCAUCUGCCCUUCUUUGCAAAGCCAGUGGAUCAUGGUACUACAUGUUACGACAUCUGGUACUGGGCCUUUGUGUUGCAAUCUGUGAAAAAGUUUACAAGCAGUCUUGAGUCUGCCCAUUUUACAUAACCCAUUAAUAAGGCAGUUGUAGGUUUCAAUUCUAAGUUCACACUUGCAGUUUCUGAUGGCCUGAAAUACUUGCACUGCCUCCAAGACAAAACCAUUCUUGCAGAGACCAUCAAUAUAAGUAGCAAAUGUAAAUGAAUCGGGUACAACAUCAUUAAGUUGCAUCUCGUCAAUCAAUUUCAAUGCAUCUCCUAGAUUGCCUACUUGAAAAAGGCCACUCAACAAGGUGUUAUAUGUGAUAACGCUUGGCCUAAUUCGUUCUGAAAGCAUUUCCCUAUAGAGACAUACAGCAUCCUCCACUUUUUGAUCCUUACAGUUCGCAUUUAUUAAAAUAUUGUAACUAUAAACAUCAUGUCUACAUCCCUUACUGACCAUAGAAACAAACAGUUCCCUUGCACGACUAAUUCUACCCACUAAGCAAAAGCCAUCCAUCAAUGAGUUAUAAGUAACCGUAUCUGGAUUCACUCCUCUCUGAAUCAUCAAUUCUAACAAUCUAUUCACUUUGUCCAUCUUCCCGUCCUUGCAAUUAUAAUUAAUCAUUGCAUUAAAUGUCACCACAUCAGGCUGCACACCAUUAUCCAUCAUCUCAAUGAAUAAGCAUUUAGCCUCCUUCCAAUCGUCAACACAACAAAAACCGCAAAUCAGAGAGUUAUAAGUGAUAACAUUGGGAUUAAUAUUCCUGUCCUUCAUUUGCAGAAGCAAUUCCUUUGCCUUGUCUACAAACCCAUCCUUACAAAGACCAUCAAUAAUACUAUUAUAAGUAACAACAUCAGGCUUACAAAUAGCACCAAAUUCAUUAACCAUUUCUUCAAAUAACUUGAGAGCAACAAGAGUGUUGCGUGUCCGACACAGCCCAUUGAUCAAAGUAUUAAAUGUAACCACAUUUGGGUCACAAGCAAACACAUUGAGUUUCUUAAACAACCUGGCGGCCUCCAUAAUUCUACCCUCCGCACACAAACCAUUAAUCAAAAAAUUAAAAGUCACCGUAUUAGGAGUAAAACAACUCCUAAGGAUCCUCCCCAAAACUACAAAAGCACCGCUCGUUAUACCCAUCUUGCAAAGGCAAUUAAUUAAUAAAUUCAAAACAAAAAGAUCCGGAAACAACCCAUUUGAAUUUAGUCUCUUGAAAAGAGAAACAACAGUAUCAUAUUGCUUAUUCUUAGCGAGCAUAGUCAACAAAAUAGUAAAGGAAGUCAUACCAGGAGAGGGCUUCAUUUUGAUCAUGCAAUCAAAGAAAUAAACAGCUUCAUUUGAAGUGAUAUUACCUGAUUUAUGUCUAUCAUUCAGGAAUUUCGCAAUUGAGGUUCCGUCUUUGAAAUGAUGAGAUGAGAGGUCAGUUUUGGGAUUUGGAGGGCGACCGAAUGAACACCAGAAAUUACAUCUAUAACCUGCUUUUGAAGCGAGAGAAAAGGAACGAUGUGAGGAUUUGAACACCAUUACAAUUGGAGAAGGCUUUUGAUGAUUUCUUCUUUCUGGGUACAAAUUGUGAAACAAUUAAACUACUCUCCGGGUUCAAUUUAUAAGAUUAAGAUUUAAGAAGAAGGCGCCUGCAACGCAUAAAAAAGUUUCUAGUACUCUAAUGGGGCUGGAGAAUGGGAGGACUCUCUAAAAUAAUUAAAAUACUGCAUUUUUAUAACUUAAAAUGAGAAAAAAAAAAUUACUACGUCAAGUUCACUUCAUUUUACUUCAAUUAUAAACAUAUACCAAUUAGGGGUGCCAAAAUGAAUAAAGAACUGAAUCUUAAAUGAAUUAGGUUAAAAUUCUACUGAUUCAAAUUUCAUUCGUUUAUUAAACGAAUAUUUAGUUUGAUUCGUUUAAUUUGCGAAUCGAAUCAAAUCCAGAUUUGUUUAUUAUUCGUUUAUCAUAUUACGACUCCAUAACGAAUCGAAUCAAGAUUCAUUUACAAAAAUAUAAUUAAUAAACAAAAUUAAGCAAAAUAAAAGAUAAAAAACCAUAAAUUUAAUAUCCUACUGACAAAAUACAAAUAACCCUCUAACAUUAAAUAUAUAGUCAUCUAAAUUACAAUAUUAACCUUCAAAUUUAAAAAAAAAAUUCAAAUAAAUUUAAGGAUAAAAAAGUAAUUUAAUUAAAUGAAUUUAAAACGAAUCGACUCAUAUUCGAUUUGUUUAUGACCCGUUUAUUAAAUGAAUACUAAACGAAUAAAUGAAUCAAUAUUUUCAAACUCGAAUUCAAUUCGUUUAAUUAACGAAUCGAAUCGAAUUCACCCAUUUAUUAAACGAAUCAAUUUUUUCAAACUCAAACCAAUUUAAUUCGCAUCGAAUUGAAUUGAAUGAACGAAUCAUGACCUAUAUUGUCACCCCUAAUCCCAAUACAUACAAAUAUAUUAAAUAUGUGCCAUUAACUUGUUUAACAUAGGUCCUGAAUUGGUGUGAUGGUUAACCUAACAGUCCAUUACCACUACUUGAAUAACUAAUGUGGUACAAACAAUUUGAUAGAUUCAAAUAUAACACGACUGUUAAACGAAUGAUACAAAUAUAAUUUCUUUACUAACCGUAUUAAUUUUGUUUCAAAUUAUCACCUUAACGGAAGGUGUAUAAUUAUUGUUAAUAAAAAUAUGCACAGCACUUCUUGAACUUGAGGAAUAACUUCUUCAUUUUUUUUAACAUUACAUUUUUCCCCUAAUCUCCCUAAUCUUUAAUGGUUGUCUUCUAAAAUUUAAAAAGGUAUGUUAAACAAUCUCAUCAACUGUUUAAUUUGAUGUCUUUUUUUAAUAUUAAUAUUAAUUUCAUAAUAUUUUUAUAAAAUCUUACUCUUGAGUGUAAAAACUCUUUCACUAAAUCAAAAGAUGAUUUGAUCAUUAAGUUGCAAGUAAAGAAAGUUAAUAACUUUUAUUCUACGAUGGUAUAAAUAAUAUAAGAGUAAUGAUAUAACCACAAACUCUUGUACAAACUUAUGUGGCAUGAUAAGAUUGAUUGAAUUAAAUAUCACUUGGCCCACAUGACUUGUUUUCAUUAUUUUAAAUUUUCAUUCAACUAAUGAAUUAGUGCCACGUCAGUUUGUAGGUUGUAUCAUUACUCAUAAUAUAAAUGUCCUCUUAUCCUAUUGUUUGUCAUAAUCAUCUAAUGACGAAUCAUUUCUUAUUCAAGCCAUUAAAUAUAAGUACUAUUUCACAUAUUCAAAUUCUGGACAGAGACUUGAGCUCCUGAAGCAAAGCCUCGGCAUCAAUAAAAGAUGACCCACCUUCUUCAACGGCAUUCUUAGCUUUCUCACCCAGCUCUCCGGCUCUCCUCCUCAUCUCCGCCGCCUCCUCUCCGGUACCCAUCAGCCUUUUCACGGCCACCUCCACCUUGUCUCUCCCCACAGCAGCACUAGGCUCAGUGCUCCAAGACACCCAGUUCACACUCCCAACUUUCACACCAAUCUUCAACACAUCACUAAUCAACUUCUCAUUCGAAAACUGCUCUGCUGUUAUGGGCCAUGUUACCAUUGGCACCCCGGCACUCACACUUUCAAGCGUUGAAUUCCAGCCACAGUGAGUCAUAAAACCCCCCACUGCCGUGUGUUCUAGUAUCAAAAGCUGCGGUGCCCAUCCUCGUAUUAUUAGACCUCUCUUGGAUUCUCCCAUCCUCUCUUCAAAUCCGCUUGGCAACCAAUUCUCUUCAAUACCAUUCUCCUUUCUAGUUCCAGGAGAUUGAAAUAUCUUUCCUACAACCCAAAUGAAUGAGUGAUUUGAAGCUUCAAGCCCGUAUGCAAUCUCCAGGAGUUGUUCAGGAGACAACCGAGCUAAGCUUCCGAAACUAAUGUAAAGAACUGAAUUGGUUUCUUUACUGUCAAGGAAGCUAAGAAUUUUCCCUUCAUCAAUACUGGUCUUCUGGCCUCUUUCAGCUUUAUCUUCAAUGUUUCUGUUACAUAAAGAAACUGGACCGACGAACCAAGCUUUGUCAUUACCCAAAUCUUGCUUAAAAUACUCCACAUAAGCUGGCUCCAAGUCGUAAAAACUGUUAACAACAAUCCCAAAACUUUUCUCUUCCUGUUUUGCAAACAUUUUAUGAACGGACCCAGCUUCUUGUUGUCUGGCACAAACCGGAAGCUGAGAGCUGUCAAUUCAAUUUUAUCAGGAAGACCAGGAACAACAAAUGGCUCAUAAUCAGAGCUCACCUUCUCAUGAGGCUUAUACUUCCGUACGUUUUCCAGAAUACAACGGGAGAAGCAGCAAUUACCAUUAAACACAAUUCUUGGAAUAUUCAUACUGUUAAUGACAUCAGCAGACCAAUGAUGAAACAUAUCAUGGACUAUGCAGUCUGGUCUGGAAUCGACGAGGAGUGAUUUGAGAGGCUCCUGAAGCAUGGAAGUGUCGGUUCGGGGUGUAGCAGACAUGUCCGUGUCUGGUAUCUCGAUGUCGUCGGGUAAAUGGAGGGUUUUGAUGGUGAUGGGGAGGCCGGAUUGUUGGUUCCGGUUGAUGGAUUUUUGGAAAGAAAGGGCGUGUUUUGGGGAUGUGAUGAUGGUUGAUUUGGCUCCAUGAGCGGCAAAGAUUCUGGCUAUGUCUACCAUGGGGAUUUGGUGACCUCCUCCUACAUAAGGGAAGAAGAACAUUUCAACUGGGGAAGAUUUUGAGUCCAUGAAUACGAGGAGAAUGAGCAAAUUAUUGAAGAGAGAAGCAGGGAAUUUAAAGGGAUUCUACCAAGAAGAAUGUUCAAAUUAUUGAGUCGCUAUUAUACAAAAUAGCUUACCUGUGGAGGGACGUCAUCUAGCACAUUUGAUACAGCCGUCAGUCUCACAGUGCUGUCAAAUAUGAAGAAUCUAAUGUCAUAAUGUAAAGCCUUCGGUAGUUCCUGUUGAGCCAAUUGGACCCCCAGUGCAAUGAAUUAUGUCUGCGCAUUAUCGAAGUCGAGAAGUAAAUUGUAAGCGCCUAGGUGAAAAAUGCCAUGAGAGCCUAGCGAAAUUGUUUUUCCCUUCUAAAUUCAAACUUUGGGCAUGUUUACUUAUCAAAAACUUUGGCUGAAAUUUGUUCAAGUUGUUUGGUAUGUGCAAAAUUCAGGCUCUUUUUUCAUCUCUAUUUAUAGUUUUGAUUGAUUAAGAGGUGAAAUGAAAUUUUAUACUUUUUUUUUUAAUAUUGUUAUACAUGACUAUUAUUGAUAUUACAUCAGGUAUUACAAUUAAUAUUUACAAACAGAUUAUACAAUUGAGAUCUUCUUCGUGGCAUGUACUCCUCUGAAGCGCUAUCCAAAUUCUUUAAACCCUCUCAAAUAUUCAAGAAUUGUCCACUCCACUCACAUUUCGUGAGAGAUGGACUGGCUCCACUCAAUUAUUUGAUAAUUGAGGGAGAAUUGUAAAUAACCUCAUAAAUACUUUUAUGCAGGCUCGAACCCUUGCACUCAACACUGUAAGUGCAAUGGUUCUCCCACCAAAAUUUUAUACUUUUAAAAAGGCAAAAGGAGUCUGGAUUUUGUUGGAAAUUGGGAAGAAGAGACUAUGGAGAGGAGAAAUAAAUGCAUGAUUUUCUAUAACAACAAACAUCAGCAUUUAAAAACAAGAAUCACACACGUCUAUCCUAAGGGUGACUACAAACUAACAAAGACUUGGAAUCUAUCCAAGAGGGACUUAUUUGAUCCCUUGCUAGUUCAGAAUUCUCCCCUGUUCGCAUUUUCGGCAAGACCUAAGCUCUCCGAUGAAUUUUCUCACAUUAACAUAAAGAAGAACCACCAUUUUCAAUAGCUUCCUUUGCCUUGUCUCCCAAUUAUUUUGCUCUCUUUCUGAUCUCAGCAACUUCCUGCUCUUUGCUACUCAUCAGUUUACUCACUGCCUUAACCACUUCGUCUCUCCUCACCUUCACUCUCCUCAUUGCCUACUGAAAUGCCAAUAUUCAGCACAUCUGUAACAAAAUUUUCUUAUUAUAAAAUUGCUUAGAUGUAAUAGGCCAAGUGAUCAUUGGCACACUCGCAGGCACACCUUCUGAAGUUGAGUUCCAUCCAAAAUGUGAAAUAAGUCCUCCCACAGAUGCAUCUUCAAGAAUCAGAAGCUGCAGUGCCCAACCAUGAAUAAUCAUCCCUCUAUUGAUCUUGUUAACUCAUUCUUGUCAGGCAGCCCUUGUAGCUGAAAAGCUUCCAAGUCCGAAACAACCUUCUCAUGGGUUACAUAUUGUCUGAUGCUCUCUUCAGCACACAAAGGGAACAACAACCAGUGCCAUGGAAGAUUAUUAUUGGAAUUCCAAGCCUGUUAGCAAUGUCAGCUCUCCAUGGACAAAACGUGUCGCUGACUAUGCAAUCAGGUUUUGUUUCUACGGAGGAGUUGCUCAAGUGGGUCUUGCAGCUUCAUGGUGGCCGUGAAGAGCUUUGAAGACACAUCAUCAGAAGUGAUAGCUAAUUGGUUUUCACACCCAUCAGGUAACCCAAAUUCUUCUGCAGGUAAUUUGGGUGUAUGGAAACUGAUGUUGAGGCCUAAUUGUUGGUCUCGCUGAUGGUUUUCUGGAGCAGAAGGGCAUUGUGGGGUGUUGUUAUAAUGGUGGCUUUUUAAGGUUUACCCGUGAGAGGCAGAAGCUCUGUCCAAAUUUACUACGGGGAUCAAGUGGCCUUCCGGUAUCUAAGGAAAUAAGCUUAUUUGUAGCAUUGAAGCCUGCGAAUCCAUGGAUGUCAAAGAAGUUGCUAGCAGCUUGGAAAAUAUUGUCUGGGUUUCAGGGGAGUGUUUUGGAUACAACAACGGCAUUGGAAAUAAACCCUUAAUUGUUUUAAGAAGCCUCCAUGUACGAGGACGUUCGACUGCUAAUACGUUAGAAAAACUAUUAACGAAUGGCAACAGAUAAAGAAUACUUGUUUUUCUCAAUAACUGAGAUGAAAUUCAGAACAGAAUUUAAUGCACAGGUAUAUAUAAUGGGCCUUGUCAUCAAUGCCCAGACUGAUAUAAUGGAAAAAUGAAAGUUGCCUCGUUUGGUAGAUGGUUACCAAUUUUUAAGAAGGAUGAGAGGUUAUAAUGAUGGAUAUUAAACAAAUAUAUGCUCGUAACAAAUUUACAGAGGAAUAGUUGUUUAUAUUAUAAAAAGUAGAUUGCAUCCAAGUGAAAUCUGGUCCUCACAAAUGAUAUGGAAUCUUAAUAAACCUAUUAACUACCCUUGCUAUACUCACCCCAAUUAACUACCUAGACUGGACAGAAUAAUCAGUGGGUGCAAAAAGAAUGAAAGCUUUGUUGGAGUACAAAAACCAUGAAUCUUAUGUGAUACUGUAAUUAUGUCGAUCUUUCACCUUCACGUUUUAUCCGGAGGGCAGCUCUAACCACAUUUCCUCUUGUGAUGAGUCCAACCUUCAAGAUUUAAACAAGGGCCAAUAAGUAUACAUCUACUGAUGGGCAAUCCAACUAACGAAAUUUUCAGUAAUCGAUAUUAAAACCAAAAUUCUUACCAGCUUGCCAUCACCAUCUACUACCGGCAGUCUACGGUAUUUUGUUUCAAGCAACAACCUGCCAAUAAAUUAUUAGAUUUAGUGCAUUUCAGAGAUUCAGCUUUUGCAGGCUAGAAAGGAGGGAAUGACAUUAUAGGUAUCAAAUGUGCCUAGUCGUUGUUUUUUAUUUUGAAUGCCAAAUUUGAUAUGAUAAUCACUCUUUGCGUUUGGCAUCAUCAUUUUGAAAAUUAGGAAUUUAACAAUUAGUUCCAUUACCACAAAAGCUUGAAAAGAGGUGCAGAAAAUGCAUCAAAUGCUCGAUACUAGAACUCUUUCCUUCAAUAAACAUAAUCAUUGGAAAAAUACACUUGUUACUUGGAUUUUUGGAUAAGAAAAUAGACUGGACCAUUAAUGAAUAGACAGUUUGUAAAAAAAUAAUUAAAAAGCAGAUGAAUUGAAUACCUAGCAGCAUCUUCUAAGUUGGCGUUUUCAUGAACAACGAGCGGAGCAGGCGUCAUCAAGUCACCAACAACUUUUCCAUUAGUCUUACUAAGAAGUCUCUGUAACUCAUUAAAUGUCUGCCACAAGUGCACAAAUCAGAGAAAGCAGCAGAUGCAAGCCAUUUGUUCACAUAGUUCAUAACACAAGCUAAAGACAAAAACACACACACACACACACACACAAACAAAAUAAAAGAGAUAAAGAGAGAUUGUGGAGGAAGGGGGAGUGCAAUGAUGAUGCAAAAGGUUUCGAAGCUCUCAAUCAUGACUGUUCAGAUUAUGUGCAAAGCCUUUGGUUUCCAUUUUUCACAAAAUAACAGAAACAUCUAAAGGAGCUGACUUAUAAAUCCAAAGUUUCACCCUAAAUAAUAUUCGUGAUUUUGGUGCUCUGAUUUGCCUAAGUUUUUUAGUGUUGAUAUAAUGGCAUACAAGUCCAAUUUCGUUUAUGGAUAUACAAUUCUGCAAUAUGACUUUCAGCCUACUUUUAAUCCUGUGGAUGCCAUCUUCUGCCAAUGCCACAUGCUGAUAAAAUAUCUGAAACACUAAUCUAUUGUUAGCACGAUAUCAUUAUGUUCACGGACCCUGGAUUUCAGUGAAGACAACCCAACAAAAGCUAAUUCCUCUAAGAAAUCUAACAGUCAUACUGAAGAACCCAUAUGAGUAUGUGCUCACAUGCCCAGAUUUGGCAUGCCACAACAAUAGUAGCAUAAUAAAUGGUUUCUUGGAUGAGUGUUGAGAAAGAAUGCAAUUACAAUGAGAUAAAACUAACACAAUCAGUUGCUAUAUCAACAAUUAACAUCUUUUCAUCAAAUUCAAAUCCCAAAGAAAAGGAAAUAAAACUGAACAGUUCUCACAUACUUUCCAAGUGCUAUUGACAUUAGGAAACAAGCUUGUGUCAUUUUGAUUGCCACCUGGUAGCCAUAAAAAGAUAUAUCAGUGACAGUUGCACAGAAAAAUUUCAAGAGGAUCCAAAUGUAAUGUCCAAUAUGGAAAAUUUCAAGAGUUAGUCAAUCAAUGAUGAGCAAAAGCAGUAUCAAAGCACCAUAGAACAGAGCAGCAUCUAGUUUGUUGUCUUAAUACUCAAAUCAUGAUCGAGUUGGACCUACUAAUGUGGAUAUCUUUCCUUAUGUGCUAUGCAAAUUGAGAAAAGGGAGAAUGUUUUUGGCACACAUUUCAGAUCUCCCCACAGACAACCAUAUCCAUUCCAAUUAUAGGCAAAGAAAAAAGCAGUUACUUCACUGACUCAUCUCAAAUUAUUAUAGACAAUUGUUAUCUCACAGAAAUUAAUGUCCGAUCCAGAUUCCUUCUAUAUUUCAUAAACGCCUCCGAAGUUCCUGACACUCUGAUCUAAAAACAAUUUCUAUGUCCUUCCGAAAUUAAACUUCUGAUACUAGAUAGGAAACCUAAACAUGUUUAGAAUAUGUGUCAAGUAAAUUCAUGUCCUCCAUUACUUAUAAUUUUCUACCAAAGGAAAAGGCAAGGGCCAAAUUAAAAUAUUAUACGAACUGCUAUGUCAAGAAGGAAGAUAUUAUAUUAGCAGUCAUUGCCCCUUCUACAGUAAGUAGGAAACCACAGUUUAUUCCUCCAACAAAUUUUAACAACCAGCGAGCAAAAUAAGCAUUCCCAGAAUUGAAACCGAAAUAAAGAUUGAAGCCGAGUUUUCUCAUACUACCUGAAAUGGAAUCAAGUGCUAGCAAGUCAUAAUCUGAAACAACACCAACCUACAGUGAAAAUUAACUGGAAUCAAUGAGUUAACUACUACAAUCAACAUUAUUUAGGAAACCACAGAUACAUCAUAUCAACCAAAACAUAAUCUGAAACAACACCAACCUACAGAGAAAAUUAACUGGAAUCAAUGAGUUAACUACUACAAUCACCUACGUUAUUUAGGAAACCACAGAUACAUCAUAUCAACCAAAACAUAGAGGUGGAUUAGCAGUAGUAUUAGUUAAUUUUUGGAUUCCAUUAACAAAUAAAAAAAAUUGUCACAAAAGGAUUCUACCUUACAAGAAAAUGGCAUGUCUUCAACCACUUGAUUUUAACAUCUAACCAAAGACCGAGGGUUUAAAGGUCCCACGUAGAUAAUAUAAAAUUGUAAAAAACCAUGUGUUCAUUGCUUUGCUCAAAAGUGAAGAUCUUGAGGAGAUGGUAAGAAAACAAAAAUUAUCAUCCUUUUCCUCUGUUAAAAUACACAUUUGCAUUUAAGACUAAAGCAAUAUACGUUCAAAUAUCAAAAAGCGGUACAUCCAUUAUUCUCUCUGUAUAAUUUAUCGGUACUCCAAAGUAAAAUCUCCAGCAAACACAAAAUGCAAGUUGAUAUCGUAAUCACAAAAUCUCAUCUACGAACUACACCAAGGGUGUGUUUGCAACUGUUGUGUUUCUGCAUAAUUGUGAAAACACUGCCUUUUAUUUGGCAAUUGACAUUUACCAACCACUCUGCCAAAAUAUUAUACUCAAUAGGUAGUGAUUCCAUUUCACAGUCAUCGCGGACUGUAUAAUUAUAAGCCACAGCAUCUCAAACGCAAAGAUACUAUAAACAAUAAAAUAUACAUUAUGUCGGUAUACAAACAGUGAAUGAGAAAGUAAUCAAAAUUACCAACUUCCAGUCGUCAUCAAUCACAGGAAAACCGGUAAUUCUCUUCUCCACAAGACGUUCUAAAGCUGUAAUCGCGCAUUUUUAUUUGAAUCAAGUCAAAAUAAUUAAUUAGUAAUAAAACAAGAUAGGAACAGCGGCUGCCACGUGUCACAAAUACCUUCAUCGACCGUUGUAGUAGUCUUUACAGCGUGUAGAUCCUCUUUCUUCGUCAUGAAGUCACCAACUGUGUACGUUCCAUUUCUCGGCUGCAAUAACCGUACAAAUAUUUAUAUCAAUAAUUUAGCACUCGUUAAUUACUUGACACACAAGUUUUUAACCAAAACUGUACGUGAAUCAAAUUCAAAACCGUACGACCAUAUUAUCUCAUCAUCUUAGCGAUCAACUGAAAGCGAAACGGUACUACUUACAGGAACGGAGUUGGUGAUCCCGACGCCGUUGUGAGCAAAAGCCUUCACCUCGCGAGAGACAGUGAAAAAACGUAGUCGUUUGGAGAGAUGCGAAGGAGUGGCCACCGUGAUCGGUAACUGAAGGUGAGGAACGGAGUUAAUAACGCCGUUGGCGUUGAGUCGCGCGAGUGUGAGACAACUGGGAAUCGAAAUCGAGCUCAUUGUUCUCUCUCUUUUUCUUCUCAAUGUUUUAAUAAUUGAAAUAAAAUGGUUUAUUUAACUUAUUUUUAUUUUUUAUUUGUUAAUUAAGAGAGAGUGAGAUUCGGCUUAUAAGAAGAGAAGAUUCAGAGAGAGAAGGGGGCUGCAAGUUGCGUGCGUGAAAGGAGUGACAAGAGGAAAAAGUAAAGAGGAAAACUGUAACUGGUCGGCGGAUACAACUUCCAAGUCCGCACACGCGCCAAAUUGUGUCGCGGCCUGCGGGGCCAGGACUCGCGUUAUUUUAAGACUGUUGUGUGUGUGGAUAUUAGAGGUUUGACUUUAUAUAUAUAUAUAUAUAUUUCACAAUUCUUUCACAAUUUGGCGAUCCGUUUUAUCGACUCUACUCUUAGUAGUAAAAGACGAGUUAUUAGUCAAAGAAAACAGCUUCAAAAUCAUUUAAUAAACGUGAAAAAAACUAGGAGCUGGCUAAGUUACAGAUUCUGUAACGUACAGAUCCAACUUAGCCAGCUCCUGAUUGGUUAGCUACUAGCUACCAAAUAAAAAUAAUUGCAUGCUUUUUCUCCAUAUGCAGGACAGGUGUGGUGCAUGCAUUGGGUGCGUAUGUUACAGAAUCUGUAACAUAGCAACCUCCUGAAAACUAUAUCAUAAUUCAAAAUCAAACUUUCGCUGGGGUCCACUAUAUCAUUUGCAGAGGAGGUGGUAGAAAAUUGGGAAGCAACCAAAACGUAAGUUGUUGGGAAUUAAUGGAAAUUGUUUGUUCAAAUUUGAACACGCAAGGCCUUUUAUCAUAAUACAUGGCAUGUAUGGUGUCUCAACUUUGAGAGGCAUCAUAUUAACCAGUACGUUCAACAUGUGACCAUUUGAAUCACAUGUAUUAAUAAUUUUCUCCAUCUUUCAAGAUUUGUUAUUAAAAGUAUUUCAAUUCUUGAUUUCACAAGCCCAUUGGUAUUAGGCACAUGAGUUCGAGUCCCAGUAAUUGCUAGAACUCAACUCCCCUUUAAUAGUAAUUUAUUUGAUUCUCUGCUUUAGAAAUAGAAUAGAUUUUCUUCCUAUAUUAAGGUAAGGGUUGUUGUUCGGGUUAUGCCAUCUUAAAAUUAUAAAAAGAAAGUAUUGAUUGAUGUCUGAUUGUAAACAUAUCAGUAGAGAGUUUUGAUUGUAAUAUAUAGUAUAUCAAAAAAAAAUUCUUAAUUUCACACAAAUCAAUAUAAUUUUGGUGCUCAAUUCUUUGAUCUUUUAUUUUUCUUGAGCAUCUUUUUGUGAUUUUUUUUAUAUUUUUAUAUAGUAUAUAUUUCUCUGUAUUUGUGAUUGUUGAUGCUUAUUAUCGAUCUAGUCUUUUAUCUCCAAUUAUAUGCUCAAGAUCUUGUUCAUACGGAAGUAUUCAAUUUAUUUUCUCAAGAGUAAUAUUUUAGCACCUUACAUAAUAUUCGAAUCUUGAUUUCAGAUUGCUGCCUGGUCAUAUGAUUAUUUUUAUAAUUUUUUUAAUCAAAGACAUGUUUCUUGAAACUUUUAAGUGUUGCUGAAUUAGUUUUUAAGUUCGUAAAUUAUUUUUUGAAUCAUAAUUAUGUUGGAGUUGUAUUCACUUUUUUCUUUGUUUGUUUCUUCUAAAUUAGUGAGUUCGUAAUUAAGCUUUCUACUUUGAUCCUCUUACUGUAACUUGCUCUCUUCGCUAUUUUAUUUGAAAGUAGUUUCAAUUUUCUUUAGUUGAUGAGGCUUCUUGACUGGAUGAAAUGGAGGAAAAGAUACACAUAUUGACUUUAUUAUCUGCAUAAUUUUCUUUUUUCUAAAGUCCUCUUGUACUAAUGUAUAUGACUUGUGCACUGUUAAUAAGAUUUAUAGAAAGUUUCAUUAAGCAGAUAAGAUAAGGCUGAUACGGCCAAAUUUCCUAUGCUGUGACUCGCAGACAAAUGCUCUUGUAGCUGGAACAAGAUCAGCAUACUGACUUGCCACAUGAAAGUGUCCCUAACUCAACAAUCAGACAAGUUUCUCUUUUGAAAGAGCUUAAACUUGAUCACAGUUUACAGGAUAAGUUCUGUGAUCAAGAACAGUGUAGGCAGUCUUGGUUGAAUUUUAUCAAGAAUAUUGUGUUCAUAAAUAUUGUCAGUAAAUAUAUUUAUGGUUCAUUUUAUUCUUAAUGACUGAUUUGAUGAGCUAUCAAAAGUUUUUUGCUCAUUCACGCAAAAAUUAAAAAGAAGAAUUGAAAAAACAUUAAAAGCAAAGCAUUCUUUGUGAAAAACAAAUUAUUGGCCUGGCACUAUUGAUUUUGAAGAUUCAGAGCUCAUAAUUUCCAAUUUUCUAUCAUGAUUAAACAACUAAAUUAGAAGGAAGAAAAAAAUAUCUCAAAAUAUGUUUAUACAUCAAGAAAAAAUAGUUGAAUAAAGGUGAAAUACUGAAGAGUAUCAUGAAAAUCAGCUCAAGAGCAGCAUUGGCUAGAUGCAAGUAGGAGAGAGGCUGCUGAAGCAACUCUUGUGCAAAUUCAUGCACGUUUAGUUCUACGUGGAAAAUUUUGCAAUUGCCAAUAUGAACGAAGCAAAGAUGCUGAGUGAGAAUGAGAUGAAGAAGAAGAGUGGGUAUCUCUCUCUGCUGAUUCGUUAAGGAUAAUUUUUUUUUAAUUUUAAAAAUGGUAAUUUCAUUAUUAUGGAUUAAAUCUUUGUGUUUGAUGAUCAACUUAAAUGAAAUUUUUAUAAAAAUGAAAAAUUGUACUCGUGUCAUCUAUAGGAAAUGCAACUAUACUUAGCAUGCCUCUUGACCUCUAUGGUUACGUUCUAAAGUCAGAUGCAAGUGCACUUGCACGAGUAUAUAUACAUGCACAUAGACCUCCAGAUCAAGGUAAUAUAAUUUCACCACAUCUUAAAAAUAUAAUAUUCUACUUAUACUAACCAUAAACAUUUUCUUUUCUUUGGUUCCACCGUUUGAGAAAAUAUCACAUAUUUAGACUGGUGAAGAGAAAAGAAGCAAUUUUGUAUGAAUAUGAUAUAAAGAGGAGGUGGCAAGACAUAAUUAAUUACUAAUGGAAGUAAACGUAUUAAUGAAGAGGUGGAAUUAGUUUAAUAAGAGAAGUUCAUAUACCUGUAUUGGUCCUUGAACAGCUCGUAGGAUACAGUGUCCACAAAUGUGUUCGCGAAAGCUUUAACAAAAACAACAUGUUCGAUAAAUUAUAAACAUAAUAUCACAAGCCCUUGUCUUGCGUAAGUAGCCUUUUAAAACUCAAACCAAUUAAGACUCCAUCCACCUUGUCAAGCAUCAUAUUUUUAUUUUUUCAUAAACACCGAGUAAAAUAUAUUCAACUCAGUAGUAAGGCAUGAACCAAUGAACUUUUGUUUUAGUGGGAGAACCUUUGCACUCACAAUGUGUGAUAAGAAAUGUCCGAACCUCCAUAAAAGUAUUAUAGAAGUUAGUUAAUUGAGUGAGAGUGUGAGUUCAUAAUUGACAUAAUUGUGGGGGAGACUGAGUUCAUAAUUGAGUGGAGACAGAUUUGAUGACAAUAAAUUUGAUAUAUUCGAUUCAUUUCAUUCAGGGGAAAAUUUGAUGACAAUAAAGUUGAUAUAUUCAAUUCAUUUCAACUGAAGGAAAAACUAAUUUUGAUCUACACUAAAAAAAUCUAUAAAGUUUAAGGUUUAAAAAACAAGAAUUUUGUGGUGAGGCAUUAUUAUUUUGUUGGGCCAUCAUUUUUGGUCAAUGUUCAAAUUCAAUAAUCAAAUCCCUUGACUAAUCCCUAAUAUAUUUUUCAUUUUCAAUAUUCUAAUCUCAUAUAUUCAAACCAUAACUUGUUUGUCAAUGUCUGGUAUUCUAAUUACUGUAUUUUUUAUGAAACAAAAGUAUAUUUGCUCCAUUGAAGUGUCAAAUAAUAAGCAAGUAUCAUUUUUUUGAAAUAUUCAUUAAUAUCAAAAUAAAUCAUAUCCAAUCAUGAUGUGAGCUGGAAUUAAACUCUAAAGAUUAGGGGUACAGUUAGUGAUUUUUUAAAAUAAUUUUUUUAUCAAAUUGAUGUUUUGAAACUGUGUUUUUUACAACGUUUAAAAUGUGUUUGAUAGUAUUUGUUACAAAAGUUUUCUAAAAUAGAAAUAGUUAGAACAUGUUUGGUGCAUUUUUUAAAUGAGUUAUAAACUAAAGUUCUAAUUUGCUACAAUAGCUAAAUGCAAUUUUUACUUUUUCUGUUUUCAAAAAAAAAAAAAAAAAAAAAUUUUUUUAAUGUUGCCAAACAUUCUCUAGAAAAUUUUAAUAAUAAAAAGAUUUACCUAUUAAAUCAACUAACUUGCAAAAAUGCAAGCGCAAUAAACAAAUUUUAAAAAAAAUCAUUUAUUUAUUUUGGUGUAAGUCAUUCGUUAUCCGGCGACCACAUUGAGUCGCGACUAAUUCGAAUUCGGGGCGUAGUCACAAUUAAUGCUCUUUACCCCUCAAAAAAAAAAUCAUUUAUUUAAGUUGCACAUAAUGAGUUGUUUGACUUACUAUUUAUGUUGGGUCAUACUCGUUAUGAGUUGUUUUAGCUAAUCAUUAAUGUUGUUUAUGCAAAACAAGAUUUUCAAAUUUGUCACGUGUCAAUCGUUUGUAAUCAGACAAUAAACAUGUUAGCUAGAUUUGUUUUAAAUUGUUCUUGAGUUUAUUAUAUAGAUGGAAGAUUUUUCAUUCCACUCAAUUGAUAAUCUCAGAGACUUCUGAUUUUUAAAAUAUAGUAGUUUUCUUUGGUGGGGGUGGGGGGCGUUACACAUCUUCAUUCAAUUUUAACGUUAGCUAAGUGUCGCCAUUUAUAACUUUGACAAUAUUGCUUAAAUGCAACAAUCGAUUGAGAAAUCUAGCUACCACGAUCUUAAGAUCAAAGGUGUCAUUUACAAAUGCACCCAACGCAUUUUUUGAUUGAUUAAUUAUUUAUAAUGAAGUGUCAAAAUUACUUUCAAAUAGUUUAAAGUAAUUUAUUAUCCGUUUUGUAUUGUGUUUGAUUGAAACUUGAGGAUAGUCCAAAAUAUUUUAAAGAGAUAAUGAUAUCGUGCUAUCCAAAAAAAAAUAUAUUUUUGUAAUUUAAGAAAUCGUAGAGAACGAUUCAAAUAAUUAGUUAAUUAUCUUGUUUAAACAAUAUAUAAGAAAAAAAAACCAUUUUUUGAAUUAAUUUUACUCUCAAUUGCCACUAGAUUUUUCUAUUCUUUUCCACAAGUGACCUACCCGACCUGGACUCGGGUCGAACCUAAAUGAUGCGGGCCAAGCAAUACCUUGCCUAGGAUGUGGUCAGGCCGGCCCCGACCAUCACUUGAUAAGCUCGGAGUUCAACCUGAAACUUGAAUUUAGGGGUGUCAAAAAUAACGUCCAACCCGAACUUGGACUGGACCCAAGCUACGCAAGCUAGGUACGAGGCUAGACUGAUUCCGGGCAUCACUUGAUAAGCAUGUGGUUUGGCCCAAAACUUGAAUUUUGUGUGUAAUAAUUAUAUUUAUUUAACCCAUCUACUACAUAUAUCUAAAAUCUUAAAUAUUUAAAGUUCAUAUUUUAAUAUCCAAUUUCAUUAAAAUGAAUUUAAAAAUUAUAAAAUAAAUUAAAGAAUAUACAUAUAUAAUAUUAUAAAAUAAAAAAUUUGAUGAAUAAUAACUCUGAUUAAAAAAAUCCAGUCCGCUGCUGGCCUUUUUAAGCCCAGCCUAGGUGUCUAAAAAAAUAUAUCCGAGCGGAGUCCGGGCAUUACCAUACCCAAAACCAAGUUUUGCCAUCCUUACCUAACCGACUAAUUUUCAAACAACUUUAUUUAACUGUUUAUUUGAGUUCAACUCUUAGAGAAAUAAGAGGUUAAAAAGUAAAUUUAGAUUUUACUCACUUCCUUAUCUUCAAAAAUAAAAUGAAAUGAAAGAAUUAUACCAAGUAUAUAUAUUCACAAUGAAUUUCAAUUAGGGCUUAAGGUCAGUUGAAAGGAAGCCAACGCAUCGAUGUCAAUUCAAGAAUCGGUUCAUACUGAGAUAUAAAUUAUGAAGCAUUUAGUACGGUUCAAGUACUCAAAAAAAGAGAAAGAUUAAAGAAUAUAUACCUAUGAACCAAAUCGGUUUGGUUGGUGAAUCAGGAUUCAGGAUUGGCUCAUAAAAUUUAAAGUGUAAAUGUAUGUUAAGAUUUAAACUUUUUACACUUUUUUUUUAAAAAUCACAUCUCAUACAUUAUUAUGUGAAUUGUUAAAAAUAAAACUAAUUUAUACUUAACUGAGCAGUUUUUAAAAUAUUAUUGUGUUAAUGUACUUUUUCGUUAGAAUAAAAUUCACAUAUCCUUCACUAUUUAUCAAUUAAACUUGCAUCCACUAAUAACAAUAAUUAACAUAUUUGAAACAUGCAUAUAUUAUUAUCUAAACCACUCGUUGAUUUAUACACAUAUGCGUGAUUCACCACAUUCACACCCAUGAUAUUAUUCUGCACUCCAUAUCAUAAUUUAAAUAAAUCUAAAUCCACAUACCUUUGUGCACCAUUUUAAAAAGUCAUUUUGCAGUGAAUGGAUUCGCUGUCAUGGGUUAUAUAAUGCUUAAAUGAAAAACACUAUUUUAUUAUUUUUUGAUAAAAAUUUUCCGUGUUCAAACUUGCCCCCAUUUGAACAAAAUUCACAUAUCUGUCGUUGUUUACCAGCUAGGCCAAUUAACAUCUAUCAAUAUCAGGAAUUAACAUAUUAAAAAUAUGCAUACACUACUAUCUAAACUAUUCAUUGAUUUCUACAAUUAGGUGAUUCAUCACUCCCCAUUAUUGUUUCACCUUGAAUAUUAGUAACCACAUAAGUUAUGUAUCAUUUUAAGAGGAUAUUUCAUUAAGGAAAGGAGCCACUUCAGAGCAUCACUAAAAGGUUUUUUAUGCAUGUAUGGUAUAGUUUAUCUAAUGACCGUAAGUGAUUAUUUAAUCUCAUAAGUUUUUAUUAAAAUUUUUAUUAUUGUUUGGCUUUUUUUUUUUCAGUAAAGCUUUUGCCUCUAUUUGUAAAAACUCAAAUUUUAGACUUUUAAAUGUUAAAAUGUCUAGAAUAUCCUUUACUUAUUUGACAAUCUUAUUUCAUUUUUUCAUAGCAUAACUUUAAAAAACUUAUCUAUUAAAGUAAUUUUAUAAUUUUAAAUAAAAGUUCUCAUUGACAACCAAAUAAUUAAAAAAAUUUGAGUAAAAACUCUACUUAUAAAAACUCUAUACCUCUAUUUAAAUAAGCUAUACUAAACGGAGCCUAAAAUAAGAUUCAUUACUUGUUUGAAGAGCCAUGUAUAAAAAAAAAAAGAAAAAAAAAAGAGUAGAAGACUCUUUAAAUAAGAUUACUCUUUUAUCUUUUUAAUCACUAUUUCAUUUGAAGAGUUUUAUUUGAAAGUCUUUUGAAGCUUUUAUUUUACUAUUAUAUUAUUUUGAGUAAUGAUAGACAUAUCAAAUUUUUUUAAUCCUAAAUUCAACCCCAAAUAAUAGUUUGUUAAUUGAUUAGUUGGUAAUUAUUUACAAGAUUUAAAUGAAUUAAUUGUAUUAUCUUUAUUAACCAAUUGAUGAAUACUACAUUAUUUGAGAUAUUUUUUGGAAUAAACAAUUUGGAAUGUGUAGCACUACUUUAUUAUUUUUUUUCAUUAUUUUUGAAGAGAGAAGUGUUGUGAUUGCUAUUAUUUUAGUAGAGAAAAAAGUUAGAUUGAAAUAAUAAAUAUGCAAACUUUUUUUUUGAAGACGUUUUGAGUUUUGAGAGAUUAUUUUAUUUUUUUGCUUUUCUAUGAGUCACAUAAGUGAUUAAAUAAGUAUUUGAAAAGUUAAAUUAGAAGAAUUUUUUGAUGAUGUUGAACUCUCCAUCAUGGGUACGAUCUUGAAAAAAUAAUUUCUUAAAUUAUUUUUACGAAAAAUUUAUUGUGCUUAAACUUGAAAAUUGUCCCCUUUGAAUAAAGUUCAUAUCUACCCCAAUUUAAACUAAUUAAUACCCAACAAAAGCAUGUCUUAGACAUAAUAAAAAUAAGGAAAAUUCUAUAAUGCCAUGAUUAAAAUUAUAGCAUCAAUGUCGUGAUAAAUAUAAAGUUUGUAAAUUACACAUAAUAUUAAUAAAUGAAUGACAAAAUAAGUAAAUUAAUAUAAGAGUGGUAAAUUAGUAUUUUAAAAUUGUAAAUAAGACAAAUAUUUGCAAAAAUAACAUACAACUAGUAAAUCAAUAUUAAUAUUUAAUUUAAAAAUAAUUUGUUUAUUUAAUUUAUUUAAGUAAAGAAAAAAAUUACUCAACAAUUGAAAACAAAAAUUUUGUAUUGAAAAUAAAUAAAAAAUAAAUAAAUUGGUUUAACCAUAAAUUCCAUAUUCAUGCUAGGACAUUUAUAAACUUUUAUUUCUCAUUUUGUAUUAUAGUAUUUGUUUACUAUAUAAAUUAAUUAAGUAAAAUUAAUUUUCUUAACGUGGAUCAACCUCAAACAAAAUAAAAAGACAUUCUUUUAUUUCUAGACGUCUAUGAAAUAUCAAAAAAGUGGAUCCAAUUUUUAGUUUUGUACAUAUUUUAUGUAGUUUCAAACUUUACUUUUUAUUUGUAUUAAAAGAUCAUUUGUGGCAGCUAUCGAGGAGGUUUAUAAGGAUGCAAAAACACUUAUCGUACAAACAAUUUUGAAAAAUAUAUAAUAAAAAAUUUUAUGCGUUAUUUUACAUUUAAUGUAAUCAAUAUUAUAGUGAUUUUUUUUUUACAUUUGUAAGUUUUUAAUUUUUUUAGUAACUCUUAUAAUAUUUACUUGUUUUAUAUUUCAUUUACAAGUCUUCUAUUUUAUUUAGAUAAUUUAUGUGUUAUUUUACAUUUAAUGUUGAUUUAGAAGUUUUAUAAUACAUUUUUAACUUUAUAUUUUGUUUAUUUUGCCACUCCUAUGUUGAUUUACUUGUUUUACCUUUAUUUACAGGUCUUAUAUUUUAUUUACUUAAUUUAUGUUUUAUUUUAUACUUAAUGUUGAUUUACAAGUUUUAUGAUCCAUCUAUAGGUUUAUGUUUUAUUUACCAAUAAUACAUCAUUUUACCACUCUUGUGUUAAUUUACCUAUUUUAAAUUCUAUUUAUAGGUCUUAUGUUUUAUUUUAUACUUAAUAUUGAUUUAUAAGUUUUAGGUUAUAUUGAUAAGUUUUUGUUUUUAUUUACCAAUGAUAUAUCGAUUUACCACUCCUUUAUAAUUUUACUUAUUUUACCUUUCAUUUACAAGUCUUAUAUCUAUUUACAUUGUUUAUGUUUUAUUUUAUACUUAAAGUUUAUUUACAAGUUUUACCUUUCAUUUACAAGUCUUGUGUUCUAUUUACAUCAUUUAUGUUUUAUUUUAUACUUAAUGUUGAUCUACAAGUUUUAUGUUAUAUCUAUAAAUUUUUUUUUAUUUAUUAAUGAUACAUCAAUUUACCACUCUUAUGUUGAUUUACUUGUUUUACCUUUUAUUUACAAGUCUUAUGUUUCAUUUCCACAAUUUAUGUUUUAUUUUACACUAAAUAUUAAUUUACAAGUUUUUUUGUUACAUCUAUAGGUUUUUGCCUUGUUCACUGGUAAUACAAUAAUUUACCACUCCUAUAUUAAUUUACUUAUUUUACCUUCCAUUUAUAAGUCUUAUGUUCUAUUUUACACUUGAUGUUGAUUUACAUAUAUUAUGUUAAUUUUACAUAACUUACGUUUCAUUCACACAAUUUAUGUUUAAUUGCGAUAUUUUAAUCACGGCAUUAUAGAAUAACCCUAAAAAUAAACAUACAUAAUUACUUAAACCGCCCAUUAAUUUUUAUAAAUCUGUGAUUCAUUCGCCCACAGUGUUAUUCUGCAUUCAAUAUCAUAAUCAAAACAAAUCUAACAAAAAAUUUUUCUUUAAAUCAACACCACAUUCAUUUAUAAAACCCUUUCCUGAUUCACAAUCCUUUCAAUUUCUCUUCUUCUCCUGUGUUACUCAUGCUUUCACAACCUUAGGCAAGCUUUUAAUCUCCUUUCAAUAGCUCCCUAAUUCUUCAUGGUCAACAUUUCAAACCCAUUUUAGCGGGUAAGGUAAAAGUAAAAUCCAUCAUGUUUACGCUUCUAGUCCAGUUACUAAUCCAGUCCAACGCGUUCUCAUUCAUCUAAACUUUUACUGUGCACAUCACGCGCUCUCUUACAGCGAGUGGCUUACGGCAACUAUCUGUACCAAACCAAACCGCAAAUCUUAUCUUCAUCAGUUUUAACCUUUUAAACCCCCCACCUGGUUUAAAACACGUCACGUGGGCCCCACAAAUCGAAUCCAACGGCGAAGAUCUCGUAGAUUUCAUCAUCUUAGGGUUUUGCACUUUAAAGUACUAGCUAUAAGAGCCGGACAGCCUCCCAGGCUUUCCUUUCAGUGCAGUUCAGCUGCCCUCUCUUAUUUACAUUUCCAAAAAAUUGAAAAAAAAAAAACCGACCACCAACUAGUUUACCUAUCUCUCACGCGCCGCCAUCGUCGCCGGCGCCAACAAUUCGAUUAUCCUUCUUUCCGCUUCCCUCUCCUCCCCUUUCUCUAUCCAUCUGAGAGGCAAAAACCAAAAAAAAAAAAAAAGAGGCUUUGAGUUGUUUUUAAUUCCGUCUUUUGUUUAUUAUUACUAUCAAUUUUAGGGUUUCUUUGGGUCCCGAAGAAUAACAAGAGGAGAGGGAAGAAAAAUCCCCAUAAAAAGGAAAAAAAGAAAAAAGGAAAAAAUUUCGAGGGAAAAAAAAGGGAUUUUUUCUUUCUGUAUUUGAGAUGG